Molecule: long non-coding RNA, 103445 nt
Filed under: Vitis vinifera (wine grape)
Lineage: Eukaryota; Viridiplantae; Streptophyta; Magnoliopsida; Vitales; Vitaceae
Description: long non-coding RNA (VVIN_LNC004587)
Source: RNAcentral
UGCAAAGUCCUAGAAUAUACGUUUGAUCUUCAAGGACUUGAUGAAAAUGUUGAAAUCCUCCCAAAGUUAGAAACCUUGAAGUUACGAAGACUACCUAGGUUAAGGUAUAUUAUAUGCAAUGAGGACAAGAAUGAUGGUAUGAGGUGUCUUUUCUCUUCUCCAACGCUCAUGGAUUUUCAAAACCUCAAAUGUCUAUCCAUCCAAGAUUGUGCAUACGAAAACAAUGAAGAGGGACAUGUUAAUACUCCUAUAGAAGAUAUAGUGCUCUUCGGCGAAAAGGUUAGUUUUCUCCCAUAUUUUUUUAUUUUUAUUUUUCCAUAUACUAUUUUUGGAAAUAUUGACAAACAUAUUCCAUAAAAAUAAUAAUAAUAAUAAUAAUAAUAAUAAUAAUAAUAAUAAUAAUAAUAUGAGAAGAUCAUAUCGAUCUUUAAUAAUAAAUUUAUUAAAUUAUUUAGACAUUUAAUUUUAGAUAAUAAAAAUGGUGAAUAAUAAUUAAAUUAUAUAGGAGUUGAAAAAAGAAAAGAAAAAAUUAAAAUUAAAAUUUUAAAAAUAAUAAAUAUGAAUAGAAAUAAUAUAAAAUAAAAAAAUCAUAAGUGUUAUUUUAAUUUAAAAGUAAAAAAAAAAAAAGGUGCUAAUUGGAAUAAAUAUUAUGAUGAAUUGAAAACGGAAUUAGAGGAAUAUUUUAAUUAAAAAAGUAAAUUUUAAAAAGGAAUUAGUGAAAUUUAUUAAUAAGAAAUAAUGAAAGAGUGUAUGAUAUAAUAUAGAGUAAUAAAUGAUUAGAUAUAAAUAAAAGUAAUUUAGUAUGGGAAUAUAUGUAACAUAGAUUACUAAUAAAUAAAUAAAUAAACUAUUCAAAUCAUAAUAUUUUAUUUGAAUCUUAGAAUAUUUAAAAUAAAUAAUAUUUAGGAAAAUUUGGGUAAGGUGUAAAAUGGUAAAAAUAUUUUAAAAAUUAUGAUUGGUUAAAAUAUUCUAAAAACUAUGAUUAAUAUUUUCCUUUUGAAAAUAAAAAUAAUAAAGGAUAAAAACUAAUUGUCGUUCUUUUAAAAUAACAACUAAAAUAUUCAUAUUUAACACUUUUAUAAAAAUUAAUUUCAGGUUAAUUUGUUGUUUUGGCUAAAUAGACAUAGCUUUGAUAUCAGGUUAUAAGUGAACAUAUAUAUAUAUAUAUAUUUGUUGAGAAAAUCUGAAGCUCUUUUGGAUUUAAAAUAAGGGGUAAGGGUUUUGUAGGUAUAUUAUAAUUGAAGAUCAAGAUAAGAAGGAGGGUGAGGGAAAGGCCUUUAUCCAACCCUCUUACCCAACCUGUUUUGUUUUUUAUUUUUAUUGUUUAGAAAUUUAUAAUAUUUUAAAUUGUUUUUUUAAAUAAAUUUUUUUCUCUUGUGCAAGGAUAAAAUUACUUAGUUCUUUGACAAUUUCUCUGUUUUUAUUAAUUUUACAAUUUUUUUUUUCAAAUUUUAAGAUUUUUUUUUUUUAUUCUUGAAAACAUAAAUUUGAAAUUUUUUUAUUUAAUUCUAAAUUUUAUCCAUAAGAUAUUUUCAUUAAGGGUAAUUUUGGUGUGUUAAAAAAAGGUUUUUUUUUUAAUUUAUUUAAAAAGCAUCUAAUUUGUUGUUCAACAUGGUAUCCACUUUGGUAGAAGGUCAUAGGUUUGAGUCAUCUCUCCACAAUUUACAUGUUUGUUUCCUCUUUUGUUUGUUGGAUAUAAAUCCAAAUUUUGUGUAUCUCUCCCCAUGUGGGCCUAAAUUAAGCUUAAGCUUUUAGGAAAAAAUUGAUAGUUAUAUAUUUUAAAAACUUUAUAAGGAAAUUGAAAAUAAUAUUUUGGAGGGAAAAUGAUUAAAAUAAAAUUUAAAAAUGGAUAUUCAUUUUUUAAUAUUUUUUAUUUAUAAUUAUUUAUUAUAAUGAAAUGAGAAAAAGGAGAACUUUAUUUUGUCUGAUUUCUUCAACGACUAAUUCUCUAUAUUUUUAAUAUAAAAUUAUAAUUAAAUUAAAUCAAUUUUAAUCUAUCAUGAAAAUAAUUUUAAUAAAAAAUUGUGAAUAGAAAGUGAAUUAUAAAGGAGCCGGAGAAAAAUAAUAAAGUGAAAAUUUAAUUUUAACAAUAAAUGUUAAUAUAAAUAAUAUAAGAAUAAUAAAAUAAUGGUUGUUAUUAUUUUAAUUUAGAAAGGAAAAUUUUAGGUGUAAUUGGAAUAAAUGUUGCAAUGAAUUGGAUAGGAGAAUUAAUGAAAAUUUUAUUCAAAUAAUAACAUUUUAUUUAAAUAUUAGAAUAUUUAAAAUGAUUUACAUUUGGAAAAUUUGGGGUAAGAUGUUAGAUGAUUAAAAUAUUUUAAAAUUUAUGACUAAUUUUUUACUUUUGAAAAUAAAAAAGAGUAUAAUAUAUUUUAUUUUAUAUAAGAAGACUAAUUAAUUUUCAUUUUAAAAUAACGGUGAGAGUUAAUAAUUUUAUUAACUUUAUAUUUACAUUAAUCAUUAAUAAUAAUUUUAUUAUUUAGUUUUUUUUAAAAAGAAAAAGGCUAGUGGAUCAUAGAUAAAAUAUGAAGAAGUAGAGAAAAAUAAUAAAGUUAAAAGUGAAAUUUUAAUUUAAAAACAUUAAAUAUUAAUAAGAAAAACAUUAUAAAAAAAGGGUUAAUCUUUAAUAGGAAUAAACAUAGCAAUGAUUUUAAAAGCCAAAUUAUUGAAACUUUUAAUAGAAAAAAUAAUUUUAAAAAUAAAAUUGUUCAAAUGAGUAUAUGAUUUAAAAUGAAAUAAUAAGUGGUUGCAUAUGGAACGUAUCAAAAUGAAUGAUUGUUUGCCAAGCAAAGCUCUUGAUCACCAUUCAUGAAACAUUAUUUGUUUUAAUUUGAUUUAUCGAAUUUUUUUGUAACAUUAUUAUUUUUUUAAAUAUAAUAGAAGUGAACAUGUGAAUAUUUGAGAGUUAUAAAUUAUGUUUAAGGAAUAUUUUUAUAUUUAUCAUAACUUUAUAAUUGUUGAUGUUACAUAAUGCAUUGUAUCUCUGUUGUAGGUUUCAUUCCCUAACUUAGAGGAGUUAAAACUUGUUGGUCUUCCCAAGUUGAAGAUGAUAUGGCAUCACCAACUUUCACUUGAAUUCUUUUGCAAGUUACGAAUAUUAAGAGUGCAUAAUUGUCCACGUCUAGUCAAUCUUGUUCCAUCUCAUUUGAUACAAAGCUUCCAGAAUUUGAAAGAGCUAAAUGUGUAUGAUUGUAAAGCCCUAGAAUCUGUGUUUGAUUAUCGAGGAUUUAAUGGAGAUGGUGGAAUCCUCUCAAAAAUAGAAACAUUGACGUUGGAGAAACUACCUAGACUAAGGCUCACUAUAUGCAAUGAAGACAAGAAUGACAACAUGAGCUAUCUUUUAUCACCUUCCAAGUUCAAGGAUUUUUACCAACUCAAAGAGCUAUAUAUCAUUGAUUGUGGGAUGCUUUUGGAUGGAGAGGUUAGUUUUCUCCUAUAUUUUUUCUUUUUCCUUAUGCUACUUGAAAUAUUUAGGGAGAUAUACUAUAAAAAUAAUUUUGAAAAAAAGUAUGAAAAGAGUACAUUAAUCUUUAAUAAUAAUUUUAUUAAAUUAAUUUAAAAUUUAAAUUUAAAUAAUAAAAAUUGUGAAUAAUAAGUAAAUUAAAAAUGAGUUGAAAAAAGAAAAUUUAAAGUGAAAAAAUAAUUUUAAAAAGGAUAAAUGUUAAUAGAAAUAAUAUACAAAUAAGGAAAAAAUGGUAUUUAUUAUUUUAAUUUAGAAAGAAAAAAAAUUAGGUGCUAAUUGAAAGAAAUAUUACAAUGAAUUGGAAAGGAGAAUUAGUGAAAAUUUAAUUCAAAUAAUAAUAUUUUAUUUAAAUUUUAUAAUAUUUAAGAUCAAUAACAUUUGGAAAAAUUGGGGUAAGAUGUUAGAUGAUUAAAAUAUUUUAAAAUUUAUAACUAACUUCUUACUUUUGAAAAUAAAAAAGAGUAAAACACAUUUUAUUUUAUACAAGGUAAUUAAAACAUAUUUGAUUUCAUAUAAUGAGACUAAUUAAUCUUGAUUUUAAAAGAACCUUUAAAGUUAUAAUUUUAUUAUUUAGUUUGGAAAACUAUAAAAAGAACCGGUAGUUCAUAAAUAAAAUAUAAAGGGGUCGAAAUUAAGAAUAAAGUUAAAAUCAAUUUUUUUUUAAAAAAAAAUAUUAAAUAUUAAUAUAAAAACAUUAAAAAAUAAGGAAAUAUUGUAAAUUUUAUUUUAAUUUAAAUAAAAAGGUUUAGUGUUAUUAGAAAUAAAUAUAGUAAUGAAUUUAAAAGUAAAAUUAUUGAAAAUUUUAAUAAGAAAAAUAAAUUUAAAAAAGAAAUGAUUAAAGUUUGUAUAUGAUUUGAGAGUUAAAGAAUUAUAUUAACAACAUAUUUUUAUUGUUAUCACACUUUUAUAAUUGAUGAUGUCAUAUAUUAUAUAUUGGGUUUCUGAUGUAGGUUUCAUGUCCUCCUAAUUUGGAAGUGUUGGUUCUAAAAAGUCUUCCCAAUUUGAAGGAGAUAGAUGUUGGGAUCUUCGCACAGUUAAAAAUCCUAAUAUUAAAGAAACUACCUAGGCUAAGAUAUACAUUUGCUUCCCAGCUCAAGAAUUUUCACGAUCUCAAAGAGCUACACAUCAUUGAUUGUGGGAUGGAAGGCGGGAGAGAUGUCAGUACUCCUAGUAAUGAUGUAGUUCUCUUCAAUGAGAAGGUUAGUUUUCUCCCGUAUUUUUUAUUUUUCCUUAUACUACUCUCUUGAAAUAUUAAACUACCAAUCCUUUAAAAUAACAAUCAAAUUACUUUAUUAUCCUUUUUUUAACAUUUAAAAAAAAUUAAAAUACAAUCCUACAUAUUAUUUAUUACAUAGAAAUUAUAUAUACACAUCAUUUUUAGUUUGGACAUCCUUUCUCCUUCACACUUGUUUUUUCUAAAAAAAUUAUGUAUUAUUUUAUUGUUAACAUUAAAAGAAACGUAAUAUUUUUCAAAAAACAAAGUUAUGAACUUUUUCUUCGUAUCAAUUAUGUAAGUCUUGCAAUUUUAUAUUUUAUUUUGUAUGUUUUGAUUAAUUUUUUGAUUUUUCAUACUCUAUUUAUUUAAUAUUUUGUUUGAGACCCCAUUUAAAUAUAUUUCUUGAAAAAUAUUAAUUUUAUAAUAGUUGUUUGAUUUUUGGGGAAAUUAUUUAAAAUGAAAAUUACUUUUUAUUUAAAAAAUGGAAAAACUAAAAAAAUAUAUAUGUUAUAUUUUUUUUAUUGUGCUCUAAAAUUUAAAAUUUGUUUUAUUUUAAGUACAUCUCCUACAUUCUCACGUUAAUAAGAAUUUUUCAGGAUAAAAAGAUUUGAUAUUUUUUUAUUUAAAUUUAUCAUGCUCUACUAUGUUUAAUUCAUCCUUCUUAUAUACAUUUGUUAGAUAAAUAUUUUAUCAAUAAUAUCAAUAAAUUAAUUAAUUAUUGAUAAUUUAUUUAUUUAUAUGGUAUUUUAAUUUUACAAAAUAAUUUUUUUUCUUAAAUGGUAUUUUAAUUUUUAUAAAACAAAAAAAAAAAUUGUCAUCAAAUAAGAUAUCAUAAAUAUUUGUUUUAAUUAAGAGUUUUUUUAGGUUAAAUAAAAUAAAUUUUAAUCCUUUUAUGUUAAAAAAAAAAAAGAAAAUAAUAAAAAAUUUUCAAAUAUUUUAAUCCCAGUUGUGUCAAAAUAAUUUCGAAUUUUUUUUUUCUGUUAUAAAUCAAGUUGGGAGAUAUUCACUUGGACAUAUUGGGAAAUUUUAAUAUAUGAAAUGUGUGUGUGAAACAAAAGGAACCGUUUUCGACAUGCCACCUCUUCCCAAAAGUACAAAACUAUGUACCUUAUUUCCAUUUUCCACUGCUUUGCUCGCAUUGCAGUUGGCCUCAUGGCCUGACCUUGUUCUACUCAUCCCUCUUUUCUAUUAUUUUUAACAAAAAAUAAUAUAUAUAUAUAUAUAUAUAUAUAUAUAUAUAAGGGUAUUAUAAGGGUAUUAUGUGGGUCCCAAUAAAUUCUAGAUGUUUAGGUGAUAUUUAAUCCUUGAUUUACCAAAGUUUCCCAAAAUAUUCUAUCACAAUUUUCCAAUUCAUGGAUAUAAUCCAUAAAAGAUAAAACAAUUCUUCAAAAUCAGGUAACAAAAUGUAUUUUUCCUCUUAAAAAAAUUAAAAAUUCAAUGCAAUUGCUCCAUUAUAUUAUAAAAAGAAUCAAGAAGAAAUCACCAAAAGCUUGUUGAGAUAUUUUGGAUGUAUUUAUAAAAAUUAAUAAAUAGCAAAGUAUAUAUAGAGUAUAGUAGUGGAGAGCAUGUAAAUGUGGACAAUAUAUUAAAAAUUAAUAAAUGACAAUAUAUAUAGUAUGUGGAAAUAAUACAUGUAUAUCUUUUUUUUAAUUUGGAUGUUUUUUUUUUCUCUUUUACUCUUUUUCUUUGAAAAAAAAUUAUGUGUCAUUUUGUUGUUGACAUCUAUUUUACAAAACUUUGAAAAAGAAAAUUUUUGUAGUUUUUUAUUUUUAAAAAUAAAAAGAGUAAGACAUAAAAAUACAAUCCUGAAUAUUAUUUUUUAUAUGAAAAUUGUGCAUAUACAUAUACAUCCUUUUUAAUUUAAAUAGUUUUUCUCUUUCUCUUUUUCCUUUUUUUUUUUAAAAAAAAAAUUGUACUAUUUUUUUGUUAAUAUCAAAAUAAACAUAAUAUUUUUCAAAAACAAAAGUUAAAAGCUUUUUCUUUGUAUGAUGAAGUAAGUUUUGUAAUUUUGUAUUUUUUUAAUUAGUCAUACUUUAUUUACUGUUAGUCAGAAGCCCAUUUGAAUUGUAUUUCUUGAGAGAUAUUAAUUUUAUAAGAGUUGUUUGAUUUGUUUUGGAAAUUGUUUAGAACAAAAAUUACUUUUUCUUUCACUAAUGAAAAAUUUAUAAUGUAACAGAAGUGAAUAUGCAAUUAUUUCAGGGUUGAAUUGAAUUAUAUUUAAGGAAUUUGUUUAUGCCUAUCAUCACAACUUUCCAAUUGAUGCCUUAUAUUGUGUUUUUGCUACAGGCUUCAUUCCUUGAAUCAAGAGCCUCCACUGUGAACAAAAUUAUGGAUGCCUUAAGAGAUGACAAUAUCAACUUGAUAAGAAUAUGGGGCACGGCCGGUGUGGGCAAAACAACACUGCUGAAACAAGUGGCUCAACAAGCUAACCAACAACAGUUGUUCACCACACAAGCCUAUAUGGAUGUAUCCUGGACUCGAGACUCGGAUAAACUUCAAGGAGUUGCUGAACUUCAACAAAAAAUUGCAGAAAAGGUGUCGGGCGUGCCACUUUGGUUGCAGGAUGGAUCCGGAAUAACGGAUGAACUGAAGCGGAGACUGAUGAUGCUAGGGAAGAUCCUUAUUAUCUUAGAUGAUAUUUGGACGGAAGUUGAUUUGGUGAAAGUAGGAAUUCCUUUUGAAGGUGAUGAGACGCAAUGCAAAAUAGUGUUGGCUUCGAGAGAUGGAGACGUAUUAUGCAAAGACAUGGGCGCACAAAUAUGUUUUCAGGUGGAACCUUUGCCACCAGAAGAAGCUUGGAGUUUUUUUAAGAAGACAUCAGGUGAUUCCGUGGAAGAGGAUCUUGAACUGCGACCCAUAGCCAUUCAAGUGGUUGAAGAGUGUGAGGGUCUACCAAUUGCAAUUGUAACAAUUGCAAAGGCAUUAAAAGAUGAGACCGUGGCUGUAUGGAAGAAUGCCUUGGAACAACUCAGGAGUUGUUCACCAACAAACAUUAGAGCAGUGGAUAAGAAGGUUUACUCAUGUCUGGAGUGGAGCUACACCCAUUUGAAGGGUGAUGACGUUAAGUCGUUGUUCUUACUUUGUGGUAUGAUGAGCUAUUGUGAUAUUUCAUUGAAUCGCUUGUUUCAAUAUUGUAUGGGUUUGGAUUUCUUUGACCACAUGGAGCCAUUGGAACAAGCAACAAAUAAACUAGUUACAUUGGUGGAAAUCCUCAAAGCCUCAGGCUUGUUACUUGAUAGUCAUAAAGAGAGACACAAUUUUGAUGGAAAAAGAGCUUCAAGUUUGCUUUUCAUGGAUGCUGAUAACAAGUUUGUGAGGAUGCACGGUGUUGUUCGUGAAGUUGCCAGAGCAAUUGCAUCCAAGGAUCCUCAUCCAUUUGUAGUUAGAGAAGAUGUUGGAUUGGGAGAAUGGUCAGAGACUGACGAAUCCAAAAGGUGCACUUUCAUCUCUUUGAAUUGCAGAGCUGUGCAUGAGCUUCCUCAAGGGUUGGUAUGUCCAGAACUUCAAUUUUUUCUAUUGCAUAACAAGAAUCCUUCCUUGAAUAUCCCAAACUCAUUUUUUGAAGCAAUGAAAAAACUCAAAGUUCUAGAUUUGCACAAAAUGUGUUUUACAACACUACCUUCAUCCUUUGAUUCCCUUGCAAAUCUCCAAACAUUGCGUCUAAAUGGGUGCAAGUUGGUAGACAUUGCUUUAAUUGGAAAGCUAACGAAACUACAAGUUCUUAGCUUGGUGGGUUCUACAAUCCAACAAUUGCCUAAUGAAAUGGUGCAAUUGACCAAUCUAAGGCUGUUGAAUUUGAAUGAUUGCAAGGAGCUCGAAGUAAUUCCACCAAAUAUCUUAUCAAGCCUGUCUCGAUUAGAAUGUUUGUACAUGACUUCUAGUUUUACUCAAUGGGCGGUUGAAGGUGAAAGCAAUGCUUGUUUAUCCGAGCUAAAUCAUUUGUCUUAUUUGACAACUUUAGGUAUAGAUAUACCAGAUGCCAAUUUGCUACCAAAAGGCAUUUUAUUUGAGAACUUGACAAGAUAUGCAAUAUUUGUAGGCAAUUUCCAGAGGUACGAAAGAUAUUGUAGAACCAAAAGAGUGUUGAAGCUUAGGAAAGUCAAUAGAAGCUUACAUUUGGGGGAUGGAAUUAGCAAGUUGAUGGAGAGAAGUGAAGAACUAGAGUUCAUGGAAUUAAGUGGUACUAAAUAUGUUCUUCACUCAUCAGAUAGGGAAAUUUUUCUUGAACUGAAGCAUCUUGAAGUUAGUAGUAGUCCUGAGAUUCAAUAUAUCGUUGAUUCAAAGGAUCAACAGUUUCUACAACAUGGUGCCUUUCCUUCAUUGGAGUCAUUGGUUCUUAGGAGACUGCGUAACUUGGAAGAAGUAUGGUGUGGCCCAAUUCCAAUAGGGUCUUUUGGUAAUUUAAAAACUCUGCAUGUGACUUUUUGUGGUGAAUUGAAAUUUCUCUUUUUUCUUUCCACGGCUAGAGGCUUUUCCCAGCUUGAAGAAAUGACAAUAGAAAAUUGCUAUCUCAUGCAACAAAUAAUUGCAUAUGAAACAGAGUCAGAAAUAAAAGAAGAUGGACAUGUUGGGACCAACUUGCAACUAUUCCCAAAAUUGCGAUCCUUGAGACUCGAGAGGCUACCACAACUCAUCAACUUCAGCUCUGAGUUAGAAACAUCUUCCACAUCUAUGAGCACAAAUGCAAGGUCGGAAAACUCAUUUUUCAAUCAUAAGGUAUGUUAAAACUUAUUAACCAAUUUCUUUGGUUUUAUUUAUUUUUUUACAUGGCUUUACAUCAAUAUAAGUCAAAGGAAAAAACUAAGGUGGUCCCGCAUGCCCUUUCCAAACUCCACCAUGUUAAACUUAUUUGAGCAUUUAAAUUUAAAUAAUAUAAAAAUAAUUAAUAAUAUAUAAAAUAUGAAGAAGUUGAAAACUAAUAAGGUUAAAAGAAAUUUUAAUUUUAAACACAUUAAAUAUUAAUAGGAAUGAGUAUAAAAAUAAGGAAAAACUAUAAGUAUUAUUUUACUUCAAAAAAGAAAAAAAUUCAAGUUAAUAGGAAUAAAUAUAGAAUAAAUUUAGGAGUGAAAUCGUUGUAAUCUUUUAAAAGAAAAAGGAAAUUUUAAAAAGGCAUUAACAAGAAUUUAUUAAUGGGAGAAAAUAAAAGAGUGCAUGUGAUUUAAAAUAAUAAAUUAUUUAUAUGAAUAAAAUUAUUUUGUGGCAUGAGAAUCCCUUAUCAUUUCAUUUUAAAAAAAUAUAUAAUUAAAGUAAACUUGUGAAUAAUCCUAAGUUAAUGAAUUAUAUUUAAGGAAUAUGUUUAUGUUUAUCACAAAUUUCCAAUUGAUGAUGUUAUAUUAUAUUAUAGGUUUCAUUCCCUAACUUAGAGGAGUUGAUACUCAAUGAUCUAUCCAAAUUGAAGAAUAUAUGGCAUCAUCAACUUCUAUUUGGAUCCUUUUGCAAUCUACGGAUCUUAAGGAUGUACAAAUGUCCAUGUCUACUCAAUCUUGUCCCAUCUCAUUUGAUACACAACUUCCAAAAUUUAAAAGAGAUAGAUGUGCAAGAUUGUGAACUCCUAGAACAUGUUCCUCAAGGAAUUGAUGGAAAUGUUGAGAUCCUCUCAAAGUUAGAAAUCUUGAAGUUGGACGACCUGCCUAGGUUGAGAUGGAUUGAAGACGGGAAUGAUAGCAUGAAAUAUAUUUCCUCUCCUCUGACACUCAUGAAUAUUCAAAACUUCAAAGAACUACAUAUCACUAAUUGUAGAAUGGAAGACUUAUAGAAGAUGUAGUACUCUUUUGUGAAAAGGUUAGUUUUCUCCCAUACUUUUUAUUUUUCUCUCUCAUACUUUUUAUUUCUUCUUAUACUAUUUUUUGGAAUUAUUGAAAAAUAUAUUCUAUAAAAAAAAAGUAUGAAGAUUAUAUUAAUGUUUAAUAAUAAAUUAUUAAAUUAAAAAAUUUAUUUAAUUUUAAAUAUUUUUCAUAUAAAAGAUUAAUUAUCAUUCCUCCAAAAUACAAUCAAAUCACCCUUAUUUAAAAAAAAUUAUAGAAUUUAUUUUUAAUAGAUUAAAAAAAUUGUGAAUAUUCUAGCUCUUUACAUUCAUAAUAAUUAACUCCCUUUAUUUUCAUCUAAUUUAACUAAAUAAUACACCUUUUUUACAAUGAAAAAACCUUUGGUAAUUUAAAUUAGUAUAGUAUGCGAAUGAUAUAAUAUAAGUUUAUGAUAAGUAUAACUUUCAAUAUGAAUACUAAAAAAGGAACAAUAUUUUGUAUGUUUACUAUUAACAUGUAAUAAUAAAUUUUAUUAAUUAAAAAUUAUUUUCAAAUAAUAUAAAAAAAUAAAUAAUAAAUAAAAUAUAAAUGAAUUGAAAAACAAGAUUAAAGAAAUUUUAAUUCUAAAAAACAUUAAAUAUUAAUAGGAUGAAGGUAGAAUCCAUCUUUUUAUCUAGAAGCAAGAAUGUUUUUUUUUUCUUUCUUUCUAAUAUAUUCUACAAACACUAUAGCUAAGUUUUACCUUAUUAAUAUUGAAAUGGAAUUAUUUUCUUUUGUUCUUAUCAUUUUCAUUUUUUUAGGUUUACUAGUUUUGCUCUAUAUUUUCCUUUAUUUAUAUUGAAAUGGUAUCAUUCCUAUUUGUUCUUAUUAUUUUCAUUUUUUUAGGUACACUAGAUUUAAUAUAUGUUUUGCUCUAGUUGAGAUGAAGUGUAAAUGCAACAUUUGUAAAAGAAAUUGUUAAUGAUGUUUGCGAAAUUGUCAAUGAUGUUUCCUUCAAUUGUUUCCUUCAUUUGAAAGAGUUUAUUUUUUCAAACACAUGCUAGAUUUUCAUAUGCAUUUUGUUCUAGUCAUUGUCAUAUUCCUAAUAAAAUGUGUUUGCUAAGUGUGUGGUCUUGCAUAAUAAUGAAAGUUCUAAUUUAUCAGUUUUCAACUUCUUGUAUUGCCUAUGUUAACAUUUCAUAAAUUAUGAAAUAAAUGUGAUAAAAGAAUCUUUUUCAUUUGCUAAAUUUAUGUAUAUUCUGAGUAAAUUUUUAAUCAUGUCUUAAAUUAUAAAAUAUUGCUUUCAAAGGUGAAAUAUGAAAUUGUGAAAAUUCAUUAAAUAUGAUCUAAUAAUAAAUAAAGGAUUCAUAACAUCAUUUGAUAGGGUGUUCAAAGUUUAGCUUGACAUAUAAUUUUAGUCAAAUAUAUUCAAGAAUGCCUUGUGAAGACAAUUGUUAAGAGUAAAAAUCUCUUUAUUUAUUCGAUGAGUCUAAUUGACUAGAAUAUUUUUCUUGGAUGAUCGACCUCAAAUAACAUGAUCCAAAUGACUUUUUCACUUGUAUGCUCAUUGUUAAGAAUCCAUCCAUUUUAUGUUUGGAUGGUUAUUGAUUGCUAGGAAAAUCAAAUUCACUUGCAAAUUGCUUAAUUAUGAUAUCUAAUCAUGUAACCAAAGUGACAAUAUUCUAAAGCAACCUCCAAGUCUUUCGAGGGUUAUGAAAGGUCUACUUGAAAAAUAAAUAGAUAAAUAGGACUAGCAACCUGUCAAUUUGACCAUCUAGUGAUUUAGGCUUUAGAUGACACCACAUCGAAUUUAGAAUGAUUUGGUAAUAACGUUAUGUUAGAGGGACGCCAUAUGUUGUCCUAAGUGUAAUUCAGAAUUUGCAUGCAUUAAGUGAAAAAUUCACGAGUCUUCUUUCGUGUUUAUUAUUCUAAACUUCAUGUUCUAAACAACAUUAUUAUGAAACUUAAGCCAUUUCACCAAAAAGAAAGAAAACUUGAUAUCCAUGAUCCAAGAAUAACGGAAUAACACAUGAUAAGUUGAUACUUAAAUACUUUAACCGUCUAAUGUUUCUUAUGAAAAUAUAUCUUUUUAUCUCUUUCCAUUGUAGAUACUACCAAAAGAAUAAGAUAUGGUCACGUAGUUUUAGAAAGGGUUAACAAAAUUCGCAGCUAAAAAGUAUAUAUAACCUCACAGCUGUGGGAUGAAAUUGGGCGCCACUAUAAAUAUCCUAUUGCUGUGGGAUGAAAUUGGCCGCUACCAUAUAUGGCCCCAUGGACGCCACUAGGCCGCUACCAUAAAACCCAUAUACAAACUGCAACAUUUCUCCCCUGCUCACCCUCAUUGCCAAACCCACUUCUCUCCUGCCUACCAUUGAUUGCCAAAGCCAUUUCUUCUUUCAUCAUUGUCGGUACCAAACUCGUUCUUUUUCUCUCUCUCUUGCAAUAGUUGGCUGAUUCUUCAAGCAUUGCGACGCGGCUGGUAUUUUUUUCUUUCAACAUUGUCAUUUUAUUUUAUUUUUUAUUUUUUCGAUUUCACUCUUAUUUUCUACCAUAGGGUUUUCUGUAGGGUUUCGAAUUGCUAGGGUUUCAAUUUACCAGAGGAUUUGGACGCUUUUCAAGUAUGACUUAUCCAUUUUUUUGUCCACUGAGUACUGUAGAAAUUUCGAUUUAGACGUUUUCUAGCUGAUUUUCGUUCCCUUCUUGUGGAUUGAGAUAAGCUCUUAAGUUUGAUGAUUUCUCAAAGAUGCUGUUGGUGUAAUUUGAAGCCCUAAACGUAGGUAUGAAAAUUCCACCUGAGAGUGCCCUAAAAGGCUUUACUGGGUUAGACAGGAAAGGUAUGAAGAUCAUCCACCUACUUGGAUAUCAUUGAAACAUAACUUUUGGGGAAAUCAAGCCUAACUUGAACUUGAUUCAACCUUGCACCUAUGCUUCUAGGAAAAUUAUUGAUUUUGUGAAUGGGCUGUGUUGACUUGGUCUACGGAUGUUUGAUGUUCCGUUUUUUUUUUUUCUCUGGAAAAAACUAGGCCAUGAUGUGUGUAUUUGAUGAAUUAAUUCAACAUAUUUGGUUGGUUGAUUGGGUAAACCUUGUUCUGACCUAAUUUAAUAAAAAUCCUAAAUCUAUUAGGUAAUAUUAUUGCUGGAUGUAACAUAUAUGAUAAGAGUUAUUCUCCAGUAUUUUCUAAUUUGGAUAAGGUAUGAGACAUGAAAACAAUUUGAUGGAAACCUUCUGAAUCCCAUUCUGUUGUGCUUGUUUCUUGUGUUAUGUUGUUUACCCCUUUUUAAUUUUUUUUUAUUUCUUUGCCAAAUAAGGUGAGAAAAAAGGACCUCAAGUUUGUAGCUCAUUUUUACAAAUUGUUUAAGGCACUGGCUUCUCACCUAUGGAUGUUGAUGCCCUUUGCUCUGUUUCUUUUAUCCUUUUGUUGUUGGUUUUAUGGCUACUAGAAUUUGUUGACAUUGCUGUUACUAGAUGCUACUUUGGGCAUAUUGUUUUAGCAAGUUACCAAGUUUGUUGGAUUCUCCUUUAUGUUCUCUAGUUUGGAAACUAAGACAAGUAUCAAGAACGGGUAUCAAACCCCUAUUUCUUAUCCCUUCUCAAUUGAGACAAGUAUCAAUUUACUGGUGACCCUUUUCCAUAUGGAUUUCUAAUGCUAAAAUUGACCUCUUCCAUAUGUAAAGUUUGAUUGGUGUCUUAAUCCCAAAAGUUCAUCGAAUAACUCAGACACUACUAUUGAAGUAUAUCGUUUCAAAUAUAUCCUUAUGCCAGCUCACAUUAAAAGAAGAUAGGGUAGGGAGGAAGAACCCCAAAUUUAAUUGUGACACCAGCCUAGCCAUUACCAUAUAAGAUGAGCCAAAAAAGGCGUUCAAAAUCACAUGUGAGCUGUUAAUUCAUCAUGCCACUCAAAUCUGCUCAUCAUUUCUCACUUGUGACGUGAAAAAUCUGUAUUUAUGUAUGUAGCUUUAACAGGAAACCGUUUGCCUACACUACUAUCCAAGCCAAAUUUCAGAGAGACAAAUUCUAGGAAUACAAGUAGGGAACUUAAUUUGCCUUCAUCAAGCUCCCUUAUAUUUGGAAGGAUAAAAAUUAUGUAUGACGCUUGAUAAUUAAUUAUUUUAAAAAUCACUUUAUUAAUUUUAGAAUAUGUCACUAAAAAUACUAUUACAAAUUUACAAAGUACUUUUUCUAAUUUAUAUUAUAUUAAUUGAUUCUUAAAUUUUAAUAGAAGUGUGAUUGAAAAAGAAAAUAGUAGCAACUGAAGUGGUUGGUAAAAUAUAAGCAAAUACUAGACAAUAAAUUAUUACUUUCAAAUUAUAUUUUUGUAUAUUAUUGCUGGACAGGAAAAAUCUUAUUGCUUCUUAGGUAUGUCUUACCAAGGUAAAUGAGAAAAUCUAAUCAAGUAGUUAUCUCUUUUGCAUGUGAAAGUGUUGGUCAUGUAGUCAUAUGCAUGGCUAUAACAUGUAGGACAAGAAGCCUUGAACACUUUAGAAUAGUCUGUUGGCAUGCAGGUUUUAGGAGUAUGGAAAUUGGCAUGUUGUAGCCAUCAACUAGGCUAACACCAUAGAAAUCUACUGGUUUGUCAAGGGUAUACUCUGCUAGUGUUGCAACCGCUGUAGUAGAUAGCAGGUGUAGAAGUCACCAAUGAUCCAUACCGUAAGCCCAUUUGCAUGGUUUCAAAAGCACAUAUCAGACAGUACUAGAUCAGGAGCACUGACAAUUUAUAUUUUCUGGAAAGAUGAAUUCUGCUAAUCCGCAGGAAAUAAUCUAGCAGAACUCUUCCAUUUUUAAUAUUAUCUAGUAUUAAAGUAACCAACAAGCAUACUUUAGUCCCCAUUUAGUCUGGUUCUCAAAAUUGCAGCAUGCAACAUGGUAUGCCAUUGCUAAAACUUCAUUAGACUAGAUUGACUUGUUCACUAGAUGAUCCUGGUUCAGUUCUGAGGUUUCUAAUGGGCCACCAAAGAAGACUCCUCACCUGAAAAGGCAUCUAGUACUUUGGAUUUUGGUAUGCUUGAAGAUCACUUACUCCAGUCAAGUUUAGUCGGUAAUAGACCCUGAGGAAGAAUGGCCUGCAAACAAUAUGAUGGAGCAUCAAUAGUUGAGGAAGAAUGGCCUCUGUUUGGUAAUUGUUAAGGCAUUCAGCAUGAAACAAACUAAUAAUCUUUAUGGGUAAAUGAUUUUGUUUUGAUAUUGAUGAAUUGUAGCCUUGUCUUUACCUGAUGUGAACUCCUAUCCUCCAUUGUUUUGAAUAUCUUAAGAUAAUAUCAAGCUGAAUAGAAAGAUGGGAGCAUAGUGGAGUGUCUAGGAUCCAUGCCCCUGGUGUUUUUGGAGUGAGCAUUGGAGAAGAAUUAGUUUCCUGGCCUACUGUCUAAACAUUGAAGGUAGGAUUCAUUUGCUCAGGAAUCUGCUACCUGCUCCCUUAAGAUGAAUUAAAAGGAUGUAUCUUUGAGGCGGGAAGCCUGGAAGGCAAGGCAUACAAUUGAUAUAAGCAUAACAAUAAACUUUUUGAAGAUGUUUAAAUUAUGAUAUUGGAAAUUAGUUUGGACCAAAAUAUUCAUGGCUAGUCAUUAUAAAUAUAGGCAUCUGAGAUUGCCCUCAUAUUUUCCAAGUUUCUAAAUUGAUGGUCACCUGUGUGUAGCUGAAUUUCUUUUUGUUAAAAUGCCCUAUGCCAUUGGGUUUAAACCAUAAUUUUGCUAGGGUCUUUCUGCUGUUGCUUAGAGAAACCUAAACAUUCUAGAACUUCAAAGUCCAUUCUCUUUUCUUAAUUGCUUGUCUCUCUCAUUGAACUGUUCCCAUUAAUUUCCCAUGGAAAGUACAGUUCUCCUUGUUACGUCUGUGAUGCGGUAUGGUUUGAAUCUCUCUCUAUUUGUUGAUGCCCACUCUAGGUGAAAGAAACUGCAGAAAAUGCUGAUGAAGCUAUGAGAUAACUUCCAAAUGCUAAUUUGGUAAGGUCCCAGAUUGUUUAAACCAUAUCUUUAUAAAAGAAGUAUAUCUUGAAUAGUAACAACAUUUUUUUCUUUUUUCACGAACCAGAGGAUUUGUGGAUUUAUCAUUCAAAGGUUGUUCUCCCCAAGCCUCAUAGGAAGGAAACUCCACAUGGAGAGCUAUAUAGAAGGUGCAUUGGCUAGAUAAAUAUAACAUGGUACUUAUACCACAUUUUUCUGCAUUCCAUGUUAUUUUCCUGGAUUUUUAUUUUAUUUUAUUAUUAUACUCUAAUUUAACACUAUGCUUUCUUUAUCUCAUUCCUUUACUUAGGUACUCAUUUGCAGAUUCUAGAUGCUGAAGAAUAGAUAGGCCUGAAGCAUUUUAGGCCGGUAAAACCAUUGGGAUCUGGUGACACUGGCGGGUUUAGAUGGUUUUUCUAUUUGUUGCCCAACUUUUUGCCCCAAUUUUGUUGGAAUUAUGUUCUAUCCUAUGGCUCCUAUUUAGGAACCAAAGGAUUUAUUUCCCUUUUAGGCCUAAUUUGACUCCAUUCAUUUCUGGGUGUUGAAAAUUUUUCGUUUUUGAGAAGAUUUGCUUCUGGGUAUUUAUUGUGUGUUGUUUAUCUUGAAGAAACCGCAUCUAUCAGUUGCAAUUUGCUUUUACAGGAGCAAGUUAUAGGCAUGUUUCCUCUUGAUUCUUUCAUUCUCUGUUCCCAUAUAUUUGUGUUCUCGGUUCAUGUUUCAGGAUGAAUCUAUGUUGAUAUGGUACUCUAUCAAAGAAGAGAAACAACUUAAACUAAGCAAUGUUUCAAGAAUUAUUCUUGGACAGUGUACUAUAAGUUUCUAUAAAUCAUAACCUGAGGCAACUUUUAGACCAUUCUUGAAUUCAAACUUACAUCUUGUUCUUAUGUUUUCCAUCUAUUGUUGUAGUUCAUCCAAAUCUCUCCCCACUCAUAUCCACUCUUGAGUUGAGGCCUCUCAACCUUUCAAUGUAUGCCAUUGAUUUUGAGGAUAGUUUCUUCUUAAAAGUUGCAGCUAUAGUGAAUUUUGGUGCUCCAUAACUACUCUUCAGUGUUUACUAGCAUUACUUAUUGUCAGUUCCACAGUAGUAUGACUAAUAUAUUUAUGUGUUUGUGAGAGUUUUUUCAUAUAUACAAAUGGAAUCUUAUGAAGUUAUUCUAGAAGUAAUUUUUUUUUGAAUUUCUAUUGGAUUAUGAUUUGGAUUUAUUUAUUUCUUUUUCUUGGUUGGUUGCACCUUUUGAUUUGCAAGAAAAGAGGAUGAAAAUGAAAAGCUAAAGAUAUUCUUGUUAAUUUAACCAUUUGAUUCUCUUUCAGGCAGAAUAUGAGGGAAAUUUGAAGGGAAUCCUUGGUUACACUAAUGAUGAUGUGAUAUCAAGUGAUUUUGUGGGAGACUUCAUGUCACACCCCAAAUUCUGGGCAACCCAAAAUUUGGCCUAUGACCCCAGGUCAAAGGUUUGACCCUAAGGGUUCCUCCUAAUACACGUUCUGAAAUUAUUUUUAUUUUUCUACGCAUAAUCACACUAAAGCUCCCUCCAAUUAACAAUUCAAUUUAUCAACAUACUAACCACUACUCAAGAGCAAUUAUAUAUAAUAAUGAUCAUUAAAAUCUAGAAAUAAGAGUUCACAAUUGAACAAAUUAAUCAAAAUAAAGUCUCAUUACAAAAAUAUAGUUUCAAAGUUUGCUAAUACAAGUCCCAAAAUAGCCAACAUAACAAAUACACUACAAUUCGAUAGGCUGCUCCAAGAUCUCCUAGGGCAUCUUAAAGUCCUCCUUACCUCACCUAUGGAUCCUCAGGAGUUACAUCUACAUCUAAAAAGAUGUAAAAAGAAAGGGGUGAGCAUUCCACAUUGCUUAGUAGGAUGUCUUACAUAGGGUGUCUUACACCUAAGGGGUUAAUUGGAAUACUAAGUUCCAAGUGAAUACAAAAGAAACAUUCGACCAGCAUUGGUCAACCCACAUAUUUUAAUUUCUAUAAUUAUAACAAUUCCACAAUUUUCAACAAUUAAAUAAAAUGCAUAUAAAUAUGUGACACACACACUCAUACAAUGCAUUGUCGUUCUCGGGCUUUCAUUGAAUGAUACACGUUCGUACCCAAAUACACUCCCCAUUUGAAGUCUUAUUUUUGGGUCUUUCACCCUUGGGAUCUUUCUCUCUUCUUAAUUUGUCACACAUGAGCCUUUACUGUUCAUUAGUAUUUCAUUUUUCUUCUUUUUUUCAUUUCAUGCACUUUUCUCAAUUUUUAUUUUUUCCUUCACACAACCAUGAUGCAAAUGAAAUGCACUGAGGUCAAUUAUAUUAUUCGCAAAUAUCACAAUAUCAAAUAAAAAUUUUCAACUAGUCUAAAUAUUAUUGAAAUUACAAUCAUACCACAAUUUCAUAAUUUUUCAACAAUCCCAAUAAUUCAAAUAAUCAAAUAUAAUUAUUUUCUCCAUAAUAAAAUUAUCAAAAACAAUAAAAUAAAUUUCCAACAAUUCAAAUCUCAAUUAAACAUAAUUUAUAGCAAAAUUCCAUAAUUUUCUAACAACACCAAUACUCCAAUAAUCAAAUAUAAUUAUCUUUCCACAAUAAAAUUGUCAAAAAUAUUCCAAUAAAUUAUCAAAAAAUCCACAUAUUAAUAAAUUAUAAUUUAUACGACAAUUUCAUUUAUUCUCAACAAUUCCAUUAAUUUUAACAACCCAAAUGCAAUCAUUUAUCGAUCAAAAAAAAAAAAAAAUUCGUCAGCACCAAAUUUUCAAAAAUAUUCCCAAAUCAUCUAAUCAAAUUUCCUAUAUCACAAAUAUUACCUAUUUAUCUCCUAACAACAAAAUUUAUAAUCUUUUUCAAGAAAAAAAAUAUUUAAUUAAAGUUUUAGGGUUAAGUUUCCUUACCACAGUUCUACCAAUUGGACCGUUGAAAACAAAAUCAAUCAUCAUAGAAACGUUCCUUGCAUUGAGUAGAACUCUCCCGCAAAAUUCCAUGUGAAACAUAUCUCGUUUGACUGUCCAAAUGGUCGGCUAAAGGCAACGGCACUGUGACUCUCCCUAUCGCCACCAAGACCCCUGCCCUUUCUGCCACUUCUCUUUUCCUUUUCUCCUUCCCCUUUUUCAUUUCUUAUUCAUUUUGCCUUUAAGCCUCUCAGCCACUAAAUGACCCAUGACCCAACACCAUUCAAAGCCUUUGAAUUAUUGAUUUCUUGUUUUGUAUUUUUUUUUUCUUUUUCAAUUCAUUUCCCUUUCUUUUCUUAAUUCAUUUUUCAUUUCACUUCAUUUUCAUUCAUUUUUUUUUCUAACAACACACGAAAUAAAUUAACAAACACUAUCCUAAAAAAUUUUAACUUUUUCAAAUUUAUUAUUAAGCAAAUUAAUUCAAUUAAAAUUAACUAGAACUAAUUAAGUAAAAAUUAAAUUAAUUUGCAUAAUAAUAAAUUUGAGAAAAUUAAAAUUUUUUGGGAUGAUGUUUGUUAAUUUAUUUUUGUGUGUUGUUAAAAAAAAUGAAUGAAAAUGAAGUGAAAUGAAAAAUGAAUUAAGAAAAGAAAGUGAAAUGAAUUGAAAAAGAAAAAAAAACAAAAGAAAUCAAGAAUUCAAAGGCUUUGAAUGGUGUUGGGUCGUGAGCCAUUCAGUGGCUGAGAGGCUUAAAGGCAAAAUGAAUAAGAAAUGAAAAAGGGGAAGGAGAAAAGGAAAAAAGAAGUGGUAGAAAGGGGAGGGGUCUAGGCGGUGACAGGGAGAGUCAUAGUGCCACUACCUUUGGCCAACCGUUUAGAUAGCCAAACGAGCUACAUUUCGCGUGGAAUUUUGAGGGAGAAUUCUACUCAAUGCGAGAAACGUUUUGUAGACCCCCGGAAGCAGGGACCUUUUUUUUUUAAUUUUAAUUUUUAUUUCCCGGGGCUCGACAUGAUGGGAGAGCUGUGUUUGGGGGCUCUGAAGCUGCAGGGGAGAAGGCAGAGCUUUUGGGGGCUACAGAUGGGACGGGAUACGGUUGGCUUGCGGAGGAAGACAAGAAGAGAAGAAAAACAGAGGGAGAAAAAAAAAAAAAAAAGGAGGAUUCUUCGGGGGGAGAGGAGCUUGCCUGAGGAAGAAGGAAUGCGCAAAGGAGUCACUGUGAAAGAGGCAUCUCAGGUAUUAUUCCUAUAAACUAUUUACUCAUUUUCGUGUUAAUGCCAUUUUUUUCUUUUUGUUAAGAAACUCUGUUUUGGUGUUGGAGCAUGCUCGCACUCACGUUGCGUGUGAUUGCUAACCCGUUCUCAUGGGAUUAUUUUCCGAGUUUUCUUUCUUUCUUUCAUGAGUUGUUGGCCGUCACGACUUGAUUGCUAUUUGCAAACCUUUUGGAAAUUCAUUUGAUACCCAUAUCCUCGUUCCCAUGCAUACGCCUACUUAACCGCAUUACCAAACCCAUUUUUUCCUCUUACCUGUGCAUGGCUUCGCAUGGCCAUCUUGUAUACCCCUUGCCCAUAUUCUCGGACCCAGCUGGAAAAGUGUCACGGGAAAUGAUCUUUGAGGCCUGAGAACAGCCCAGAACCCUUGCCUUGCUGCCCUAGUUGACCACACACUUGUCAAGUGUGGAUGCAAUACCAUGUUCAUAGGGUUGUCGGCGAGGAAGGCUGCCACAUGCGCAUGCGCUAUGAGAGGUGGCCAUGACGAUGAUAACCAGAAUUCUGGGUGUAGAAACACGACACGAAAGUUUGCUCCAUUACCUACUUCCCCCCGCUCAGCUUCAUACCCAUUUCUCUCACAUUCUUGAAUUUCCAUGCAAACGAUGUUCCAUGCACGCAGCUGCCCUUGCCACACUCCAUUUCGUUUGGUCCUCAAGCUCAUCAUGCCAACAUUCCACUUUCUCACACCUCACAUCCAGCAGGAUUUGCUAGCCACAUCCUUGAAUCCCUCAUCCACCACCUUCGGUCUCUCCAACAACGACUCAUUGGUGGACGCCUUCAACGGGGUCUCCGUCCUCUAGGAGCACGUCGUGACGCAGCGGCAGUCACUGACCUCCUCGCGGCAGCAACUCCGCCGUCUCGGCGCCGCCCUCAAAGCCGCCACCCCUUCCCUCUCCUCUACGUCGUUGCUGGUGGAGGCCUCGCCUGAGGGAGCUGCCCAGAUGGAUGGGGGUUGCCUUGGGCUGUGAAGGAGCUCGUGUUGGUGACGGGCUUGGUGCUGCCCAUGAUGGCUAGUGGGCUUGAAGACUUAGGUGUUUUUGUUAGUGGCUUUGGGCUUGUGAUGAAGCCCAAGCCCAAGCAGGGAGAUGAAGAAAAUAAUGAGGAAAAGAAGACCUCACUGAUUUAUUGGCCCAUUCUAAAAUUGGCCCAUUGGCUUGCUCCCACUUUAUACGAAUCACUUUCUUUAAAGCACUAAUUUCCUAAUAAACUUUCUAACUUCCAAUUUCAAAGCCUAAUUUAUAAAAAUUCAACCUUCAAAUAAUAUUUCAAAAUUCCGAUCUUUAAAAUUCAAUUCCAAUUUCCGAAAAUUCUCAUACUCAUUUUAAUCUAUUUAAUUAUUAUUAUUUUAUGUAUUUAUUUUAAAAUUCCAUUUCAAACAAUUCUUUAAAAUUUCCGAAUUUCAAAUUUAAUUUCUAUUUCUGAAAAUUCCAAUAUUCACCUCAAUUUAUUUAAUUAUUAUUAUUUUAUUUAUUUAUUCUAAAAUUCCAUUUUAAACAAUUCAUUAAAAUUUCCACUUUCAAUUUUAAUUUCUAAUUCCAAAAAUUCCAAUAUUCACAUUAAUCUAUUUAAUUAUUUUAUUUUAUUUAUUUAUUCUAAAAUUCCAUUUUAAACAAUUCUUUAAAAACUUUCGAAUUCCGAAUUUAAUUUCUAUUUCUGAAAAUUCUAAUAUUCACUUUAAUCUAUUUAAUUAUUAUUAUUUUAUGUAUUUAUUCUAAAAUCCCAUUUUAAACAAUUCAUUAAAAUUUCCGACUUCCGAUUUUAAUUUCUAAAUUCCAAAAAUUCCAAUAUUCACAUUAAUUUAUUUAAUUAUUAUUAUCUUAUUUAUUUAUUCUAAAAUUCCAUUUUAAACAAUUCAUUAAAAUUUCCGACUUCCAAUUUUAAUUUCUAAAUUCCUAAUCUCGAAAAUUCACGUAUUCCCAUUAAUUUAUUUAAUCAUCAGUAUUUUAUUUAUUUAUUUUAAAACUCCAAUUUAAAUCAAUUCUUUAAAACUUCUGAUUUCCGAAUUAAAUUCCCAAUCCCAAAAAUUCCCAUAUUCCCAUUAAAUUAUUUGAUCAUUAGUAUUUCAUUUGUUUAUUUAUUUCAAAACUAUAUUUUAAUACAAAUUCUUUAAAACCGCUGAUUUUCGAAUUAAAUUCCCAAUCCCAAAAAUUCCCAUAUUCCCAUUAAAUUAUUUGAUCAUUAGUAUUUUAUUUAUUUAUUUAUUUCAAAACUUAAUUUUAAACCAAAUUCUUUAAAACCACUGAUUUUCGAAUUAAAUUCAUAAUCCCAAAAAUUCUCAUAUUCCCACUAAAUUAUUUGAUCAUUAGUAUUUUAUUUAUUCAUUUAUUUCAAAACUCUAUUUUAAAUCAAAUUCUUUAAAACCGCUGAUUUCCGAAUUAAAUUCCUAAAUCCGAAAAUCCCCAUAUUCCCAUUAAUUUAUUUAAUCAUUAGUAUUUUAUUUAUUUAUUUAUUUCAAAACUCCAUUUUAAAUCAAAUUCUUCAAAACUUCUGAUUUCCGAAUUAAAUUCCUAAUCCCGAAAAUUCUUAUAUUCUCAUUAAUUUAUUUAAUCAUUAGUAUUUUGUCUCCAUUUUAAAUCAAUUCUUUAAAACUUCAGAUUUACAAAUUAAAUUCCUAAUCCUGAAAAUUCUCAUAUUCACAUUAAUUUAAUCACUAAUAGUUUGUUUAUUUAUCUUAAAAUUCUAUUUUAAACAAUUCUUUAAAAUUUCUGACUUCUAAAUCUAAUUUCUAAUUUCAAAAAUUCCAGCAUUCCCAUUCAUUUAUUUAAUCAUUAUUUUCGUCCUUAUUAUCAUUAUUCCAUUUAUUUAUUUCAAAAUUUCAUUCUUAAACAUUUUUUUUGAAUCCCAAUUUCCGAACUUAAUUUCUGAUUUCUAAAAUUCUAAAUCCAAUUUUCUCUCUAACAGUUUUAAUUCUCUUCGGGUUUCAAAUAAUCUUUGAUUUCUCUUGAUUUUAUAUAAGCAUGAAUGCUAUUUUCAUAAUUUCAGAAUAAUGGAAUUUGUGAGACUAAUUCGUGCAAAAUAGAAUGGGCUUUGGUGGGGGCCCCACAUAUGAGAUUUCAUGAUUGAUUGACUGAUUGAUCGAUUCAUUUGCCAUGUGUGAUCGAUUUAUUUUGUUCCUUGAUAUACAUAUAAUCAUUUUGCGUUUAUUCACUAACCUCAUUCCAUGAUAGCGCGUUGCUGUUUGCUGCCCAGGUACGCAUUCACUCAUUCUGAUCAUUCACUAUACAUAUUCUGAUUCUCAUAUAUGCAUGAUUGAUGUGAGUAUCCAUUGACUUUCUUAUUCGAUUGUCACACCAGUUUCACUUUAUUAGUAGAGACCCGACUUUAGGGACUUAGAGGGGUGCUACGGUCUCUACCGUACCUUCCCGAUAAGUAAUCUGACCCGGUUUUUCGCAGACCGCCUUUUUCAAAAUAAGGAGUCACACUUAGGGUUUUUCUUUCUUAUUUUGUUUACCCUUUAAAAAUAAAACAAAAAUAAGUGGCGACUCCAAGUCAUUUUUUCUUAAUCAAAUAAAAUCAUUUUUCUAACAAAAAUCGAGUUCGCCAUCGAGUGGGAAACGCAUUGAGCCGAAAUGCGGGGUCCACACGUUUCUACGCUGGUUGAUUUUGUUUUCAACGAUUUGAUUGGUAGAUCUGUGGUAGGGAAACUUAACCCUAAAACUUUAAUUAAAUGUUUUUUUCUUGAAAAAAAUUAUAGAUUUUGUUGUUAGGGGUUAAAUAGGUAAUAUUUGUGAUAUAGGAAAUUUUAUUGGAUGAUUUGGGAAUAUUUUUGGAAAUUUGGUGAUGACGAGAAUUUUUUUUUUGGUUGAUAAAUGAUUACAUUUGAGUUGUUAAAAUUAAUGAGAUUGUUGAGAAUAAAUGAAAUUAUGGUAUAAAUUAUAAUUUAUUGAUAUGUGGAUUUGUUGAGAAUUUAUUGGAAUAUUUUUGGUAAUUUUAUUGUGAAAAAAUAAUUAUAUUUGAUUAUUGAAAUUAUUGGAGUUAUUGGAAAAUUAUGGAAUUUUGUUAUAAAUUAUGUUUAAUUGAAAUUUGAAUUAUUGAAAAUUUAUUUGGUUGUUUUUGGUAAUUUUAUUGUGGAGAAAAUAAUUAUAUUUGAUUAUUGGAAUUAUUGAGAUUGUUGGAAAAUUAUGAAAUUGUGGUAUGAUUGUAAUUUCAAUGAUAUUUGGACUAGUUGAAAAUUUGUAUUUGAUAUUGUGAUAUUUGUGAAUGAGAUAAUUGACCCUAUUGCAUUUUAUUUGCAUUAUGGUUGUGUGAAGGAAAAAAUAAAAAUUGAGAAAAGUGCAUGACAUGGAAAAUGAAGAAAAAUGAAAUAGUAAUGAAAAGUAAAGGUCCAUAUGAGGCGAAUUAAGAAGGGAGAGAGAUCCCUAGGGUGAAAGACCCAAAAAUUUACCCUGAAAAGACUCCGAAUGGGGAGUGUAUUUGGGUAUGAACGCGUAUCAUUCGGUGAAAGCCCAAGAACGACAGUGCAUUGUAUGACUCUGUGUCAUAUAUCCAUAUGCAUUUUAUUUAAUAGUUGAAAAUUGUGGAAUUGUUAUAAUUAUACAAAUUAAAAUAUGUGGGUUGACCAAUGCUGAUGAAAUGUUUCUUUUGUGUUCACUUGGAACUUAGUAAUUCCAAUUAACCUCUUGAGUGUAAGGCACCCUACUGAGCAAUGUGGAAUGUUCACCCAUUUCUUUUUACAUCUUUUUAGAUGCAGAUGUGACUCUUGAUGAUUCACAGGUGGGGCAAGGAGGACUUCAGGAUGCCCCAAGAGAUCUUGGAGCAGCCUAGUGGAUUGUAGUGUAUUUGUUAUGUUGGUUAUUUUGGGACUUGUAUUAGUAAACUUUGAAACUAUAUUUUUGUAAUGAGACUUUAUUUUGAUUAAUUUGCUCAACUGUGAACCCUUAUUUAUAGACUUUAAUGAUUAUUAUUAUAUCUGGUUGCUCUUGAGUAGUGGUUAGUAUGUUGAUAAAUUGGAUUGUUAAUUGGAGGGAGUUCUAGUGUGAUUAUUCGUAGACAAAAAAAAAAAAAUUCAAAGCGUUUUGGUUGACUACUAGUGUGGAUUAGGAGGAAUCCUGGGUUAAACCUUUGACCCGGGGUCAUGAGCCAAAUUUUGGGUCGCCCAGAGUUUUGUGACACUGCAGGUGAGGCAAAUCUUAAAUCAAUGCUUUGUCUAUUCUGCAAGUGAAUUGUACAAUGAACUGCCCUUUGGCAGGUUGAGUAUUUUUUAUGCCAAGGCUAGAAUUUCUAAUGACAACUUUAUCAAGUUGGUCUCUUGGUAUAUAAUGAAUGGGGUUACAAGUAAUUUUCACAGAAUGUUCAUAAUUUAAGCCAGUUGUUAUAAAUGAUGAAUAUAUAGUUAAAUGAACUACUUCCAAUGUGCUGCUCAACUUCAUUUUUUGAUGAUUCAAAUAUGUAAAUGUAAAUCGAUCACACUUGCAUCAUUGUUCAGGUUGCAUUUUCUGAAUACCUAUAAAAAUUAAAAAAUAAUGUAGCUUUUCUAUUUAUGUCUUAAAGUUGGUUAAGAAGAAGAUAGAAUAGCAGUCCAGUGGUAAUAGUUGGAGCAAAAGAUGAUUGACUAUAGAAGACAUUGAUUCGAGUUUGGUGUUCAUGUACACACCUGUAACAGAGAGGGUUCUUAAAGGAGAAGCGCAAUAUAAACAUACAGAUUUUGUAAAAGCAGGUGUGAGGUAGAUGAAAUUUGUGCUACAUAUUCCUAAUAGAUCUGUGGAGUCAUGAUUUUACAGACAUGCUAGCAUGCUAUUGUAACUGUUUCUAAACCUUAUCUGGUUUUAGAAAAUGCAUGAGAUAUCUUUUUGGAAGUGUUCUCUUUGUCAAUGGACCAUAAUCUCCAUUAGUGUUACUGUGUUUCGACUUUUUAUUGAAGAAGUGUACAACAAGUUGACUGUAGCAAUUAGUUCAGUGCUAGCAUUUUCUUCCCAGCAUUACUGGAUCUAAUAAGAACUUUUAUCGGAAUGUGCAAAAUCAUUAGGCUAUAUACAAUAAGCAGCAUUUGAAGUUCUAUAUAUGGUUAUCUGAUGAUUGUUUCAAACCAGAACACCAGAUUAAUCCAGUACUGGUACUCCAUUUUCAAUCGAAAAAUAGGGAUUUCCACCAGAAUUGAAUUAAUUACUUUGUAUUGUGUUUCUUUUAUCUCUAUCUGCUACUUUUGUAUCUGUCAUUGAUCAAUCCAUGUGUGAUAUUCUACAUCCUCUUAUCUAAUGGAAUCAGAAUGAAAUCUGUGUACUGAAAAAAUAAUUCCUUUCCUUUUUUAUUUUUUGGCAGUGGUGCCAAAGAUGUUGCUUAACUGGUUGUCCACUUAGGGUGUUUAGCCUGAACACCGGGAGGUUCAACCCAGAUGUAGCAUCCGCAUUGAAUGCAUGUUUCCAGACGCUACUGAAGUUCAGGGCUUGGUGAGUGUCGUUGUGUGAGGAAAGUGAGACCUCAUCUUCUAGCUGGCAAAAUUCAAUUUGUAAAUGUUAGUCUCAUUGAUGUUGUUCUCAACUACAGUAUGUAGUUUUUGCAAUAUGAUGUGGUUGCAUUUAUUCUUACUUUUGGCUAGCGCUAUUGGCCCCCACCAUAGACCCCUUUUCUCUUAUAGUGAGAAUUGAAUAAAAAGUUCAUUAGUUAUUGUUAAAUAAAAAAUUUAAAAUAAGAUUAAGACUAAUAUAAAAACAAAAUAUAAAAUUCCCACCUGAAAAUAUAAAAUAAUAUUUGAAAAUUCAUCACUCUAUUAAUUCUUAUCUUUUGUUUAUCUAAUCCUUCUUCAACUUCUAUUUCCCUAUUUAAUUUUUUUUAAUUACAAACAAAUUAAAAUUUUGUAGGAUUGUAAUUUAAAUAUUCAACUCGAAUAAUUUAUAUUACUAUAAAGUAAAACUUUUUAAAUUGGUUAACAUGGAAAGGAAAUUAAUAAAAACAUUACUAUUAAACAAAUUAAAUUAAAAAAAAAGAAGUUAAGCCUUAAAAAUUAUGAGAAAUAAAAUUUAGAUUAUGAAUUCAUAAACAAAAAAUAAAAACCAAAAGUUAAGCAAAGAAAUGAAGUUAGGAUAAUAGAUUAUGAAAAAAAAAAUGAAGAUAGUAAAAAGAUGAGUAUAGAGAAAUGUUAUAUUUAAGCUAGAGACUAUAAAAUAAACUUAUUUUCCCAUUUUUAUUUAUUUUUUGAAUAAAAAUGAGCUUCUACUAAGAAUAAUGAAGUUUUUACCUUUAAUUAUAUGUCACAUUUGUUUAAUUUUCUUAAUAAAUCAAUUAGAAAUAGAAAGAGAUCGAUGCAUAAGAAAUUGAUAAAUUAAUAAUGAGAAAUAAAUAUUUUAUUUUUACAUUUUUAAUUUUUAUUGUAUUUUAAUCAUUUUUUAUUUUAUUUACUCAAUUUAAUAAUGAAAAUAGAUUUUAAAAAAUGAGAAAUUUUAUUAAAAAAUUAGUAUAAUCCAAAAUGUCAAAAAUCAGAUUGGAAAAUCAUUUUUAGGCCUCAAAAUUGCUCAAAAUAGACUCAGAAAACAAGCCUCUAACAUAUACAAGGAUGGCCAUCAAAGCAUACAUGCAAUACCCACACUUAAGACAUUUUAAUUAAUUCAAAUUGAAUUUGUUGAUGGUCCCAUCACACGUAGCCCGAUAUUUUCUUUACCUCCAUCUUCAUGCACUCUUUUGUUCAAUCCCCAAAUGCAAUCUUUUUUACUUAUAUCUCGUAGUUUUCUGCUUGUAGGAGAAGGGAAAAGUGUUUAGCCCAAGGGUGGGAGGGUGGACUCUCAUGUCAUAAACCCAUCUCACGAGUUUGGUUUAUUAGAAAUAAAAGAACAUACAUCCCUAGACCACAAAGUUCAUGCGGUUCAAACAUCCACAAUCAACUUCUAUUUCACAUCUCACACCUAAAACUGGCACACAUUCACUAGUCUAUGUUGUAUGCCUAUGCCUAUGCCAAUACAAAGGUAACAUAGGAUUUCAUUUCAGAAACAAAUAAUAAAAUAGGUACACUAAUAUCUUCCUAACUAUACAUGGGGUUUCCGAGAGACAUGGUUAUCGAUUUCACAUUCCUAUAAAGAUCAAAAUUCAGCAAAAAGUUGAAUAGAGGACUAUCAAGCAAUCUCAACACUAUUCCUGUAUCCCGAUCCAAAAUCACAAGUCUUUAAACUCAUAAUAAUAUAGAACAACAUACCCCAUGACACAUUUAUGACUGAUGAUACCACUUAAAUAAGUCUAAAUUUGUUGAGGUUGAUUAGAAGAGUAACCAAGGUGCUACCAUAUAGCCAUGGUUAGCUAUUUGGCUUACUCUGAACACAUUGGACCCUGAUAUUCAUAGUUUUGUUCCCUAUUUGAUGCACACCAUUCAAACCUUCAUUCUCAAUGCCAAUGCAUAUUAAAUCUUUCCUAUCUCAAUUUCUUUUAUUCAUUCCUUACUAGAUCCAAGCUAUUCCGAAGAGUACCAAAAACACUUGUGAGACAUGCAAUACUAGAGGAAGUUUUAGAUAUAAUUAGGAAAUAACACAAAGGAUUUAAGAUCAUAACAUCAUACAUCCUACCAUAAAGGACAACCUCCUUCCCUUUAUUCUUUCAAUUCUUGAGUCUUAUCUAAGGUUCUCUCAUGCAUGAAAAAACAAAUGUCUUCAACUAUAUGUGCUUACCAUGAGUGUCAAUAGAGCUAGUUAAGCCUUGUAGUCCAAUAACUCCUACACAUAGAUAAAAGAACACACAACUUUAGGGAUAGAUGAAUAAGAUAAAAAAAUCUAAGAUAUGUAAAAAUCUAAGAAAGAAUCCAUAUGCAUCUUUUGAUGAUCCCAAAUAAUAUCAUAGACAAAAUUUAUCUUACAACUGCAUUUAAAGAACAAAUAAUAGUGCAAUCAUUCCGUUUAAUCCCCAUAAUGAUUUGGAAAAGAAAUUCCCUACUAUGGUGGAAAAAAAAAGAAUAAAAAAACAAAAUAUUUGAAAGUACUCAUACUUGAAAUAAUUGUAGCAUGUCAAAUUUUUUAAAUGCUACCAUAACAAAAAUUGCAUAAGAAACAUAGUGAUUUAUUUUAUUUCAUUUCAAAUUACAUAAAACUAAACCCAAGUGCAUGAUUUGAUUUUUAUGUACUAGCCAAAACACCUCCUCUAUCUCUCACUACAAAGGAAAAAAAAAAAAAAUUGCUUAUACCAUAAGCUACUCUACCACCAGCAUUUCCAGUGCCUUUGUUGAGCUCAUAUCCCCAAGAAAAAAUAUAGAAAAGAAACUGUUAUUGCAUGGUAAGAAAGCAAAGAGAUGCUCAAAGCUAAAAUAAAAAUAAAAAUAAGAAAAAUAGGAACACAUAUGUCCAUACUCUAACAAAUUCAAGCCAUUCCCACUUGGGCUAUAUCAGGAGUUACUUUUCCUAACAAUAAAAUUAAACAUACUAAACCAGCCAAGUAUUCUCUUCUAACCGAGUGGUAGUGGUGAUUGGUAAGCAUAUACCAAGGAACCAAUCAACCCUGAUACCAUGGCCUGAAAAACUUAAUAAAGCUCCAGAAACUACAUAUGUGGCUUUUGGAGAUCAUAGUAGAAGCCCAAAAGGGAGUCAGAAUAACUUUAAACCAUAACUCUUAGAACCUGCCUUUGCAAUCACUCACAUCAUAUAUAAUUGUGAUAUCGACACCACCUACUAUUCUGUGAAGAAGCUUUCAGUUCUAAUAAAAUAAAGGCCCAUUUUACCCCUAAUCUGAAGAUGAACUUGGUUAAAAAUUUGAAGUGAGGAUGAAAUGGAUAUUUAAGUUCUCACACAGAUGUCAACCAUGAAAUGGAGAAACUGAAAAUUUUUCAGUUUGCUUUUUUAGGCAGGCUAGGUGUUGAAUCUCAGCUAUAUUUCAUAAAUCUCACAACAGGUUUCUAUUAUUUAACUUAGAAUCACCCAAUCUAGUGUAGUAUAUUAGUACAUCCUUGUAAAAAUGAGGUAACUUCUCCCUAUUGACUCAUGUUAAGGCAUGGUUGUAAAACAAAAUUGAUUCUAUGUUCAAAGCAUUUCGCCAUCAAACAGUCAUCCAUACUACAAAAUAAGAUUUGCAUUCCUGAAUUGAGUCCACCCAAAUUUUUUUCUCUAAAAUUCAUCCUGCACAACUUGUAUUAGAUUAAUAAAAAUAGUCAUCCUGCAUAGCACCCAUCACAAAAAUGAAAUAAUAUUGUGCACAAAAUGAUGGAAUAAAUAUACAUAUGUUUGUCCAAUCUCUGUAAGAUGGAACUUGUUCCAGCAAAAUAUAAAUUAACAUUUGUCAUAAGCUAGGACUGGAGUGUUCAUUCUUAUCCAUUAUUAAUCCACAGUGCAUAGAAUAGCAAUAGCACAAAAUGGAAACACCUGAAAAAUGAGCUUCAUAGAUAGAAGUUUUAUAGCUUACCCUUUCCAAGAUCAUCAGGAUCAAUGUGGACAACAACAACCCUUUCAACAAUGGAGUUUGAUCCAGUGAAAGGAAUCUUUAAGGAAAGAAAAAUUCAAUUUUUAGAUAACAAGAACUAAAUUUCAACCUAGAUGGUCUUCAGGUAUGAGAAAAAGAAUAAAAAGAAAAACAAGAAGUAGAGGUAAAAAUAACCUACCUGCUUGUCAACAAUUUUGAAAUUAAUAGUACCUAAAAAAUGGCAAUGUUAGGGCCAAUAAUAAUGCUUCUAAUGGUAUUCUAUCAAUAGUUAAUUACGACAAAAGUACAUAGUACAUACCAUCCUCACCAACAAUGACAUUUCCUAAAUCACCAACAUGACUAUUCUUGUCUUCAAGAGCACCAUGAUCUUUUCUAGAAGGAUUGAAAUAAGGUCCUAUAAAUAAUAAAUAAAUAAAUGAUCAAAUACUUAAGCUAAAAAGAAUUAUGGAGAAAAUCUAAGAAAGUAAGUCUGACCUAAUGACAAAGGAUGUAAAAAAUGAAGUAACCAAUAAUUAAACAAUACUAGUUGACAUGCAACCAUUUGUCAUGUCCCCAAGGGCAUGCACAUGGAAGCCAUGAAGUCCAAGCUUAAGGCAAGAAAGACUCCCAAUCACUAUAGUUGUCCUAGCUAUAUCACACUAUCAUCCAAAGGUGAAUUUUUUGCUGCAACUUCAUGUGUUUGUCAAGAUAUUUGAUUGAAGAUAAUUCUUAAAGAGCUUUGUUUCAAGCAACCAGAACCCACUCCAAUUUAUUUUGAUAGCAGCUCAACAAUUAAACUCUCCAAGAAUCUUGUUCUACAUUAAAGAAGCAAACACAUAAAUGUGAAGUAUCACUUUUUAUGGGGCCUCACUAAGGAUGGAAUGAUUGAUCUUAUUUACUACAAAAGUGAAGAUCAAGUCGCUGACAUGUGUACCAAGUCCCUCAAAUCGCUCACAUUUCAGAAGUUAAGAAAAUUGCUUGUUGUUUGCACAUUGGAUAAUCGAAUUUAUGUGCGGGUGCUUUGAGGCUUACUCUUAUUAAACUAACUAUUCUGACAAAAAACAUUAGUGUAAGGGAGGGAUUGUUGAAUAAAAAUGCAAAGAGUCAAAGUAAAAUAUGGAGUCCUUAGUGGUAUGUUUCAUUUGCCCUGGCCUCUAAGAAAUGGUUAAUGAGGAGCUAGUCCUUAGUAGCUCCACGUAAGUAGUGGUAGUAGGGUGUUAUUUUCUAAUGUUUAGCAGGUUGUUUCCUUAUUUUUAGCCUAAGAGUCAUUUGUAACUUUGCCUAUAUACUCUUCAUGUGAAUAAAAAGGGCUUCCUACAUUCCACCUUACCAUUUCUAACACUCUAUUGCGAAAUAAUCAAAUAAAUAGGAAAAUGAUAAGUCCAAAUCUGGAUAAUUGAAUACCUAUAAUGAAAUCUAAGCCAUUGAACGAGGGUACAAACAAAUUGGACCAAGGUACAAGGGUAACAUGCCAAAAUGUGGUAUUUUAUCAUUAUUUUGCCUGAUUUAUUGUGGAUAUUUCACUGCCACAUCGGCAUUUAUUUUCUUCAAAAUUUUAAGGCCUUUGGAGUCUAUGCUGUCCAUACUCAACCCAUGGUUUGCUUGUGAUGAUGGCUUGGGGCAUUGUUUAUUGAAUGCACCAUACUUUUUUCUUAAAAUUUUGAUGUGGGAUUGCUCCUUUUAAACCAAUAAAAAAGUUCAUUGAAGCUCACCCACAAGGCUAUAGGUCAUACCUUGGUGCUUAAGCAUGGGAUGAGAUUCCACUAAAAGAAAGGCCUUUUUUUUGUUAGAUCUGCACAUUUAACUAUAUAUGAUAUUAUUAAUUACAAAUAAGUUAAUUUUAAUUUUUUUUAUAUAAUAGUUAGAUAUAUAAUAGAUGUGAAUUUAUAUUAUGGGUGAUAAGGCAUUGCUUCAUGUUGAUAGUGAAUUUGUAACAAUUUAUCAAUUAAUAUGGAGUUAAGUACUCUUUCUAACUGAAUUUUUGGUAUUAGCAUUUACAAAAUAAAUUUCUUCUUCUGAAAUUUUGGUUUUAAUAUUUCUAUUUAAAUCUAUUGGGAAAUUUGUUUUGUAAAUAUUUCUUGAGCAGUCUUGAGUACACUUGGGAGGUUUUCUCACUACAAAAUGUUCGAUAAUUGCAUCAGUCCAGUUGAUAUUUUGUAAGGAAAAUCCAUAAAGUUUCAAAAUAGGGAGAAGUAUAAAAAAAAGUCAAAAAUACCUUUCACAAUGGCUAUUUUUUUUUUUCCUUUUUUCACAAAAUAGACUUUCUUAUAAAAUAGGAAAUGCAAUUACAAUUUUUCCUUUUAUUGUUAAGCCUGUUCAGCCAAUAAUAAACCUGUGACACAGAUUUUCCUAACCGAAGUUUUUAAAAAUUCACUAUAAAGGGGCCUUUUUAUUAGACAUUACCUAUUUGUAUUAGCCCUUAACUGCAUUUGGAAAGGAAAAGGAAUUGUGAAAAUUUGAAUUCUAUUGUUAAUCAGUCCUUGGUCUCCAAUAGUUUAGUUGUUUGUGAUUUUAUUGUCUUCAAGAGACCAGUUGGAGGGGUUCUAGUUUAGUUGUUUGUGAUUUUAUUGUCUUCAAGAGACCAGUUGGAGGGGUUCUUGGAGGGGGUUGAAAUUGAACCACUCUACUUUAGAUGCAAUGUAUAAAGAAGUUUGUAAUUCCUAGUAGAUUUAUAAAUACUUUUUGUUUUGACUUGGAAAUGAGAUAUUCUUUUGUUGGUAGAUUUAUAGAGAGGUUUUGACUCGAGAUUAAUGUAAAUGACAAGAUUUAAUAAUAUAUUAGUUUGAAUUCUCCAGCUUUAAUGGACAUGCCCUAUCAAACUUGAAGCUAUGGUAGAAGCUCUCUUUAGUAUAUACAAGGUAUAUGAAAGUUUACUGGUUUUCUGUGCUAUUCUUGUCUCAGAUUUUUGUUAUAAAUCUUAUUAUUCCUUCAGAACUAUUCUUUAGUUCCAUUAUUUUCAUUAUGCUCAACUAUUUACUUAAGUCAUUGUCAUCUUUUUACACUUGUUUUUCUCACUUAAGUCAUUGUCUUCUCUGUACGCUUGUUUUUAUCACCUCAUUAGUCAUUGUUGUUCCUUUGCUUGAUCCUUCAAUGCGUGCAACAACUUUAGCACCAUCGGACAUAUUAACAUCUUUUGAUCUUUUAUUUUUUAAAUUUAUUUUAUUACUAUAUUUUAUUCUAAUGUUCAAACACCGUCAAACAUGUUCCUUUUCUUGGGCCAAAGUUGCUUCUCUGUAUAUUUUUAUAUAUGGUUAUGCAUCCCAUGUUUUGGGUUGAUUUCUUGGGAGAACCAGGCCAGUUAUUGGAAGAGGAUGCACAAGUAUAGGCUGUAAGCAUUUUCCCUCUCUCUCUCUCUAGUGACUUAUCAUUCUAGAACACACUUCUCUGUCGUCGCAUCAUGGGACAUAUCAAUUUAUUAUGACUUAUGAAUUGGCCUGUCAUGGUGGCAUUACCUUUGUAGCAAACCAAGUGUGCAAUACUUACAUCAUUCUACAAUGAACACCAUCAAAACUCAAGUGAUAUUUAUCACCAUUUGGAGAUGUUAUGCAUUUAGGUGAGAAGUAGGUCUGUGCACAGAAUUUCCUAGGUAUUUUGAUGAUGCUAAGCCUAAAAUAUAUCUUCUUGUUUCUCCUAUUCUUGACUGGACUCAUCAUGAAAACUUGAAACACUAAAAAAUAAACUACAAAAUUCAACAUUUUGCCCAAUGGACAAAGUUAGAUGAUUUAUAAGAGUGAUCGAUCUUCACAUCCUUGAAGGUCAUUUAUAUGUGAUGAUAAAAGAGUAAGAUUAUGAGAGCUGAGAGGUGCAUAGUUUGUCUAUUAGAAGUGGUCAAAUAGAAAGAAGACUUUCACACUAAAUUUGAACAUCUGUGGAAGCUAAGGAAAUUGUUGAUCAUGCCUUCAAAUUCAAUAUAUGGCUCAAACUUUGCUUGUUUGCUUAAUAGGAUAUAUUUUAUGUUAGUGUGGAUUUCAAAAUCCACUGCAUAAGAUUAAAAGAAAAAAAAAUUGAAUGAUUGAAAUCCUUAUCAAUUUUAAAGACACAUAUGGCAUGGCAAGAAAGAAUGUUAAGCAUAACAUAGACAUAUAUAUAAAAUCGAAAAUAAAUUCAAAUACAUGCUCAUAUACAUACAUCAAACAACAAAAAUCAAAUCAAUCCAAAGAACAUAAAAUAUAUACGAAAGAAACAAAGGAUGAAAGUACAUUCCUUAUUAGUAUAUAAGCAAGCACUCCCCCAAAAGAAAUUGUUAGUUUAACAAGGUAAUAAAUCAAGGAGUUACAUAUAUACAAGGCAUCAUGGGGAACAAAGAAUGAAUUAGAAGAAAAGAAACAAAUUCUAAGUGAUGAGGCAUGCAUAAAAGAUUGACUAAAUUAUGAUAUAUAUUCAGCAAAACAAGACAGCAUAUAAGAGUCUUCUAAAUAAAUCUAAAACAAAUACUAAACAUGCUCAUUUCAUCAUGAUAAAAAUUAGGUAUGACCUUUAAUAAGUAUACAUCAAAUUCCAAAAGGCCAAAUCAAUUAUUCCCAAACCAAUUGAUGCCAAAAAAUUACACAAGUUAAUCAAUACACAGUGAGUUUAGCUAAAAUUGAGGAAUAACUGCAAGGAGUCUAGUUUCUAGCCUAAUUGGACAAAUUCACAAAUCAUAUGUCAAAUAAUACCAACAUUCAAAACAAUCAAAUUGGUUCAAAACAGGGUCAGUGCACAGGUCAUGCAAAAAUGAAUUUUUUUAGCCUACUUAGGGUUGCCCAAAAUUCGAGCCAAAAUUCAUACACAAUAUUGAAAAUGUUUAUUUCAAAGGGAAAAUGACACUAAGGCGUGAUCACACAUCUAACAUAUUUAAAAUCAAUUUAGCAUUCAGAAUGUCCAAAAUAGAGCUUGUGUACAAGGUAACUAAAGACAAAAUUAUAUCUUAUGUUAGGAAAAAAUAUAAUCAUGUAUUAAACAAGUCAUCUUCUAAUUUAAAUUCACAGAUCAAUCUCAAGGAUAUAGAAUAAAGCAUUGAAAUAAGCUAUUACUUAAAAAAUAAGAUUUCAAAACUUGAAAAUGAACAUGUUAAGAGUUACCACUUCCCAAUUUUAUUUGAAUGAAAAUUUCCAUGUCCAAAUUUCAUUCCCAUGAAAGGUCACAAAUUCAUUUUGAAAACAAAUUUGAAAUGCAUACCAAUUCAAAAAAAAAAAAAAAAGGUAGCAUUGAUGUUUUUGAAAACUCAUUUUGAACCUAUGGAAGUAAGAGGAUAUUAGAAAUGAGAACGACCAUUUUUGAGAACCUUAAAAUCAUUUUUGAAAGUCUUGAAAACAUAUUUUACAAACACACAACCAAACAAGGGAAUCCAAAUAAAUAAAGAACACCUAUUCAAGCUAAAUAUCUGCAUUUGUGUGUGUGAAAUGUGAAGAUCAACAUGCAGUUGUACCUACCUUUGCUAGUAACCUAAACAUGCAUCAAAGAUCAAUUUAAAGACCCUAAACAUGUUACUAAAUCAUCAAGCAAUCAAUGAUAACAAAAAAUUCACAAUUAAUAUCAAAUUUAUUCACAAGUGGGUUACUUCGCAAGUGAUUAGAACAGAAGACUCUACAAGUCGAAUUUGAAAAAAAUAUCUAGAAGUCAAAUUUUAUCAUGAAAAAUUUCAAAGAAUAUCUCCUAUAUGUCUAAUUUAUCAUCCAAGUGGCCAAACUAAUUAAUUAAAUCUCAUUUAGUACCAGAUUUCACAAGAAGCAUAAUAGGUCUAGAAUAGAGUAAUUUUCCAUAGCAUGUGAGAAUUAAUUUUUUAAUUAACUUAGAAUUGUCCUAAAACCCUAAAAAAAAAUUCAUAAAACUCAUUAAUAUUCUAAUUUAUAUGAAAAAUAAUCACAGGGUAAGAUCACAUGCAUAACAUAUUUAAAAUUAAAUUAACAUCUUGAAGCUCUAGAAGAAGACCUAUGCAGUAGGUGCAAGAAGAAAAAAAUCAUAUCUCUCAUUUUAAUAAUUAUUUAUUAAUAUUUAAUAUGUCAAAAAUUGAAUUAAAGAAGUCUAUAUUAAGUAAAAAAUAUCUAAAUAUUGAUGGUGAGGCCCUGGCUGACCCUUCGAAAAAAAUCCCCUUGAGCUUAUUGAAUGGGCUGAUCUACCCAGAACCACAAAUCCCUAAGAGGGGAUAUGCAACCACUAAGCCUUGAGAGGAGGACGGCCUGAGCAAGCAACCAAUCCUGCAUAAGCUCGGACCAAAAGGUAUUGUCUAGGAGACACCAAUCGGCCAUGGACCAAACGAAUGGAUUCUCGUGCGAGGCCAUCGAGAAAGCACUACUCGAAACCACCACAUGUCUUCUUGAUGACAUGUUGUCAACACCUUUGGCUCCCCAAAUCAUGCAACAAAGGCAUCCCCCAAGAUUCACAGUGCCCAAAUUCACCAUUUAUGAUGGCACCACAGACCUUUUCGACCACCUCAUGCACUAUUGCCAGGUAAUGGCCCUAGACAUAGGAGAUUAUGUGCUUCAAUGCAAAGUAUUCCCGGUGAUUACUACUCAAAGAGUGCUAUUUUAUAGCUUGUAAUUAACUCUUUUAAACACUUUUGAGUAGUAGUUAUUACCUUUUAACUCAAUUAGCAUAUUAAGUACUUUUGCAAUCAUUUCUAAUCAAAUUGUGUUAAGUUUUGGUGUUUUUUAUAGUAUUUUGAUCACCAAAGCAAUCCAAGAUUGAGGAGAGUUCUAUAGAAUCCUUGGCAAAGCAAUUGGAAACUCAUUUACAUGAAGAAUCCAAGCUUUGGAUCUUUAUAAUCCUUUGCCAAAGGCAAAUCAUGAAUGCAAGGAGGGAAAGCAAAGAGAGAAAUCUAACAUGAAGAAUUCAAGAGGAUAGCAACUGUUGGACACAUUUAGAGCACUUCCUAGAGUCCAUUUCAUGCAUACUAUAUGUAUUUUUGAAGCUCGGGAAGUCAAGAAUCCAACGCUUUAAAUAGUGUGUAAAUCGGAGUUGAAAUGAAAAAGUUAUAGCCAUUAGAAGCCAAUCACACCAAGCUAAAGGCCAAUUUCGCAGCUGCGAAAUCACAAGGUGCUUGCUGCGAAAUCAGCCUUUGGCUGCGAAAUGGAGACCUUCAGCUUGCGAAAUUUCUCAGCCCAUCUUGCAUGCCUGCGAAAUCCACCUGAGUGCUUCAAGAUAUUUGCGAUCGAUUCUUUUAGAUUUUUUUCUUCAGAUAUUUGUUGUUUAAAUCCCCAUUUUCUCCUUGUAAUCCACAAAUCAUAGGAUUCCUUAGUUAAUAAGUAAGAACAAAGGGUGAAUAACCUCAUAUAUAUAGUUUGUAAUUUUCUUUACACAGACAUCUCGGGAGCUUGUUCUCAGAGACAACUUUUUGUUUAGUUUUGAAGGAAGUAAUAUACAGAGCUUUGCUUUGCCUUACCUACUCACUUUGAUUGUAUUUUUUUUACUAGCCAAACAAGCUCCGAGGAUGUUUCCUCAGAGAAUGAGUGGCUAGGCUUUUUGUCUCUUGGAGCUAAGGUAGCUAGGUAAGGUGUCGAAUGCAAGAAUUGGAAGUUUUGUUGUUUCAGCCUUUAAUGAAGAGAAAGUGUGACCCGUUAAUGGUUUCUAUGUUUUUAGUUAACUUAAAACGCCUUUAAAUCACCUGGGCCAACACUUGGUAAGGCAAGUGAUCUCCGUCCAUUGAGAUGCACUAGUUUAUCUCUUGCGAGCCUUUGGGAGGUGAUUUGAAGGUAGGAUUUUCUAGAAUAGCCAACACUUAGUAAGAUUUUGGACUCCAAGGAGACAUCCAUUAGUUAUCUCUUGCAAACUUGUGAAUGGAAAUCCAAGGUUAAUGAUCACCUUGAGUGGUAACUGCUAGGUGAGAAGCACGAGCCAUUGCAAAAUGAAUCAGUGAGAGGGAUUUAGUGUUUCAAUCCAUAAAAAGGAAGCAUCUGUACCACACCGGUUAGAGAAAUAACUAUAUGUUAAUUCUCCAAUGUAAGGAAAAAGAUUCAAGUGACCGGAACUCUAUUUUUGUAUUAGGAGUCUGACCUUAGUGAUCCUAAAACUCCAAGAAACACUUUUCUUUAUAAGUAAUUUCCGUUACAUUAUUUUUAGUUAGCUUAAAACCAAUCCUUUUUAAACCAAAGUUUAUGUUUUCUUUUGAAGUUAACCUUGAAACGAAAAAGCAUCAAUUCAACUUUGAAUUAUUAUUAGUUGUAAGUUGAAAACCCUUCCCAGUGAACGAUCUUAGAGCCACUAUGCUAUACUAGCUGAGUCUAUCCUAGCACAUGGUGUAAUAGGUUAUAAAUUUUGUUGAUUACUCCUGUCUGAGGACCAAAAUCAAGGUACACCAGUUGGGCACGGAAUCACCCGGCUAGCCUACACGUGCCAACCCUCACUUAGUUCCAUCGAUUCCUGGCCAAUUCAAUCAAUGACUUCCGAGAGCUGUCAGAGGUGUUCGUGGCACACCAUUUAUGCUCUGCCAGACAGAAGCAUGGCCUCAAUAGCCUGAGCAACUUGAAAAUGAUGGAGUUAGAAUCCCUAUGGGAUCCUAUGUGAAGAUUAGGGCAAGCCUUGAUCCAAAUGGAGCCCUGCAACAUUGAUGCGAUCAUGCAAGCCUUCAAACGGAGUAUCAUCCCGAGGACCCCAUUCUUCGAAUCUAUAUCAAAGAAGCCACCAAAGACAAUUGACAACUUUUUCUAGAGAGCCAACAAGUACACCAUGUUAGAGGACAAUCUUAGAGCGGCAUCCCAACAGAUAGUUGGGACUUCUUAGACGAUUGUUCCCCAACCAAGCGAUCAUACUCGACCCACCGAAGGACUUUAUUAGUAAGGGGGCAGAAGAAAGCAAUUGCAAGAGACACUUAAAGCCCAACAUAGGGAAAACAGGUCUCACUCCAAUUCAUGAAGCUCACUCUCAGUUAUGACCAACCAUUGCCGAUAAUUCAGAAUCUAGAUGGCUUCUGCUAGUUGAACCCUAUGUGAGGGGAUGCAAGUCAAAGGAAUCCAAAUUGUUUUUACAAACACCAUAAGGACAAGGGCCAUGCUACCAAGGAGUGUCGCCACCUCCAUUACUUACUCGAACGGAUGGUGCGAGCUAGACAACUUAGCCAAUAUCUCUACAACCGAACAUAACCUUCCCCAACUCGCCAAGUUGCUCUAUCUUUGGAACCGACACCAAAGUUGGACAAGUAAUCCAUGUCAUACACGGGAGAUCGAUCGAUAGAUAAUGAAAAAGCAAACAACAUGCCAAGAUGUUGAUAAAAGAUGUAGAACGAGUAGCCCAAGUUUGCAAUGUGGGAAGCACAUUUGUUGUCGGAAGCUUGGUCAUGGUGGAUGGAACCAUUGUAUUUUUUGAAGUAGACUUACUUUGAGUCACUUAGCCACAUGAAAAAGCCCUCAUCUUAAUGUUGAAUAUUGAUCGACCAAGGGAGUUUUGUGGACCUCCUACAUAUAUCUACUUACAAACAGAUGAACCUUUCAAUUAAUGUGUUGGAAAGUCCAGGGAGAGUGCUGACAGGUUUUAACGGUUCAACCACAAUUUCCCUCAACAAGAUCGUACUUCCUCUCUCCACAGAACCCAUCAUUGUGAUUGUGAAAUUUUCGGUCGUAGAGGACCCUUCUCCAUACAAUGCAAUCCUCGGUAGAGCCUGGAUCCAGGACAUGAAAGCCAUACCAUCGAUGUACCACUAAAAAGUGAGCUGCCUGAUGGUGCAAGAUCAAAUAAACAUUUACGAAGAUCAGAUGACAUCAUGACGAUGCUAUCAAGUGACAAUGCUAUCAAGUGACAAUGCUUCCAGCUCCCGUUAUAGGUGAGAGAAAAGGGGGCUCUGAGGGAAAGAAAUAACAACUAUUAAAGGACUCCCGCCUAGAAUUGGACAAGUGGGAGUUCUCGGCUGCUGAGCCGUUAACGACCAUCAAUCAUUUUGAUGACAACUUCUAUCGAAAAGUGUUUUUGGUGGAGAUGCUGUCGAAAAAGGAAAAGAAAAAGUUCAUUAAGAUACUAAGGCAAAACAUGGAUGUCUUCGUAUGGAAACACUUCGAUGUAAAGGGGAUUCACCCCUCAGUAGCUUGCCACCACUUGAACGUGAAAUAAGAAUGGCACCCGAUUAGACAAAAAUUACGAAAAUUCCAUGAAGAAUGACAUAAGAUCAUCACUGAAGAGGUAGACCAAUUGCUUGAAUCUAGAUUCAUCCAGGAGGUACAGUACCCGGAAUGUUUGGCUAACAUUGUUGUGGUCCUGAAGAAAAGCAGAAAAUGGCAUGUGUGUGUCGACUUCACUGAUCUUAUCGAAGCUUGCCCAAAAGACAGUAUUUCUCUCCCUCGGAUAAACCAAAUAGCUGAUGCCAUGGUAGGCCAUGAGCUUCUCUCCUUUUUGGACGCCUUUUUCGGGUACAAUCAAAUAGCAAUGUACCCGCUAGAUGCGGAGAAGAUGACCUUCAUUCCUAGCUAAGGCCUAUUAUGUUAUGACAUAAUGUCAUUUGGCCUCAAGAAUGCAGGGGCAACUUAUUAGCAAUUGGUGACGGAGACAUUUUGACCCUUUUUGGGAAGAAACAUAGAAGUUUACAUCGAUGACAUGUCGAUCAAGAGUAAGCUGAGGUAGAACAACCUUGAGGACCUUGUAGAAGCUUUCGCCCUACUUCGUAGAUUUGGCAUGAUGCUGAAUCCGGAAAAGUGUGCAUUCAGAGUGCAAAAGGGUAAAUUUCCUAGCUACCUAGUGAUGAAAUGUGAGAUAGAAGCUAGCCUAGAGCAAAUCAAAGCCCUACACGAAAUGGUACUGACCACAACGGUCAAAUAGGUCUAAUGGCUAAUGGGAAAAUUAGCGGCCCUCGGUCAGUUCAUCUCAUGGUCUUCUGACAAGCUGUAACCUUUCUUCGAGGUUCUUAGGAAAAGAAAGAAGUUUGAGUGGGAUGAGCAGGGUGACUGGGUCUUCGCUACUAUCAAAAUCUAUCUAGCUUCCUUUCCUAUCCUCAACCAACCACAUGAAGGUGAAAGAUUGUACAUAUACUUAGCGGCCAUAAGUGUGGCGGUGAGUUAUGCCCUAGUUCAAACUGAUGAACAAGGUGCCCAACAGCCGAUAUACUUCAUAAUCAAAACUCUCCUAGACUCAGAGACCCGAUACUCUAGCUCGAGAAGGUGGCUCUAGUACUACACACUAUGGCUAAGAAGCUCAAGCCAUAUUUCCAAGAGCAUGCCAUCGUCGUCCUUAUGGAAUGGUCUAUGCGUGUUGUCUUACACAAGUCGAAACUCUUCGGUCGGCUGGUCAAGUGGGCCAUCGAGUUAGGCGAGUUCGAGAUUGAGUAUAGGCUGCAAUAAAGCCUCAAAGGCCAAGUAUUAGCAAACUUCAUUAGAAACAACAAGAAUGGUGAGACAUGGAUUAUAUAUGUAGACGAUUCUUAAAAAAAGAAAGAAGUCGAAGUUGGAGUCAUCCUCAUGUCCCCUACUGGAGACGAGCUAGAGUAAUCCAUCAAAUUAGGUUUCCUAACAUUUAACAACGAGGUUGAAUAAGAAGCAAUGCUCAUAGGCCUAAGAAUGGUCCACCAACUACAGGUAAGGAACGUCGAUGUUCAUAGUGACUUCUAGCUCGUCAUCAACCAAGUAGAAGGACACUACGAAGCACGCGAUGAAAAAUGGCCAGAUACCUAAAUGCCGUAAAGAGGAAGGCUUACUGGUUUGAUUUUGUAAGCUUCACAUUGGUUCCCAAAGAUAAAAAUGAUCAAGUUGAUGCCCUCACUAACCUAGGUUCCUCUUCCCUAAGUAAGCAGAGUUGGGUGCUUCCGAUCGAAUUUUUAGAAAAAUCCUCUUUUAUAGAGACGAAGAAACUGAUGAAUAGACUCGACACCCCUACUAGUUCCUAGAUGAACCUGUAUGUCAAAUACCUAAAAGAUGGUGCGCUCUCAAAAGAUGAAAAAGAAGCCUAUAGGCUCCGAGUAAAGGCCACACACUUAUGCCUAAUCAAUGAUCACUUAUAUAGGUGCUCUUACGGGGACCCAUAUCUUAAGUGUGUACAAAAUGAUAAAGUUGAAUACUUGCUUGCCGAAGUCCAUGAAGGACAGUGCAGUAACCAUAGCGGGAGACGAUCCUUAGCUCAUAAGAUACUGUCCUAAGGAUACUAUUGGCCAACAAUCCACAAAGAUGCUACCACGCAUGUUCAAAAAUGCAACAAGUGUCAACACUACGCACCCAAAUGUGACCUCCUAGCCGAACAACUUACACCCAUUAUAAGCCCCUGGCUAUUCGUGCAAUGAGGACUUGACAUUGUUGAACUGCUAUCUAUGGCACCCGCUCUGAAACGUUUCCUCUUGGCAACUGAUUACUACUCAAAAAGUGUUAUUUCAUAGCUUGUAAUUAACUCUUUUAAAAAAUUUUGAGUAGUAGCUAUUACCUUUUAACUCAAUUGGCAUGUUAAGGACCCUUGCAAUCGUUUCUAAUCAAAUUGUGUUAAGUUUUGGUGUUUUUGAUAGCUUUUUUAUCACCAAAGCAAUCUAAGAUGAGGGAGAGCUUUAUAUAAUCCAUGGCAAAGAAAAUGGAAGCUAAUUUACAAGAAGAAUCCAAGAUUUGCAGCUUUGUAAUCCUUUUCCAAAAGCAAAUCAUGAAUGCAAGGAGGGAAAGCAAAGAGAGAAAUCUAACAUGAAGAAUUCAAGAGGACAGCAACUGUUGGACACAUUUCGAGUACUUCCUGGAUUCCAUUUCAUGCAUACUAUAUGUCGUUUUGAAUCUUGGGAAGUCAGGAGUCCAACGCUUUAAACGGUGCAUGAAUUGGAGUUGAAAUGAAGAAGUUAUGGUCGUUUGAAGACAACUGCACAAAGCUGAGCGGAAAUUUCGCAAUUGAGCCCCUAUUUCGCAGGUGGUUUCGCAGCUGCGAAACCACCCCUUGGCACACAAGUGCCAUUUCGCAGCCCUCCACCCUCAUUUCGCAGCUGUGAAAUGGGUUACAAAAACGCUUCUCCUCUGCGAAAUCGACCCCUAGCUACGAAUCACGUUGCGAAAUCACCUCCAAGCUAUGAAUCAAGUUGCAAAUCAUCUUCAAGUUGCGGAAUCACCUCCAAGUUGUGAAAUCAUAAAUUCAACUUGAAAAAUCAAAGUUCAAACUUGGAAAAUGGACAAUUCAACGUGCGAAAUCCACCUGUGCAAUCUCAAAUAUUUGCUACCGACUAAGUUAGAUUUUUUCUCAAGAUAUUUUGUGUAAAUUUCUAUUUUCUCCUUGUAAUCAGUCAAAGAUAUUAUUGGGAUAUUUCUUAGAAAAUAUCUUCUCUAUAUAUAUCUUUGAACCAAUGUAAUGGAAAAAAUCUUGUAAUAUAUGUAAUCCGAUGAGAGGAAGAAAUAUAUUUUACAGAGCACUUGCUCUGUUUUUCCUUCAUAUUUUUUUCUCUCGUUAUUUUUAUUUCUAGCCAAACAAACUCUGAGGAUGUUUCCUCAGAGGAUGAGUGGCUAGGCUCUUUGUCUCUUGGAGUGAAGAAAGCCGGGUAAGUUUCCACAUGCAUAAAUUGGAAGUUUUGUUGUUUCAGUUUUUAAUGAAAAGAAAGUGUGACUCGUUAAUGGUUUUUAUCUUUUUAGUUAACUUAAAACGCCUUGAAAUCACCUGGGCCAACACUUGGUAAGGCAAGUGGUCUCCAUCCAUUGAGAUACACUAGUUUAUCUUUUGCGAGCCUUUGGGAGGUGGUUUAAAGGUAGGAUUUUCAAGAAUAGCCAACACUUGGUAAGCUUUUGGACUCCAAGGAGACAUCCAUUAGUUAUCUCUUGCGAGCUUUUGAUGGGUAAUCCAAGGUUAAAGAUCACCUUGAAUGGCAAAUGCUGGGUGAGAGGUAUGAGCCAUUGCAAGAUGCAUCAGUGAGAGGGAUUUAGCGUUUGAACCCAUUAAGGGGAAGUAUCUGUACCACACCGGUUCGGGAAAUAACUAUAUGUUAAAUCCCUAAUGCGAGGAAAAGAAACAAGUGACCAGAACUCUCUUUUUGUAUUAGGAACCUGAGUCUAGUGAUAUGAAACUCUAAGAAACACUUUUCUUUGUAAUUAAAAUUAUUUACUAUUUUUGUUAGCUUAAAACCAACCUUUUCAAACAUCUUUAUGUUUUCUUUUAAAGCUAACCUUAAAAUGAAAAAGCACCAAUUCAUCUUUAAAUUGAUAUCAAUUGUGAAGUGAAAAACCCAUCCCAGUGAAUGAUCUUAGAGCCACUAUGCCAUGCUAGCUGAGGUUAUCCUAGUACAUGGUGUAAUAGGUUAUAAAUUUUGUUGAUUACUCCCUUCUAAGGACCAAAAUCAAGGGAUACCAGCUGGACACAAAUCAAAUGGCACCGUUGUUGGGGACCAUUGAGAGAACAUGAAUCAGCUGAUACACCAAUUGGGAACGAAUCAGUAGCCAUAGACUAUUUCUCAAAAUGGGUUGAUGUUGAGGCUUAUGACACCAUCAAAGACAUUAACGUACGAAACUUCGUGUGGCAAACAAUUGUUUGCCGAUUCAGCAUCCUUAGAGCACUAGUAUUUGAAACUGGCAUCCAGUUUAACAAUCACAUUUUUCUCUAGUUUUGCAUCAACCUCAAUAUUAGGAAAUUCUACUCUACACCAUGCUUUCUACAAAGAAACCACCAAGUUGAAGCUAUUAACAAAACCAUACUAGACUGUCUAAAAAAACGGUUGAAGAAAGUCGAAAGAAAGUGGGUUGAGGAGCUCCCGGGUGUCUUAUAGGCUUACUAGUCAACUCAAAGGAGGCCAAUUGAAGAAUCUUCAUUUUCUCUUGCCUUUAGAAUGGAGGUCAUCAUACCAACUGAAAUUGGUCUACCCAUAGAAUGUAUAAUUUUAGUAAACGUAAAUGCCCAUUUAGCUUUAAUCAAGCUUUCUUUGGACUUAGUUGACAAAAGAUGGGAUGGGACGGCCAUACGGAUGGUUGCUUACCACCAAUGGGUCAUGACAUAAUACAACAAAAGGGUUCGGUGUUGAAGAUUUCAUAUUGGGAAUCUCAUCUUUCGACGUGUUUUUGAAAAUAUGAAAGAGCUAGGAUAUGGCAAACUUGACUCUAACUGGAAAGGCCCCUAUUGGGUAACACGCGUUGGGUCGAGGUUGAGGCUUAUGACACCAUCAAGGACAUUGACGUACGAAACUUCGUGUGGCAAACAAUUGUUUGCCGAUUUAGCAUCCCUAGAGCACUUGUAUCUGAAACUGGCGUCCAGUUUGACAAUCGUAUUUUUCUCUAGUUUUGCAUCGACCUCAAUAUCAAGAACUUCUACUCUACACCAUGCUUUCCACAAAGAAACCACUAAGUUGAAGCUAUUAACAAAACCAUACUAGACUGUCUGAAAAAAACGGUUGGAGAAAGUCGAAGGAAAGUGGGUCGAGGAGCUCCCGGGUGUCUUAUAGGUCUACUAGACAACUCAAAGGAAGCCAAAUAAAGAAUCUCCAUUUUCUCUUGCCUUUAGAAUGGGGGUCAUCAUACCAAUCGAACUUGGUCUACCCACAGAACGUACAAUUUUAGCAGACACAAAUGCCCAUUUAGCCUUAAUCGAGUUUUCUUUGGACUUAGCUAACAAGACAUGAGACGGGGCAGCCAUAUGGAUGGUUGCUUACCACCAAUGGGUCAUGGCACAAUACAACAAAAGGGUUCAAAGUCAGAGAUUUCAUAUUAGGAAUCUCAUCUUCCGACGUGUUUUUGAAAAUAUGAAAGAGCCAGGAUAUGGCAAACUUUACCCUAACUGGGAAGGCCCCUAUCGGGUAACACACGUUGGGCCUAAUGACACUUACCAUUUGGAAGCAUUGGAUGGCAAGGCCCUUCCAAGGCCUUGGAAUGUACUUCACUUAAAGAAAUUUUAUCCAUGAAGGCAACUUUUUGAACAUAAAAUGAACUUUAGCUUUUAUUCAUGAAGGCAUGUUAAAAAAAAAAAAAAUCUGGCCAAACCAAAGUGCCUAAGAAGCCUAAGGUGCGCAAAGAGUAUUUGGGCAAGCCAAAGUGCCUAAGAAGCCUAAGGUACGCAAAAAGUAUUCAGGCAAGCCAAAGAGCCUAAAAAGCUAAGGUGCAUAAAAAGCAUUCGGGCAAGCCAGAGUGCCUAAAAAGCCCUUAAUGAAUGAAAACAUUCACCUAAAAGCAUCCGAACAAAAGCAUCCGACCUCACCAUUUAAUACCUAUAAAUAUCACCUAGGCUUGAGACCUCAAAAAAUUCAUAAAAUCUCAUGUACAAAAAUUAACGAAAAACAAAGCUUAAAUUUCAAUGUGAAUCAUAUGGUAGUAACAGUAUCUAAAACAAAAACCAAAAAAUAAUCCACCAAAACAUGUCAAAAAAAAUAAAAAAAUACCACUACAAAGUCACACAUCCCCAGGGGACCCAAAAGCCCCAACUUCGGUAGUCCUAACCGAAACCUCCUUAAUGACACCGUCAUCCCCGACAUCACCCUCGUUGUCAAUAUCCUAAUUGUUUUGAAUGUUGUGCUUCUUCAUGCAGCGUUCGUAGCCCAACUCGUAAGCACGAUCUACCUCAUCAAUAUAUCGAGGGACAAGUUCUUUCAAUUAUGUGGAAGCCUUCUCCAAAUCCUCACGAAGUGCCUCCACUUCCUUCUCUAGUCGAGAGCGCUCUUCAUUUGACAUAUCCAGUUUAGACUGAAGCUUCUAACUAUGCUCCUCAUCCGUCAAUUUCAACUUUAGUUCUUAGUCUCCCUGUUUGUAGCUUUUCGGUGAGGUCUCGGGCAUGACUUUCUAGUUUUGCAAUGGCAUAGUUCAGUUGAUCUAUGUUAGAAAUGCAGCCAUGAAGCUCAUUCUCACACCUCCUGAAAUCCCUGAUACCACGUUUCAUUUGUAAGAGAAAAGAGGGGAAAUGAGGGACACAACAAAUCAAAAUGGUGAUAGGAAUUAGUGGGUGCCAAAUAAAAGCAAAAGAAAACCUUACCAAUACACCCAAAUCCUAACUGGAAAACUAGGGUAUAACUAUAAGCACAUCCUGAAGAGAAAUAGCUCUUGACAUUAGAGUCGCCAUAAAUAGGCCUAAGAAAGAAUUCAGUUGAACCUGAGCAAUAGGGUCCCUAGCCACCAAGUUCAUAGUCGCCAAGUCAGUUUUCUAAACCUCUUCAAACCAAAGAAGUGAGUCUAAUAUCUCAAUUUCCGAGUGGGGCACAGAAGUGUCCCUAGGAGUAUCACUUUGGAAAACUACCAAACCUUUAUGAUGAGUGACCGUACUUCUCUUUCGAUGUUCGUCACCCCCGACAAGAAUAGAUUCCAGUCUCAUUCAUUGUUCAGGUGCGGGAUUAACCAGUUAAGAAGUCGUCGGUUUGCUUGAUGAUUGUGUCACUUGGAGGGAUCCAGAGGCCCGCUGAAACAACUCUUUAUAAGCAGCCUGCUGAGCCUGCAUUUGUCGAAGAGUACCAUCCUACCUUUUUUAAUAUCUCUUAGCUAGAAGCUUCUGCUUCUGACGCGCCUCCAACUCCUACAUGCGAGCUUCAUUAUAAUUCUCUAUGUUUGUGAUUACAAAGUGCUUGCCUUGCACUGGUGGACGAGGCACCAUUUUGGGUAGAAAAACCUAAACGAAUCGGUUCGGAUGCCUUUAGAUGUUAAGCCAGUUCAAAGUAGUUAGCAACACUUGAGAAUUCCUUUGAGUCAACUUAAUGUUUAGCAGCUAAUAGAUACAGUCAAAAGACACAUUUUCCACCCACUCGGCUAGGCGUCCUCGCUUUUCCUCCUCUACAAUAACCCGCCAUUAGAGAAGCCAAAGAAAAAAAAAAAAAAAACAUGAAGACAUGGUAGCAAUACUUGGGUAGAUAAUUGACCAAUUAAUCCGAAACUCCCUAUCCGGAUCACCAGGGGGCAUUUCCUAAGCCCCGAAAACAAGCACGUUCCCCUUCAACCAUCAUUUCCUAGAAUUUGGUAACUCUAUCACAAAUUGGAAAACGCGACAUUGCAUCGAUAAGGUGAAUAGGUCGGCAACACCUAAUUGGGUUGUAUACAUGAAUCACACUUUAAGCACUGAAAGCUCUAGGACGUAUAAUAUAUUCAACAUCGCGCAACCCAUAAGUACAUGCAUAUUGUUCGAGUACAUGUGUGCAGGGUGCAUCCCAGUAUGGUAUAGAAAUUGCCUCACUAGGGAGGGCAGUGACCGUUAAAGCCCCACCUAGAAUUGUUCCUAGGUAAAGAAGAUUUUACUAUAAGACAAGUUCAUGUUAGAUCUCAAGUUAUCAGGAUUUUCCGAGAAAACAACCCGCACAUCAUCUGGAAUAUCGUACUGAGCACAGAACUCUUCUAUCGAAGAGACCAUCUAGGAACGCAAUGACAUGACAACCUUACUCGCUUUGGUAUGCUUGCGGGCAACCGAGCCCAACAAGAUCGCUUGAAGCCGGUGAUUAACAAGGGGCUGCUUCUCACUCUCCUCACUCUCGAACUUUGAUGACAUCCCCGAAAGCUCUAGGACUACCUAGAAACACACACCACACUGUAAGACCAUCAUUGUGGAACACUAACCAAGGGGCAAGGCAACACCGACCCACUCCUGCGCACAUCCACCUCGACAAGAGAGCAAGUGCUCUACACGAACACAAAAAACCCCACUACCCAUGGAGCCCUGACCAACGCCUCCUCAAGAGCCACACACAAGAGAAGGAAAAAAUGCAACACACAAAAACCAACAAAAAAAAAGUGCAAGAAAAAGUGUUGGAACUUACUUGCAACGCAAUCACCGGUAGUAGUAGACCCUCCAUUUUGUCAUCUUAGCAGAUGUAACACUAGGUGCCUUCCUAUACUUCUUGAUUCAUGGUCAUCCCUUGGCCUUUCGAGCUAAGAUUAGGUCUCAUUUGGAUCUUUUUGAAGAUAGGUCCCACUUGAAUGUUUCUAUAGGCCUAAUUCACUUAAGUUAGUUUUUUAGUUUGAUUUCUGGGUUUUGAGUAUAAGUGAGCUUUGGCUUGAUUUUGGAUCUUCAACCAUAGGAAAUGAUUUUUUGAUAUUUGGAUAUACAAGAUGAAUUUUCAAUCUUCUGGUUCUCUCCCAUUUGGUUGAAAAUAUUUGUACUUGUUUUAUUUACUUUCUUUUUAUCUCAUUAUUAUUAUUAUUAUUAUUUUGGCAUGAGAUUUGUACUUUGAUUUCUUUUGCAUGUGCAUGAUUAAUGAUCGAUUUUAAACAUACAUGUGAUUGAUAUACUUUUUUUUUAUCGUAUAAUUUUGAUGUUUAGUGUUUUUUAGUUUGCCUUAUUCUUACUUUCAUCCUUAUUUUAUUUUUCAUGGGAUUUGACUAGUAUAUAUUAGAGAUUGAGGACUGGCAUUUUCUAGAAAACAUCCUUGGCAAGCACGUGGUCAUUCUUAGAAGGUUUUGUCAAAACAUGCAAGAAGUACAAUGCAAAUAAAAGUUUAGAAGAAGCGACAACUUUAACAAGUGAAGAUGUUGCUAUAAUUUGAUCCUCAACUGCCCAUGCAUUAGUAUCUAACCACACUAAGUGCAAUAAAGGUUUAAGUGUUUAAUCACGUAACAACCAUGCAACUCCCAUUAGUGUUGGGAUAUUGUCAUAUGAAUUUAAGACAGUCAAAGUGCAGCUUGGAUUCACUAUUUGAACUGCACCUCAACUAGGCCUUACCAAUAGUCUAAGUUUCUCAGGGUCCCACCUUUGAAUGCCAUGCAUGGCCAUUUGGGUGCAUGUAAUCCUCUCUAUGUGCAUGCAGUCAACAAGGCAUAACUGACGUUUUAUUGGUAAUUAGGAUACAAGUGAAGACCAUGUUAUGGACACCCAUGCAACAAGUAAGAGGAAUGGGCUAGGGCACGUGGGCAUCAAGAGGAGUGAUCUGCCAGAAUUUGAAAGAGUUGAGGUGGGAGUUUCGAAGGGUUUUUGCAUGGGAAAAGAGGGGGGUUUUGGAAAAACCAUAUGAGAGGCUAUUUUUUAGGAGAAAAUAUUCUAAUAUAAGGGGGAUUGAAAAAGAAAAAAUGAAAGGGAGGCGAUCUUGGGGAAUUUUUCAGAAAGGUUGAGAGGUUCUAAUUUUUGGAGAAAAAGAGAGAAAAAAAAAAAGGAAGGUGGAGAAAUCCUGAUAGAAAAUGUUAAAAAGAGAAAAAGAAACAGAGUGGGAGAAAAGCAGAGACAGAGAGAGAGAGAGAGAGCACAGGAAGGAAAAAAGGACUGGCAUGGGGAUGAGAUUUUCUGAUUUUCUGGGUAGAAAAAGAGGUUUCGGUAAAAUGGGUUUUGAGAAGUAAAACAAAGAAGGAGUAGAAUCAGAGGAGGAGUAGAAUCAGAGGAACACCUUGAGGUAUGACUAUUACAGAUUUCUUAUUUAUUUUUGUUAUUACCCUAUUCCUCAUUCAUUACAUGCUGUUCUUGGAUGUUUAUUUUUUCAAUUUGAGGUAUGAGUAGGAGAUGGUCAUAUGUUGUUUAUUAAUGUUUGAGACAUUUGCAAGUUGGUUGCCAUUUUUUCCAACUACCGUUUCUUUGUUUAUACUGGAUAAAUAAUACAGAUUUGGUCUAAUUUUGUUGUGUGAUGCUUAAAGAUCAUCUUUUUAUUAUUAUCAUUUUUUUUCUUAGAAUUUAUGGUCUCUCUCACCUGGCCUGUAAGCUCAUUGAUAUUCCAUGAGAUGAAUCUUCAUUUAAUGACUUAAUGAUUUGUGUUUAUAAUCUGUUUCUUUUGUUGCUAUAUUAGUGUUGUUUUCCUUUAGUUUUGGUGUCCAUCCCGUAGUGUGCAUCAGGUGGUUUACCACCAUGCAUUUCUUCUGGGUAGAAUGCCUUGGUUAUGAGUGUGUUCGGGUGAUUUUGGUGGAGAUACUUUCUGUUAAUGAAGAAAUGAAUUUUUGGAGAGUUGCAACCGUGUGUUCUCAUGGUUGAAUUGGACAGGGAAAUUAGAUGAUUCAACCGGGAUUUACUAGAGAUCAUGCGUGUAGUUUAUUUUAUUUUUUAUUUUUUAUGGCUGAAAAUGAUGGCACAUUGAGUAAAUAUUUAAUGGAAGAUGCAAUUGUUUUCAUGUGGAGAUCUAAUGGAGAAUACAACCACUUUCAUGUGAAGCCACUUGUUGUGUUAAUGGAGAAAAGAAAUACAAGUGAAAUUGGUCGUUAUGUGGUUGAAAUUCAUGUCGCUUUGGUGUUUGAGUGGAUAUCAUGCUAGUGGCUUCUAUGUUUAUUGAUUCUUUAAAAUAAAUAAAAAAUAAAAAAAUGAAAGUGUGAAUGUUGUGUGGAAGAAUAUGUAGAGAAUUUAAUGAAGAUUCAUAAGACAAUGACAUGGUGGAUGGAAUUAAAAAUAAAAUGAAUGGUGGAAUUUAUAUGCAGCAGCCAUGGAGAUCAUGCUAGUGGCUUUGAUGUUUAAUGCAUUUUAAAAAUGAAACAAUGGGGAUGUUGUGGCCGUGUAUGGAGUGCUCCUCUCAUGACUGAUUUAUAGAACAUUGUGGCUAUUAGUUUUGUGGCCAUGAAUGGAGUAUUUUUAUGAGAAUCCAUAAAAAAAUCAUGAAUGUGUAGUGGCUUUGGUUAUUAAUUUUUUUAUUGGUGAAUUCAUGAAGGAUUGAUGGAUGCGUAGUGACUUUGUAUGUUAAAUCUCCAUGGCUGAAUUUUUGUGGAGAAUCAUACAUAUAAUGGUCAUGUGUUAGUGCAUAAAUUCUGUGGAGAAACAAGUUGCAGACGUGCUGCACCAUUUUGCCACAUUGAUGUUGUGUUGAUGCUUGAUUUUUGGAGGAAUUUCAGCCACUUUAGUGCAUGUUUUUAUGACUGUGAGGAGAAAAGCAACAAGCACAUGAUCACACCAUCAGAUUUUAAGACCACCAAGCUGCCACUAUGAACACACACACAUCAGCCACACUCCCACUCUCAUCACACACAACUCAGCAUGCUUCACUCACAUUCGGUACACACUACUUUGUUUCCUUAGGAAUUUUUUCUUCUUCUUUUGGUUGUGUGAUUUUAUGUGAUUAUUUGUGUUUGUUAGUGAUUUCAAAAUGCCUAUCAAUCUACCUUUCUAAAAAUUAAUUCUCAAAAUUUCAAAUUCAGCUUGGACAUUGUUAUGUUAUGAAAAUUCAAUUUUCUAAAAAUUCAUGCAAAUAAUUUUAUUCGGUAUGCAUGUUUAAAAAAAGAAGUUUUAAAAUGAAUUUUGGUUUUGAAUAUACAUGAAUUAAAUUUCAUAACUCCAAUCAAUGGUGUCUUUAUGGAUAAAUUCAUGAAAAUUAAAAUGGGAUUUAAUAGAUCCCUACAUACAAAGUUUUUCUAAAGCAAUGUUUUUCAUUGAAAUUGUGGAUAGUUCACUGUACUUCUGUAUUUUUAAAUUGGAAUCUGAUAACUAAAAUGCCUUUUAAAAUUUUUCUAACUAUCCCAUGACAUUCUAGACUCUUGAACUUGAUUUUAGAAUCUUUCUUGGGUCAAAUAUGUUUCUUCAAUUAAGAGAUAUAAAUCAAUCUUUCAGAAGGUUCAGUUUUCACUCUAUUUUUGACACUCAAUUUUGUUUUUCAAAAUUAAAUUAAUAAGUGAACUAUUUAAUUUUUUUGGAAAUUUUUAUAUUAAUCUAUACUUCUUAAAGUUAGUUUUUGAUACAUAAAAAAUUAAUAAAUAAUUUUUUAAAUAAGAGAUAUAAUUUUUCUUCUUGUACCCACUGCACGAGUGCUUUUCUAGAGCUAAGAUAUUUUUAUUUAUUUUUAAAUAUGUUAUGAAUGUACUAUUGCCCUGUGAUAAUUUUUAAUAUAAAAUAGACACAUUUAGAUAUAUGUAUGAAUUUUUGUAUGAUUUUAGGACAUCUAUAAGUCAAUUGUAAAAAUAAAUUGUUUAAUUCCUUAAAAAGAUGCCUUAUUCUAGACCUAUUAUCAUCAUUAUGAAAUCUGGUACUAAAUGAAGGAUGGUUAAUUAAUUUGGUCACUUAGAUGAUAAAUUAGACAUACAGGAUAUGUUCUCUAAAAAUUUUCAUGAUAAACUUAACUUUUGGAUAUUUGUUUUAGAUUUAUUUUGUACAGUCUUCUGUUAUGAUCAUUUGCUGACUUUUUUUCCUUUUUUUUUUUUUUUUUUUUGUAGUAUUCCAUUUUUGAAUAAAUUUGUUAUUAAUAGGAAUUACGUAAUUUUUAUUUUGGUGAGAUAACCUUUCUUGAUAUUUAUUUGGAGUUUAUUUUGUGAACCAAUAUUCUACGCUUUUAAUGAUAUUUCAUUGGCUUUUGAUAAUUUAGUCACUUUUGAACAUACUUGUGAAUUUUCCUUGACUUGAGACAUGCUAAGUGUAUAUAUAUAUAUAUAUAUAUAUAUAUAUAUAUAUAUAUAUAUAUACAUAUAUAUACACAUAUAGGUCUAGUUAUUUUUUAUUUAUUAUUCUUUAAUCUUAUUAUUAUUAUUUGUGAAUUAACCUCAUUUUUAUAGAAGCACUGAUGCUUGCUGCACAGGUACACUCUCUAUUUUCCCAUUUCAAAGUUCCAUGAAUAUGUAUGUAAUUAAGAACUAUAUCCUCGUUUGAUAUUGACUUUGGGUGCCUUGAUGUUCAUUUGAUUUCUUUUGAUAAAAUGCAUGUUGAGUAAUAUAAUACCUGAACUAACUUUGGUGUUUUGUGAUAACAUUCAAGUUAUAGAUCUAGGUAUGCAUAUUAUCUUUUAUUUAUGAUAGUGGUUUGAAUCCUUGUUUGGCAUGCUAGAAUUAGUAUUGUAACAACUGGCUCCCAACCGUGUAGAUAUUGUCCAUUUUAGACUCAAAGGGGCCCUCAUGGUUUUAAAACCCGUCUACAGGGUUACGAGGAGUCCAUACUUAUAUGGCACUAGGAACUUUCCCUCUUAUCAGAUGUGGGAUGUCACAAACACCCCCCAUGUAGACACAACGUUCUCAUUGUGUCCCACAGGAUUGUGGGACCAAAUAGACAAACACCCUUAUGGGGCUAAACAAACCCUACACCGAGAUCGGGGAUCGACUCUGAUACCAUUUGUAACGACUCGCUCCUAACCGUGUAAAUAUUGUCCCUUUUGGACCCAAAAGGACCUUGAGUUUUUGAAAUCACCUUAAUCUAUCUAGGUAUUCAUAAUCAAUUGAUUAAUUAUCAUAUUUCCCUUAAUUAGGCUAUAGUAGAGACCUUGUUAGGGCUUAGGGGGGUGCUACUUCUUUAGAGGUACCUUCCUGAUAAGUAACCUGAUCCCCGGACCCAAACUAGGGUUUUUUGCAAGCAACUUUCAAAAAAAAUCAAGGGUCCUUUUGGGGGUUUUAUUCUUACUUGUUUUCCCAUUUAAAAAUAAAUAAAAGUAAUUGGUGACUCAAAAUUUUUAUAAAAAUUGGUUUUUCACUUUAAUCAAAAGCGAGUCUCGCCAAUCGAGUGGGAAUCCAUCAUGAAAAAUGUGAGUCAAUAGCAACAAUACCACAACGCAGCAAAAUCCAAGGCUCUUAGGCCGUGAUUGGCAAGGAUGACUACAAGCACAAAGUGAAAAUGAGCUUGGGUACCCCAAAAGUUUGCUCAUAAAAGAAAGAGGGGAGGCUUUGCCUAAGCAUUUAAUGCAGUGUGCCAAUCAAGUUGGGUGCUUGCCAUCAUGGUGCCACUUCCCAAGUGUUGCAUCCUUUAGGCGACGUAUGUUUGGCCUAUGAACCCCUACUCAUAGUCAGUGAAGAAGUUUUGCACCCAAAAGUCGCCCCGUUAACACAUUUCUGGUUUCCUUGAUCGCGAAAGGGGGACAUUGGAGAUACCGGGCUCAAAUGAGGGUCCGCUCAUUAGAGGAACCUAGCUUAAUUGGUGUCCAACCCAUGGAUUUUCCCACCCGUUUGAGUGGCCGAUACCCUUCCGUAGAACCGAAGCCUUCACCGAAAAGGUAACUAGAAUCACACGAACUGGGUUGGUCUCUUUGGACACGAUGGUUCUCGAAGUAGAAACGGUAAGCCACUAACUAAAGGAGAAUGACACCACCUCACCCGGGUCAAAUCUUCUCAAUAAAAUAGAGCUUACCUUGGAAGAAAGCCAUUAGGGCAGUGUGCUUAAAAAAUCCAAGCAUGGAUCCCCUAGGGGCCUUCCUAGUCGAUCUUGGAGAGUUGAACAAGUCUGGGAGCACAAUACCGACUUACACACUGACUCAUAUGGCAUAGACACCAUAGGUUGAGACAAGAUUAAUACAAGGAACGAGGGGCUAUGACAAGACUGGUGUGAGGACCAAAAGGGCGGUGACAAGACUGGUAUGAGGAACAAGAGGCUGUGACGAGAUUGAUAUGAGAAGCAAGUCCCAAAGCAAAGCUCUAACCGGUCUUAUUACCAACAAGUACCAGAGGGGUUAGCCAAGUGCUACUUGACACGGGUUUCAUCUACCCUGUGAUGUCCCACAUCAAAUAGGAGAGAAUGUUCCUGGCGCUAUAUAUGUAGAGGCUCCUCUUAACCAAGUAGACGUGUUUUAAAGCCGUGAGGGCUUCUUUGGGUCCAAAGCGGACAAUAUUUUCACGGUUGGGAGUGGGUCGUUACAUACCCAACCAUGGAUGCCACACAACCUUUGAUGUCCACCCUCAUGACACACCACUCCCUUAGGAGAAAGUUGACGUACUCAACCAGUCAGGUGAUGGCUUGGAAACCUUAUAAAAGGAAAAGAAGAAGAGAGGAAAAUGAGAGUUUUUUCUUGGUCUAAGACAAAGAAAGACUAAGGGACAUAUAAGAAGAGAAGGUGACACUUGAGGCAAUCUAGGGGCCCGAAUAGUCAUCAAAUCCUUGGAUUCGUAAAGGUUGUGCACCAAGACAAACCACAAACACCCCAUCCCACUAAAAAAUCAAAGAGAGAAAAGAAAAGAACAAAAAGAAAAGAAAAACAUAAAUGUCAACCAAGCAAUGAAUUUUUUUUUUUAGUUUGAUUUUGAAAGCAGAUAAAUGUCAGGUAUCCCAAUGAUGAGCUAUUUUUCUGAACCACUAGCACUAAGUAGGGCAUGUCGAUGAAUAGCCAAUGCAAAAAGUGAGCCCUUGUGAGCAUCUAUUGAGAGCUAGGCACAAUUGUCAUUUCUCACAUCAAGGAACUAAAUGUCACCAACUUGAGAUACACUCACAAUCUGGAGAAAGACAGUUAAACAACCAAGCAAGACAAGGUAAGACUCGUGGGAUUAUCCAAUAACCAUUUGAUUCAAGAUGAAACUAUUUUUCAUAAUCUCACACCCAAAUGUUCGCUAUAAGAAUGAUUUUUCAAGGGAAAUGAAGACUAUCAAAUAACUGCAUUUGAUAGACUGCAAAAAACCCAAAUUUUCACCCAGAAAAAAGGCAUGUAACCAUCAUGGUGCUCCAUUUACAUGAUGAAAUUUUAAACGACAUAGGAUCACAUGUAGACAUUAAAGCAUGCAUUAAAUGACAAUAAAUGAAAUGUUUACCUUUAUUAAUGCCAUGGAAAGCCAUUUUUGUGCUCCACUGGUGUCCAAGAAUAUGCUUAGUCCGUGGUGGUAUGAAAAUUCAGGUUCAAUGAGUUAUUCCCUUUUUACACCCAAGAUUCAGUCCGUGAGUGCUCUCAAGACGAAUGUGCAGUGCAUGCCCUUUUUUCAUCCCAAGAAGAAGAAGCCUUACUUUGUACUUAUAUAUACUCAUAUACAUCACACAUUACACACAUUAUUUGGACCACUUGACUUAAUGGGCCAGUAAAGUGAAUUAGGGUGAGCCCAUAAAAAAUCAAGCAACAAUAUGUGUCCAACCCCAUUAUAGACCAGAAUGCAAAAAUAAAAUAACAUUGAUUUAUGACGCUAUCACAUUGAUUAUGUAAGUCCACACAUAAAAAAUUCCAAAAAUUCUCCUACUUGGACUACAUAAUCAAACAUCACAAUAUAUACAUAAUCAUAAAUCAAUGUCCCAUAGAAUCUCAUCAAAACAAAUAAUCAAAAGCAAUCAUACAUGCUUCAUUGCUUGAUUCACAGGGAAAUAUACAAUAAUAGCAAUCCUUCCAACAAUAACAUAAUAUUAAAAUACCAAAAAUGGCUUCUACUAACUUAAUAUAACCUAGGCUCCCAACAACCCCAUUUGAGAUACAUGUUCAUGAAACACAACUAUGGGUAAGCCUUUUGUUAGUGGAUCAGCCAACAUACCUUUUGUUAACAUAUGUUUAAUAUCAAUAAGAGACUCUGCCACUUUCUCCUUAACAAAAUAGAAUUUUACAUCAAUAUGCUUGGAGCGAGAAGUACUCCUAGUGUUCUUAGAGAAAGCAACAACUGCGGAAUUAUAACAAAAUAAUUUCAAUGGUCUAGAAAUGGAGUCAACAACUCCCAAAGCUAAAAUAAAAUUCUGCAUCCAUAUAGCAUGACAAAAAGCCUCAUAACAUGUCACAUACUAUGCCUCCAUAGUUGAGGAUGUUGUAAGUGUUUGCUUGACACUUUUCCAAGAUACAACUCCUCCUGCCAUCACAAAAAUAUAGCUUGUAGUGGAUUUCUUAUCAUCUAUGCAACCAGUAAAAUCAACAUCACAAAACCCAACUACAUUAAGUAUGUUGGUGUGCUGAUAUGUCAAUAUUAAGUCCUUAGUUCCUUGCAAAUACCUAAGGACCUUCUUAGCAGCUUUCCAAUGUUGAUUUCCAAGAUUGCUCAAGUACCUUCCCAACAUGAAAACAACAAAAGCAAUAUUAGGGUGUGUACAUACUUGAGCAUACAUAAGGUUGCCAACCAAAGAUGAAUAAAGACUGGUUUUCAUUUCCUCUCUCUCAUCAUUGAUUCGUUCCCACUUAGUGUCUCAGCUGAUUCAUGUCCUCUCAAUGAUCCCUGACAGUGGUGCCAUUUGAUUCGUGUCCAGUUGGUGUCCCUUAAUUUUGGUCCUCAGGGAGUAAUCAACAAAAUUUAUAACCUAUUACACCAUGAACUAGGGUAGCAAAGACAAAGCUACUAUAGCAUAGUGGUUCUAGGAUCGUUCACUGGGAUGGGUUUUCACUUCACAAUUGAUAUUAAUUCAAAGCUGAAUUGGUGCCUUUUCAUUUCAAGUUUAGCUUUAAAAGAAAACAUAAAGAUGUUUGAAUGAAAAAUGUUUGGUUUUAAACUAACCAAAAAUAGUAACUGAUUUUACUUACAAAGAAAAGUGUUUCUUGGAGUUUAGAUCACUAGGCUUGGGUUCCUUGUACAAAAAGGGAGUUCCGGUCACUUGUUUCUUUUCCUCGCAUUAGAGAAUUAACAUAUAGUUAAUUCUCUAACCGGUGUGGUACAAAUGCUUCCCAUUAAUGGGUUCAAACACUAAAUCCCUCUCACUAAUGCAUCUUGCAAUGGCUCAUACCUCUCACCUAGCAUUUGCCAUUCAAGGUGAUCCUUAACCUUGGAUUACCCGUCAAAAGUUCGCAAGAGAUAACUAAUGGAUGUCUCCAUGGAGUCCAAAAGCUUACCAAGUGUUGGCUAUUCUAGAAAAUCCUACCUUCAAACCACCUCCCAAAGGCUCGCAAGAGAUAAACUAGUGCAUCUCAAUGGAUGGAGAUCACUUGCCUUACCAAGUGUUGGCCCAGGUGAUUUAAAGACGUUUUAAGUUGACUAAAAAGAUAAAAACCAUUAACGGGUCACACUUUCUCUUCAUUAAAAACUAAAACAACAAAACUUCCAAUUUAUGCAUGAGGAAACUUACCCGACUUUCUUCACUCCAAGAGACGAAGAGCCUAGCCUCUCAUCCUCUGAGGAAAAAUCCUCAGAGUUUGAUUGGCUAGAAAGAAAACUAACGAGAAAAAAAAAUAUAUAGGAAAAACAGAGCAAGUGCUCUGUAUUUUACUUCUUUGCAAAACUGUACAAAGGAUUGAUAUAUUGUGUAAAGGAAAUUACAAACUAUAUGUAAGGGGUUAUUCACCCUUUGUUCUUACUUAAAGACUAAGGAAUCCUAUGAUAGGUGGGUUACAAGGAGACUUUGGGGAUUUAGACAUUAAAUAUCUAAAGAAAAAUAUCUCAAAAUGUCGGUCGCACAUAUCGGGAAGCUUCAGGAGAACACCGCAGCACUAUGCAAAAUGGUUGCGAAACUCUCCGGGUAGGCGCUAUCAGAGGAUCCGGAUAUGUCUGACUAGGGAAGUUGAAACGCCCUCCUCUCCCAUCUGGGGUCAGGCACCGGAUGUGAAAUAUUCGGAGAAGGUGCCAGAUGUGAAAUAUCCGGAGAAGGUGGAACGUCAUCCGGACAGAAUUUCGGAUGUGAGAUACCCAGAGAAAGUGGAACGUCGCAAGGGGGACCGUCUGCGUGUGCAAGGUGUAGGGACCCCUCCGCCUGACGACACGGAGCGCGCAUCGCUAUCCGGAGCAACUCCAUCCGGAUUCCCCAAGAGGACACAUGGCGCGCUCCCCUAUCCGGACUCUCUCAGGGAGAAGCACACUGCACUCGCGAUCAUCACAUCCCGGAUGAUAGCAUAUCCUAUCCGGAUGUUGUCCGGAUCAUUGACUAAAGUGCACAAGCCUUGCUACGUCAUUCUGACAGCCUGCCACAGCCCACGUUCCGCCGCCCUCCGAUGGUGUGUCCGGACGGAAUUCCGGAUGUGCUUAUGGCAAAGGACUUCAAAGCUUUGGUUCUUCAUGUUUCUGAGCUUUCCAUUGCCUUGCCAUGGAUUUUAAAGAACUCUCCUCAAUCUUGGAUUGCUUUGGUGAUCAAAAAGCUAUCAAAACACCAAAACUUAACACAAUUUUAUUAAAAUUGAUUGCAAGGGUCCUUAAUAUGUUAAUUGGGUUAAAAAGUAAUAACUACUACUCAAAAGUGUUUAAAAAAGUUAAUUACAAGCUAUGAAAUAACACUUUUUGAGUAGUAAUCAAUCAUCAUUUUGAGGACAUUGAGCCUUUGAAAAUUUAUCACCCUUCACAAUUGGCGCUCUAGUAAAACUACAGUUGUGCAUAUUGAACUUCUUCAAUAUCUUCUCAAUAUAGGUUCUUUGAGACAAUUUAAGCACCCCGUUAGUCCUAUCACGAAGAAUCUUUAUGCCCAAAACAUAAGAAGCCUCACCAAGAUCCUUCAUGUCAAAAUGGGUUGACAACAUGUGCUUUGUCUCAAUCAACAAGUCAGAAUCAUUUUAUGCGAGUAGUAUAUCAUCAACAUAUAAAACAAGAAAUAUGUAACUACUCCCAAUGACCCUCAAUUAUAUGCAUUUGUCAACUAUAUUAUCUUUAAAACCAUUUUGGGUGAUAAUCCUAUCAAACUUCAGAUACCACUACUGAAGCCUAUUUAAGACCAUAAAUUGACUUAUUGAGCUAGCAAACUAAAUCUUCCUUUCCAACUUCUGCAAAACCAGUAGGUUGCUUCAUAUACACGUCCUCAUCCAGAUCACCAUUCAAGAAAGUUGUCUUGACAUCCAUUUGAUGUAGCUCCAAAUCAAAAUGAGCUACAAUGGCCAUAAUCACUCUAUAAGAGUCUUUGGUCAACACAUGUGAGAAGGUUUCUUUAAAAUCAAUUCCUUCUCUUUGACUAUAACCUUUAACCACAAGUCUAGCUUUAUAUCUCUCUAUUUGCCAACUAGAAUCACGUUUGGUCUUAAAACCCACUUGCAUCCAACUGGUUUACAACCAUGUGGCAAUUCGACCAAAUUCCAAACACCAUUCAUAUGCAUAGAGUUCAUUUAAUCGUCCAUGGUUUCUUUCCAAGAAGUGAAUUGAGGACAAUGAAUUGCUUUUUGAUAAGUGACUGGAUCAGAAACAUCAUAACCAUCAUACUCAUGCUCUUGCAAAUAAAUCAUGUAAUCAUCUGAAAUAAUCGGCCUACGAACCCUCUAUGAUAUUCUCAAAGGAAUCCCAUCAACAACAGUACCAUCAAUAGGAAUGCCAGGUUCCACUUGAUCACCAUGCUCUCCUUGAUUAGUGGCCGAAUGUUGGACAAUAGGAACAUCCACAUCUAGAACAUGAGAUGUAGGAAAAGGAAUUAUAACAUGCUAUUUUCCAAAAGGUAUCUCACGAGGCAUAAAAUUGGGAUCAACAUUAACUUCAUCUUCAAAGUAUACAACCCUGUCUGACUGAAUGAUCCUGGUGGUAUGAGAUGGACAAUAAAAUCCGAAAACCCUUGAUCCAACGCAAUAACCAACGAAGAAACCACUAAUGGUUUUAGGAUCAAGUUUUUUUUACUAUGGGUUAUAUGGCCUAACCUUAGCCUUACCUCCCCAAACAUGAAAAUGGUGAAGGCUCAGUUUCUUCCCUGGCCAUAACUCAUAAGGUGUCUUAAGCAUAGACUUAUUAGGCACUUGAUUCAAAAUAUAUGUCGCAGUCCUUAAGGCUUCACCCCACAGAAAUUCUAGUAAGGAGGAAUUAGACAACAUGCACCCUACCAUAUCCAACAAUGUGCAAUUCCUCCUUUCUGCAACCCCAUUCUAUUGAGGAGUGUCUGGCAUUGUAUAUCUAGCAUCAAUGCCGCAUUCCAACAGAAACUUAGCGAAUGGUCCAGGAUUCUAUCCAAUCUCAUCGUAUCUCCCAUAAUACUCACCAUCUCUAUCAGACUUCACAACUUUAAUGGGUUUUCCCAAUUGCAACUCCACCUUAGCCUUAAAGGCCAUAAACACAUUUAGGGAGUCAGAUUUCUAUGGGAUUAGUUCAACAUAACCAUAUCUAGAAAAAUCAUCAAUAAAAGUGAUGAAAUAUUUAUAACCCCCUAAAGCAGUUGGUGUUAAAGGACCACAUAUAUCUGUGUGGAUUAAGUCUAAAGUACUUCCACACCUAUCAAUCUUCUCAUUUUUUGUCUUAGUUGUCAUCUUCCCCUUUAAGCAAACAACAUAAGUCUCGAAGUCUAAGAAAUCAAGAUUAGAAAGCACAUCAUCUCUAACCAAUCUCUCUAAUCUUUGCCUAGAAAUAUGACCUAGGAGUUUGUGCCACAACAUGGAAGAACUCAAAUUCAUUCUAGCACGCUUGCAACCAACAACAGAAUUAACAAAAGAUGAAUCACACAAAGGACCAUGACGUAAACUGAGACUAUAAAGAUUGCCAAACAAAACAACAUUGCCAAUUAGAACUGAGUUGCUAAAUAUAUCCACUUUUCCUCCUCUAAAGUGGAAAGUGUAACCUUGUCUAUCUAAAAUAGAUAUAUAAAUCAAAUUCCUCAUAAGUAAGGGUAUGUAAGCAACAUUGUGUAACAACAAAAACUUUCUAUGAUCAAUCUUAGCUUUAUCAUGCCAAAAAAUUCUGCUUUCACUUUGCUUCCAUCACCCAUAUACACACAUUCUUCAUGCUUUGACUGCCUCCUUUUGUUUGUCAUCUCCUGCAAAGAAUUAGUGACAUGAAUAGUGGCACCAGUAUCUAACCACCAAGAAUUGGCAUGAACAUCAACAAUAUUAGUCUCAAUCAUGUUUGCAUUAAAAUUAACCACAACCAUAAUUUCACAUUUCUUCUUCUUCUCUAACCAAUUUUUAAACUUGAAGCAAUCAACUUGCUUGUGGCUAAUGUUGUGGCAAAAGUUGCACUUUCCCUUGAAUCUCUCAUUCUUUGUAGCAUUAGAAGAAGCAGAUGCAUUAGAGGUUCAUUAACUUGAAUUCCCUUUCCUCUUGAAUUGCUUAGAGCCUCUAAAAUUCUUGUGUGAAGGUUUUUUCUUCAUAUUACUCACUUGGUCAGUAACAAAAGCAAGUGAGUGAGUCUCAUUUUUCUUUAUUGAGACUUCAUGUUGCACCUCAAUGGACAUCAACUCCUCCAAAGUCCAUUCUUCCUUUAAGGCAUUAUAAGUCAACUUCACCGCAUCAAAGGAAAUAGGAAGAGACUCAAGUAUCAACCAUUUCAAGAAUUUCUCACUCAAUUCCACUUUCAUCUCAUUUGCCUUGUUGAAGUAGUGCUUUAGCUUUAUGAUGUGAUCUCUAACCCCACUUACUCCAUCAUACAUAGUGGUUGUGAGAAGCUUCAAAUAAGUUGUCAUUUUUUCCUUAUCAAUCUUGGUAUAAUUGGCUUUUACAUAUUCUAAAAAGUCUUUCGCCCUUUCCUUUUUUAGCACACAUUCUUUAAUAGAUUUAUCCAUAGUAUACUUCAUCACCAUCAAACAACUCUUAUUGAAGUGCUCCUAUAUCUCAUAAAAGGAUCCUUUAUCAACAGAGCUCACAUCAGUGGGCUUACUUGGCUCAUCAACUCUUAAAGCCAAGUCGAAAUUGUGCAGAGUCAUGCACAUUGAAAGACUCAUACCAUUCCUCAAAGUUAUUUCUAGUAAGAGGCUUGAUGGCAGAUAAUUGCAGAGUAAUUCCAGAAUUGCUAAUAGCUGGAAAAUAGCAAAAUUAAACAAUAUGCAUGUUACUAUAAUAUCAUGCUAUUUGCUAGUUUACAGAAUUUAUCAAUUUAGCAAUAGCUUGGAAUCUUGAAAUUCCACAGCGGUAAAGACAACUAAUUAAAUAUCAUAACCAAGAUGCACUAAUUUUAUUAACGAAAGGGCAAAAGAAAAUUAGUAUGGUUCAUAAUAUAUAAUUAAUUUCCUUCACCAAUCUAAGCAUCCUACCAAGUAUUAUAAUCAUCGAUAAGACAAUUAGAAUACCCAUAUGGACCUUAGUAAUCACAAUAAUAAAGCAACCAAAAGUGGGAGAUAAAAUAUCUCAACAAAGACAAUUUGACACAUAUAGGAUGACAAUAAGCAACCACAUAUAUGUUCACUAUUGUCAUGAUAAACUCAAAUAUUUAAUUUGCACAACUUGACACACUUAGAAUUGCGAUAGGCAAUCACACAAGUGUUCUUUAUUGCCAGAAUAAAUUUAAAUAUUUAACAGAAAAUGCUUAGGACAACAUUAUUGGUAUAAGAUAAAAAAUUGUACCAUAAAGAACCCAAUAAAAUCAAAUUUAACAAAUGCAUAAUAGUUCCAAGAAUACCAAUACAAAAAAAAAAAGUUUUUUUAUGAUGUCAGGAUGAUGUCAUCAUGCACGAUUCAUUUUCUCCAUUGGGCUGAACACAACCUGGUUCUUCUAGAGAAAAAAAAAUCGGCCAAAAUUUUGUGCAUUUUUCGACGAAAACACUUAAGUUUCCAUCCUCAAACAUCAAUCCUUCAAUCUAAACCCAAAAAAUUACACAAAAAAUGCAUAAAAUGAAGAACCAAAAUAAGCCCUAAUUUUCGAAAUCCCAUCAAAUGAGCUCCAAAAACCAUAAAAUAAAAAAAAUGUUUUGCUCCAAACAAUAUUUUCUACAAGUCUCCAACAUCAAUCGGGCUUGAAAACCGAGAAUCAACACCAAAUGAAAAAAAAAACUCCAAAAAAUGGCUUCCAAACCAGAAAACGGGAAACCCAAAAUAACCCAAAUAUGCAGCUCAAAUGUCAUCUAUGUAUGAGCUCUGAUACCAACUGACGAAAUUUUAAACGACAUAAAAUCACAUGUAGACAUUAAAGCAUGCAUUAAAUGACAAUAAAUAAAAUGCUUACCUUGAUUAAUGUCAUGGAAAGCCAUUUUCGCGCUCCACUAGUAUCCAAAAUAUGCUCAGUCCAUGAUGGUAUGAAAAUCCAGGUUUAAUGAGCUCUUUCAUUUCUACACCCAAGAUUCAAUCUGUGUGUGCUCUCAAGACGAGUAUGCAGUGUGUGCCAUUUUUUUCAGCCCAAGAAGAAGAAGAAGAAACCUUCCUUUGCACUUAUAUAUAUCACACAUUCUACACAUUAUUUGGACCACUUGACUUAAUGGGCCAGUCAAGUAAAUUAGGGUGAGCCCAUAAAAAAUCAAGCAACAAUAUGUGUCCAGCCCCAUUAUGGACCACAAUGCAAAAAUAAAAUAACAUUGAUUUAUGUCAUUAUCACAUUGAUUAUGUAAGUCCACACAUAAAAAAUUCCAACAUUACCUUCAUAGGAUCCAGCCCAAGCCGAAAGCCAAUUCCCACCUCCCCUUCUACUCUUUGAGUGUGUGGUCAUGGUGCACAGAUAAGCCUAAAAAUCAUAAUCCUCAAAUACUCAUUAGUCACCAAUCCUAUGGCAACUAAAGUAGGAAAAAUAGAACAAAUAAAAAAUUGAUAUUACAAAAGGUUGAUUUCAAAAUUGAAGAUAGUUUUAUCCUGAAAAGCUAGGAGAUUGUACCAUGUUUCUUAUAUAUUCGAAAUCCAAGAAUGAGACAGAUUGAACUUCUUACACCCACAAGGAUGGGAUACUUGACUAUCGAACCAUUUUGGAUUUUCUACAUAACUUUUUUUGUACAUGUAACAUAGCCAAACUAGUGUACCAUGUGGUUAACAAUAUGGAAUUGCACUAGGUAUUUCAUGCUUUCGUACGUACUCAUGCAUAGCUCAUACCCUAUGAGUUAAAUCACUACAAUAAUUACGAGUUUUUACCAUAAAUUAAUUUAUGGUUAAAAAAGAGUAUUUUAUAGUAAAAGAAUUUUUUACUACAAAAACUUAUUUAUGGCAAGUUUGUUGUUAUAAAUCCGUGAACAAUUAUUUUUAACCACUACAUUUAAUUUAUAACAAAAUAAAUAAUUUUUUCACAAAAUAAAAUUUAUAACAUAUUACUUUUUACCACAAAACAAUUUUGCAGCAACAUAUGAUCACUUUUUAUCAUAAAAUAAAUUUGUAGCAACAUGCAUGUUAUUUUUUAUUGUAAAAUAAAAUUUGUGACAAUAUUGUUCUCAUAGAAAUAAUCAUGGUAAAAGACCACUUUUUUGCCAUAAAAAAAUUCACAGUAAAAAGUAACCUUUUUUUUCAUGAAAUAUAAUUUUUUUGACAAAAUAUAUUUUACUAAAAAUAAAUAAAUUAUUCUUAUGCAACUAACAUGUUUCACCUUUAAUUCAUUUCCCCUAUUUCAACUGUUUAGAACCUCAUAUUUGUUUCAAUUUUGAUUCAUCUCCCCCAUUUCAACUUUUUAGAAUCUCAUAUUUUUUCCUGAUCAAAAUAAAGUUGAAGGUCUCUUUUUUAUUAACAGUGAGUCCACAUGGUAAGCAUAGAUUUAUUUUUGGUAAUUACGCUUGAUAUUAAAAUAAUAAUAAUAAUAAUAAUAAUAAUAAUCAAAAGCAUCAUUACAUGGGAAAACUGAUUGCAUUGACCACUGUGGGGCUUCUGACAUCGUGCUUAUCUGAGCAUAUGAGCCUUCCAAAAAGACUCACCUCCCUCAUCACCUCUCUUUGCCUCCAAUGCCACCUUCAACGUUUUCUCUUUGAUUACUCUUUUCAAAAUUAAAGCGUAUUGGGUUCCACCUUCACCAAUAUUCCACAUGGCACCUCCGUUUGAACUGUGGAUGUAGCUGGUUCCAACAUUCUUCAAGGUCCCACUCAUUGUUACCUUGCCUGAGAGACAGGGACAGUAAUGGAGGAGUAGUUUGAAUCCAAAUAAAUUUAUUUAUUUGGUACUAUAAUUUGUAACCCACCUUGCGGAUUUCUGGAGUGAUUGGAUUAGGGCCCCCGGGACAAAAAAGAAGGCAUGAUCGGUGCUGCUGCUGUACCCACUUCAGUUGCACCACUUAUGUAAAGCCACAGGGUACCUGAAAGUGAAAAGACAAAAAACUAAGAUAAAAAUUCCUUAAAUACUAAGAUGGGUCAUCUCCGAAAAUGGAUUUUACAUGGUGUCAGGAAGCUAACAGCCCGGAAUUAAGCAUUUAGGGACAAGAAAGAACAUUACUUGGUAGUGUGAAUGUAUAACAAAAUGGAAAGACCAUCAAAUGCAGAGACAUGUGAUGUAAGAACGAAGUGUGGCUCAGGGAACAACGUAUCUGUGGACAGACAGUCAGAAAGAAUCAUCACGAUGCCACCUGCCUCAGCAACCACCCAGCUCUUUUCAACAUUGUCAUUGACUCCAACCAGGCAGUAUACUAUCUUCCUUUUGACCUUCUCUAGGUCCAGGGAUCCAACAGAGCAAAGUUGUCUACAACACCGAGAGAAAGCAAAUGUUACCAGUCAUGCCUAUAGAAUGAGACCUAGUUGGUGUAGAAGCAUCUCUUGCAGAAGCAUUAGCAGCUCUAGCAUCUACAGAAUGUACCAGGGGAUAAAACUUCUCAGCUGGUAAACCAUUGGUGUAGAAGCUCCGGCCCUGAUUAAAAACAAAUCACAAGAGUUCAAUACAGAAGAAUAACAGACCAUGAAAAACUUUAUAUGAGAAUCUUAUAUCUAUUCCAAAAAUAUGAUUUCCAUUCCUGAAUUCAAAGCCAAAAAACUUACCACAUCUUAAGAAUUUUUUAAAAGAGACUGAUGGUAUUUCUAGAUAGAGAAUAGCAAUUAACAAAACAAGAAGAAAUUCAAAAUUUAUUUAUUUAUCUAUUUUAUAUCUUUAUUUAACAAUUCAAUUCAAUUUUACACAUCAAUUAUUGAUAUCUUCAGUUUGAUAUAAUGCUCAUUUGAUAGUUGUGUUUCUAACAAUAAAUUGAAUGGACUGUAGUUUUCCGUCGGUCACUAGUUACAUUUCUAUACAACAAAAUAGAACAAGAACUAUUUAAAAGAGGGAUUCAAGUGGCUAGGCAUAUCAAGGGAAAGGCUGGCCUCAUGCAUUGGACGGUUUUGAUUACUAGUUCAAGUCUUGGGCUCAAAAUGAGGCAAGUCUGUCAGGUGAUUGCCCAUUUUCCAUUGGAAGGUUAAAGAAGGGAGUUAUGGCUCAAUUCUACCACUACAUACUUAUCUUAUCUCCAUCUCCACAGCUCUCUGCUCUUUGCUAGGUCUUUCUUUUGAGGGAAAUUUCAUGUUACCAAUUCCCCACUAUACCCAAACUGCCAACUUUGAACCUGAGCAUUCCAGUGAUAUGACUAAAAAGACAUAAAUUUGAAGCUUCCAGAGAAAACUUCACCUGCUCAAGCAGUUAAAUUACAGGAUUAGACUAUUGUUAAUUCUAACAGCAUAGCCAAAGCUACAAAAUCUUAGGAACACAAGGCUAAUAAAUCAAAACCACUAAAAUGACAUGAAAGAAUAGGAUUCAUGACCUAAGCAUAAGAAGACUAGAAUAUAAAUUGCUAGACCAACCAAUUAAAUAAAAAUCUUGAAGUGGAUAAUAUUUUACUCAAAAGUUUUGAAAGAAACAUGCCAGCUUAACCUAGGCAAUGUUUGCAAUAAUAUGUAAUCAAAAUCCUCAAAUAUAAAGAAAAACAUGAGUCUUCAGUAACCGAAGACAAGAUGCAUCAUGCACAUUCUAAUGAAAGUUAGAAGAAAAUGGACAGGAAUAAGAUAAUGGGUACCCAUGUGUUUUUUUUUUUUUUUUUUGCUUUUUUAGGGGUAGAGGGGGGUUGGCGUGGGGAGUUUGAGCAAUAAUAAGAUUAUCACACAGUGCGUAAGCCAAAUGGUCAGCAUCGUACACAGUCCCCAGCGUGUGGAGCAGGUAUAAAUGAUACCUUGUCACUAAAUUUAAAUUUAUAAAACAUACAAACUUCAGCACUAAAAACAGACCUGUAUAAUCACAUCUGCAGUAAAAAAUACAAAAUUCUCAUAAAAUGAAAUAAAAAAAUAAAUACACUGAAUGAUGGCUGUGCUGCACUACUAAGAAGUAAGGCUCCAUGCUGUUUGACCUUGGCUCAGCUUAUGUGGACGUGUUCUACCUCAUCAGAUAAGUUUAAAACAAGCAUGGAGACUUUCAAUUGAGAUGAGUGAGUCAUACGACCAGUUUAAUUUGAACAUUGGAGAUUGAGAGGUUAACUUUUAUUAAAUACCUUUCUGAUUUCACUACCGAAAAGAUUGGUUGUCCCCAGGGAUUGAAAAAUCGGGAAAUAUCGGAUAUCGGUUGUCCUCGAAACGAUAAUCGCCACCGAUUAUCGAUCCCUGGGAAUAUCGCCAAAAAAUCAGUAAAAUCGCCGAUAUAUCGGUGAAACACCAAUAAAUCGGCGAUAAAUCACGAGUGGAGACACAUGCGGAGAAUCCGGAGGACGAGUUCAAAAAAUUGGCGAUUUUACCGAUUUAUCGCUAAUUUUUUGGAAAAAUCAGCGAUAUUUUGCCGAUAAAUUCGUGAUUAAUCGGCGAUUUUUUGGAAAAAUCAGCGAUUUUUUUUCAACUUAAGGAAUUUGAUCCGACAACCAUAUUUGAAUUUUUGAGGAUCUGAUGGCCUAGAUUUCACCCGUGUAUUUGUAAAGGCCUCCAAUGGUCAGAUUUGUGAUCCAAUGAUGGAAAAUCAAUCUUCACUUUAUCCAAGGGCUAUGAAGUGUUUCCAACGGUUAUAUGAAGAUCUAAUGGUGAAAUUUGAACCAAAUUUUUAUCCAACGGUUAAAAUUAAUUUAUAACGGCUAUUUGACCAUCCAACGGCUAGUUUGACCAAAAAAUUCCUAUAAAUACCCACAUUCCAUUCCAUUUCAUACAUCAAAAUUCUUAUAUGAUCUAGCAAAAUUUUUAAAUUUUGAAAAUUUGGUGGUGAAGAGGAUUAACUCCAAGUCAAGGCUAAUUAAGGUAUGUCUUACCUUUCAUAAAAUUUAUUUUUAUUAUGCAUAAUUCAAUUUUAUUUGUUAUAUAUAGUUUAAUUGAUAUUAUCUAAUUUGAAAUUUUGUCAUUUUAACAUUAAAUUUCAUAUGGAAUGGAAAUUGAUUUGACAUAUAUGCAUAUUUAGUUUCAUAUGGAAAUUUAAUUCAUGCAUAAUUCAAUUUUAAUAAUGAUUCUUAUCAAAUUCAUGAAUAUGCAAUUUUAAUUUAAUUCAAUUUAAAUUUAAUUCAUAUGGAAAUGUAAUUGUAAUGUUUAUCUAUUUCAUAUAUGCAUAAUUUAAUUUUAAUUUUAAUUUUUAUUAGUUCUUAUCAAUUUCAUGAAUAUUAAAUUUCUUACAUGUUUUAUCUUUAAUAAUUUUAAAUUUGAUAUUAGUUUCAUACUUCAAUUUUAGAAAAUGGCUAGUGAAAGCGAUAUCAUGGGUCGAGAUCCUUGUUGGAAAUAUUGUACACCUAUGGAAGGGAACAAAAAUGGAACAGUAUGCAAUUACUGUGGGUUGGCAAUAAAGAGUGGUGGGAUUACUUGUUUUAAAUUUCACCUAUCACAUACAGACCCUAAUUCAAAUACAAAAAAGUGUCCUAAUGUGCCUCAAGAAGUGAAACAAGAAAUAAGACGACUUUUAGAGCAAAAAAAUAAGGCAAAAGCGAAGAAAGCUAUAGAUGUAGAAGAUAUCUGAACUGCGAGACAUAAUGGGAAGAAGACAUAGGCAUGUAACUGAUGAGGACGAUGAGGAGAAACUUGGUGGUGAUGAUGACGAUGGAGAUGAUGAUGUGUAUAUGUAUCCGGCUGACAUGCACCCCGAUGAGCGGCAUGCUUAUAGAGAGGCGGUUCGAGCAUCAAAAGCUGCUAAAUGGAAUCGACAACAAGAAAAACAUUUUGUAAAAGGCAAAAGAAAAAUAGCUAUAAUAUUAAUUUGAAUUAUUACUGUUUCUUAUCAACUUUAUCAAUAAUAUUAAAUUAACAUAUAUGUUUAAUUUUAAUAAUUAUAAUAGGCGAGUCUUCACAUCCAACCAAUCCAACAACAAGGCAAAUGCAAAAAUCGCAAAGUGUUCGAUAUUCAAAUCCAUCACUGCCUGAUGCACCCUCAUUGUAAAAAAAUUUUCAGCAGCAAGACAGAAAAAUAUGAAAAAUCUUUUCAAAGGUGAUGCCAUCAAGGAAACCAUGGGACGUUUGAUCAGUAAGUUCUUCAUAUAUGAGAGUGUUUCGCCCAAUAAAGCAGACCCUCACCACUUCAAGAACAUGAUUGUUGGUGCACAACAAGCAGGUAAUUACUAUAAUUUUAAAAGUUGUAUUCAUUUUAAUAAUAUCAUUACUAUUUAUAUAGUAUGAUUGCCACAAAUGUUCUUAUAUGCUUUAAUUAUAUAUGGAUGGUAGGUAUGGGUAUAGAACCAUCGUCUCCUUAUGAAAUCAAACACAAGUAUUUGGAUAUGGAGUACAAAGACAUGGAAGUUUAUGUCAAUAUUCAAAGAGAAAAGUGGAAGACUUAUGGAUGCACGAUUAUGUGUAACAGAUGGAUUGGGCCCACGAAAUUAAGCAUAAUUAAUUUCAUGGUAUAUUCAAAAGGUAGCACAAUCUUCCUCAAAUCUAUUGAUGCAUCAAAUAAUAUAAAGGACAACAAAUACAUAUAUGGUUUGUUGAAGGAUGUGAUCAAGGAAGUUGGGAAACAAAAUGUGGUACAAAUAGUUACAGAUAAUGGGUCGACAUUCGUGAAGGUGGGGAAGUUGUUAAUGAAGAAAUACAAUCUUUAUUGGACUCUGUGUGCAGCACAUUGCAUCGACUUAAUGUUUGAAGACAUUGGUAAAAGGAAGAGUAUUGCAGAUGUGAUUACAAAGGCUCGAAAGAUAACCAACUUCAUUUAUAACCAUAGUUGGUUGGUUGCGCAGAUGCGGAAGGUGUGUGGUGGAGACAUAGUUCAUCCUAGAGUAACAAGAUUUGCAACCAAUUAUAUGGCCCUCGGUAGUCUUUUGAAAAAGAAAGCAAACUUGAAGAAAGUGUUUAUCAGUGAUGAAUUGGCACGACACAACUUAAGUCGCACAUUAAUCGGCAAAAAAGUUGAAUCACUUAUGUUUGACCAUGUGUACUGGGAGAGAGUGGGAAAGCUAGUGUCAAUAUAUGAGGCGCUAUACAUGGUUCUUCGCAUUGUCGAUUCAAAAGUUAUUCCUACAAUGCCAUUUGUGUAUGAAUUGAUUCGAGUUAUGAAAGAGAACCUCAUUCGACUUAAUGCUAAAGAAUGGGUGUUAGAAAUAAUUGCAGAACGUUGGGAUAGAACUCUUAAACAUCAUCUUCAUACAGCAGGUAAGUAUUAUUCAUCUUCAAAAGUUAUUGGUAUUUAAUAUGUGUCUUUCAUAACAUUCUAAUUUUACAUUUCUACUUUACUAUUGUAGCAUUCUUUCUUAAUCCAAGAUUUUAAUAUAAACGUGGAGUUGGUACUGAUCCUGAUCUACUUCAAGCUGUUCAUGAAGUCUUUACGAAAUUAGAUCCUACAUCAGAAAGUCUUAGUCAAUUUGGAAAUGAGGUAAAUUAUUAGAGUUAUAAUAUAAAUUAAAUAAUUGAAUUUCAUUUACUCAAUUUUUUCACUUUCAAUUAUUUAAUAUGUAGAUUAUACUAUUCAGAUAUGCAAAAAGAGGAUUUGGUGAUCAAGAAGCGAUUGCUUCGAGGUCAGAAAUGGUUCCCGAUGAGUAUUAUUUGUGAAUUAAUAAUUCAUUUCAUUAGCAUAUUAUUGUAGCUUUCCAAUAUAAGUAUUGAUAUCAUUUAUUUAGUUGUAGCUGAAUGGUGGUUUAUGUAUGGAAAUCACACUCCUACAUUAAGAAGGUUAGCCAUCAAGGUUUUAUCGCAAACUGCAUCAUCUUCAGCUUGUGAGAGAAAUUGGAGCACGUUUGCCUUAAUUCAUACAAAACAAAGAAAUCAGCUUGCUUACCCGAUGCUCCAACAAUUAGUUUUCUGUUAUUAUAACAUGAAACUAAAGAUACGUGACAUGGAAGCAGAACAUGACAAAGUUGCAAAGAAAGAUUACCUCGAUUUACUUGACAUUGCAACUGAGGUUGGUGAAGAAGAAGAUAACCAAUUGUUUCAAUGGGUUAAACCUCUUCAUUUAGAUGAUGAAGAUGGAAAUCCCAACCCACGAAUUGCUGCACAUGUCCAAGAAGCAGCUGUUGAUGUUGAUCGGGUGUUAUCCGAAGAAGUUCAUACUGAUAGUUUCAGCUAAGACACAAGAGAUUCAUUUCGACAAGGAAUUUCUUAGCCGGCAGUCACUUCUCGACCUUCUUUUGACUCCACAAGUGUUGAACAUAGUAGUAGACCUAGAGCUAUUGGUAUUUUCGCUUCCGGUUAUCAUGGUUCAAGAGGAGAGGGGACCAAUGAUGGUAGCAGCCUUGGAAAUGAUGAAGGGGAUGUUAGACAACAACAACAAAGUGGACAACCAUUGGCAUUUACUUGUGAAGAUGAUUUCACACAUUGUACUCAAGAUGAAGACCACGACUCUAGAAGAGCUGGUUCAUGUGUUGGAGCCAUUGGAAAGCCAUAUAGAGGAAGACAACGAAGGAUGAUGCCAUACAACGAGGACUCAUUGUCAGCCAGUUUUGAGUCGAUGAGUGUAGAGACUCAAUUCAAUGAUUCAUCAAACGAAGUCAACAUUUAUGCCCCUUAUGCAAUGAGUUAUGGUCAGCCUCCUCAAAAUCUUUCACGUUCAACUGAUGAAGAGUAUGAAAGGUAUAACUAUCCUUCUUCCACACAAAUGCCAUACUACUUUCCACAUCAGCUGCAACAACAAGGAUUUCAAACGAGCACAUGGGAAAACCCUGGAUUUCCCAUCCAUGGAUAGGUUGUCGGUAGGACUCAUGAAAUUUAUGCAUGGCAUAUUCGUACAUACAAUCAAUACUAUCGAAACUCCAUGUCCUGGUAUGAAUAUUGUCUUCAAUAAGAUGGGCUCCCUUCAUCUAACAAUAACAAUAUGAUGGAACCACAUCGAUCUUCAUUUUGGUCUUAAGGACCAUUGCAAUGUCAUAUGUAUUAUUUUUAUGUAUAAAUUGUUUUCAUUUAAUGAAAUCAAAUAUUUCUUAACUCAAUUCUAACUUUCUAAGUGUAUAAUUCCAAAUUUCAUAUUUUCUAUUCUUAAAAUCCAAGUAUCGUAAACUGUUUACCGAUAUUUUUUUCUUUGACCAUAUUUAUGUCAAUUACACUUAUAAAAUAACUUUAACAUUUAUAUUCUUGUUUAUUUUAUCAUUCUUUGGAUUUUUCUAAGCAUUCCCAUCAAUUUUGGAUAAUUUUUGUCUCAUCGAUAUUUGAUGAAAAAUAUCCACCGAUAUUUCUCCGAUAUUUCCGAUAUAUCCGUAAAAUCUAAGUACCGAUAUAUCCGUAUUUACCGAUAUUUCAAUCAUUGGUUGUCCCUGAUGCACCAACAUAAAUAGGUUAUUAUAAAAGGAUUCUAUGCAAGUUUAUGAUACAGCAUUUCUUUCAAGUCAUUCAUAAUUCCAAGGACAAAUAUGCAAAAUAAAGAGUUUUCAUUUUUUUUUUUAUCAAACAAUUAAAUAAAAUUCAACACAGAAAAUUUGAAAGAAUCAUUACUUAAAACUUUAAACACUUACAACUCUACACUAAGGUUUAUAGAACUUAAUUUUUAGUUCUAUCAAACACCUGACAUUUUUCGCCCAUGUAUCUGGCAAUCUUUGCUUCUUAUCCAAAAGGCCAUAAUGCUAAAAAUCCUAGCUACAGAAAUAGAUAAGUAAAAUUAUAAGACAUUUGAGGAUUAGUAUCUGUUGAAAGCAAAGAGUUUUCACACAUUAGAUGCCUGUAGAACAAAACCAUUCAGAAGUUGACCCAAAUCCAUAGCCUUGCAGCCAAAAGGAAAGGCAAAUCAAAUCUUCACGACAAUGCAUUCCAAGCUCCUCAGUUGGCUACAAAUCAAACUUAUGCUAUCCCAUAGUCCAAGUAAAAAAGAGAUUGAAUACCUAAUGAUAAGGAUGUGAAAGGAACAUACAAUUUUCAAGGAUCCCCAUAUGGGUUCUCGUGUAUGCUUUGUGUGCGUUAAUGCUGCAUCUGUAUAUAGUUCUCUUAUACUAAAAAAUACAUACUAUUUUUUAAAAAUUUAGAGUUUGUUUGGUGCUGUUUUUUUAAAUUGUUUUCGAAAAUAGUUUUUUAGAAACAAUUUUUGGUGUUUUUCAGAAAAAAAAAAUUAAAAAAAAUUGUGUUUAUGAACUAAAUUUUGAAAAACAGUUUUUGUUCCAAAAAACAAAGAAAACAUGUUUGGUUAAGUUAAUAAGAAAGUUUUUUUAAAACAAAUAAAACAAAAAACAUGUUCGAAAGUUUUUUUUAAUUAAUAAAAUAUUUUCUUCAAUUAACUUGAUAUUAUAAAUAUAUAAAUAAUUUUUAUACGCACAAUUCAUUUAAAUUAAAAAAAUUAUUUUCUUUUGAAAUUUUUACACCAGUUAUAAUUUUUUUAAAUAAAGGAUGACUCUAUAGCCAUAUGUAAGUAUAUUAAUUUCAAUAAUUUAAGGAAGAAGAAAGGACUUGGAGGUGAGGGUGUGGUGGUUGGGUGGAACUCACCUUUGUGGAAACACAAAAAGCAAUUAGGGAAAAAAAAAAGAAAAAAAAAAAGAAAAUACAUAGAACAAUAUGUUAUUUGAAUAAUGAAAAAAUAAUGAAAACAUUUUUUUAUUAUUCUAAAAAAUGUGGUUUUUGAGAACACGGGAAACACAAAAAAUAAAAACACACCCCCUUCCCCAAACAUAUUUUUAGUGUUUUUUGUUUUCAAUAACAGAAAACAGUUCUUGAAAAUAACAACCAAGUAGCCCAAGCAGCCCUUAUAUUCUCCAUUAAGGAAAGAUGACAAUAGCUAGCAAAACGUUAUGAGACUUGAACAGAAUUGCUAAAAUAGGCCAACUAAUGAAGCAAAGAAGAGGAAACCAUUCAAAAGUUAAAAGUGCAACCGAGUGAAAGAGGUACCAUCUUGAAGAGCUGACAUCAAUUCUGGCAGUUCAGGAUCCUGCUCCAAAUAACAAAUAUGCAGACCACAUCAAAACAACAGUGCAUUGGAUGAUACAACUGACACUUACAAAAUCAGUAUGGCAUACAAGCAGAGAGUGGACAAAGUAUGUAUAAUAUGAGAUACUCAAAUAAAGAGUUAAAAACACAGUCAUUGUGUCCCUAUUGUCCACCAUGUCCACAACCAGAGCUAAACAUGGGUACCACAAUGCAUUCUGAUGAUUGUUGAUGUCUCGCGUCCCUGACGAUCCACGUAGUUGCCAAAUGGAUGGAUGCGCGACCUCAACCAAAAUAGGUUCUUGAUUCAGUCGUUAUACCUGCAAAAAAUGCAUUCGGACAGGGUGUCUGGACACACCCUCCGAUGGUUUUGUUAGCCAUGAUUUGGGAGAGAGAUAAAUCAGUUGGCUUUUUACUAGGUAUAGCAAGCUUACCUUCCUCUUUGUGUGAAGGUUGAUAUAUAUAGUAUCAGAAGCUUUGAUUCCCUCUUUAAUGGCAGGGAGAUAUUUUGUGUUGUUAUGAUGACAUUAGGUGGUGGCAGGGCUAUCAUCACCCUACGGGUGGCUGACAGAGAUCGUGGUAGGUGAUGCGGCUGUCAGAGAUCGUGGGAAGUGACCAUGUGGAAUGAUCGUAGGAAGUGACUUGUUGUCACUUCAUCUUGUCCUCUCACCCUGCAGGCGGCGGAACGUGGGCCAUGACAGGCUAUUGUGGUAACGUGUGAGACUUGCUUACUUCAGUCAAUGAUCCGGACCAUUGUAUCCGGAUGGCAUAUGUUGAUCAUCCGGAUGUAUUGUGUAAGCCGUCCGGAUGAUAUGUUUAUAAAUGUCGUUUGAUCUUCCUUGAGGUAGUCGGGAAACGCGUGCCAUGUGUGCUUUAUAGGAAGAUCCGGAUGAGGGUGACUUGGAUGACAAUGCGUGCCAUGUGUCACUAUAAGAUGCGUGCCACGUGUUCUCGGAGGGAGGGGUCCCUACAAUGCCCCUCUUUUUAACUUGCCUAUUUUGCCUGAGAAAAAAUGGGCGGGUUAAAAAAUAAUUGGAUUUUUGAAACCGAAGUCGACUUUUUGUCUGGUUGGGCCAUGUGGCGAGUGGGGGUGCGGGAGCCAAAAAGGCAUUUAUGAUGAGCCACCGAAUCUGGGUAUUCCCAGGCAGCAUGUCGUUUCAAUGAUGGCGUUGUUGGGCGUUUGGCUUUCCGAGGGGCUGUCCCCCUAUAAAUAGCAUACUGUGCCUUCUGUUGCAUUUUUCCUACUGCGUUUUUUCUGAGAGUUUUUGCUUCUUCUUCCUUCUGUGCUUUCUUCUGCUUUUUCUGAGUGAAGCCCUAGAACCUUUCUGCCGGUGAUUUUCAUGCUUGCAACAGCAACCUUUCUUCUUUAGAUUUCCACUCGGUAUGUGCAUUUUGCUCUUGUUUUCCCCUUUGUUGCACUUUGUUGUUUGUUGGCUUCAUUUCUGUCUUUUUGGGCAAGCCGCUUGCGAUUGUAUGUUGUAUGUUUGGUAUUUGUUGGUUUUCUGGGAUUUUUUUAAGGUGUUUUUGACAGUUUUUGGUUAGGGUUUGUGAGUUUUCUGGAUUGCUGUGUUUGAUUGUUGCGCUUCUUGUAUGUAGGUUUCGGUUCAGCCUUAGGCUUAAAAAAUGUCUUCAAAGAAGAAAGUUGUCUCCUCUGUCCGGGUCGGCGAUGCUUAUGAGAAAUCUACAGACAAACUGAGUGUAAAGGAGUUCCGGGAUCGAUUCUGCAUCCCAAAUAGCGUGAUUGUGGAAUUUCUGAAUGAGGGGGAGGAUGUCGUGUCUACUGAAAAAGCUGAAGGACGCGCCAUCACCUUCUCAAAAGAACAAUUUAACGCCGGGCUUCGGUUCCCUCUUCCAGCAUUGUUCAAGGAAUUCCUUCACUUUUCCAAGAUUCCACCAGCCUUCAUUCAUCCCAACAUAGUCCGGGUGCUGAUGGGAUGCAGCAUUAUAAACAUGCUGUUCAAUCUCGACCUCACACUACUGGAGGUUCUUUUCGUCUACUCCCUGAAGAAGGGAAAAAAUGACAUCUUUAGCAUGUCUGCUCACCUGCCCUCCCUUCAAUUGGUGACGGAGCUGCCGGAUUCGACGAAGGAAGGGGCGAAGGGACACGUGGUGGUCCGAGGUGCAUGUGCGGGGUUUUUAGAGCGUCCGGGGAGGCCUUUUUGUCCAAACUAUUCAAUGGAGAUUCCGGGUACGUCAGCUUGCGGGUUUUGUCCGGCUUUUAACUUGUUGUCUUUUUGUUGAUUUUUCCGGAUGGUAUUCUUAUCUUUGGUUGCUGAUAACGUAGGUCCGGAAAGGAGGGGCCACAUAGUCGACUGGGUGGAAAAGACCUCUUUUGCCUAUCUCAAUAAAUUAUUUGAGAUAGACGCUAAGGAGAGGCAUUAUGCGACGCUGCUCACUACGCGGAACCUAAUGGCCGUCGUCCGGGAGUCCCAGGAGUAUGUCGUCAACAUUCUCCCUAGGAAGCUGCCAAAGGAGGUAGUGCCUGGGGAGUAUUACGUUCUGAAGGAUCUCCCUAUCUAUCAGGAGGUGAAAGAAGCUGAUGCUGAAAAACGCCGAGCACUCCUUGAUGAUAGGGAGAAGAGAAAAAAUGAGGGAACUCUUCGGAAGGCUCCCGAAUAGAAACGCAGCGCAGCCUCCCCUCCCAAGAAAGCCCCAGCGAAGAAGAGGAAGCUGGUCAAAAAUGGGAAGGGAGUGAAGGAGCCCAUUCCCCCAAAGGAAUUUGGUCCUCCGCCUAUUACCCAUGCGGCGGAGGUAAUAAUAGAGGAGCCAGUGAACCCUGCCCCCCACUCUAUUUCAAGUGGCCCUGGGCACGUCGCGGGGCUGAACCAUUCGGGGCUCUCCAUGUCGGUGGUUGCCCGUUUGGCUACUUUGGCUGAUGAAGCUGCGUCCAUAAACCAUGCUGGCUCCCCCCAUUCAGAUGUUGAUGCAGUUGAGGCCCUUUGCGCGACUCCAAUGGAGGAAACGGGGGUAGAAAGCCAGAGUCAGCCCUCUAACGAUCCAAACUGCCUCGCUCUUGUUCCGGUAAAGGGGUCACCUUCAAAGCGGUCGUGCUCGGCGCGCAAUCUAAAGUCUGGACUCAUCGGGAGGCUUCAAGAUCGAUUGCAAGAGAUUGAAGUUAGUUGCUCAUCCGCCCAAGAUGCUCAUCCGGAGGGGAGCGAGGUGGAGAUGGCAACUGAGACUUCAAUCGUCCCGGUGGUGGUUCCGGAUGAGGAUGCUCCAGGAGAGACCCAUCCGGCCGAAAAUGUUGAGGCCCCGAAUCCGGAAGAGGAGUCGCCUUCUGUCGCCUCAUCAGGGAGGAAUCCGGUUAAUGAUGUUGCUUGCACCCCCGCUAGUCCUUUUAGCUACGCGGAGUUGGAAGAUAAGCUGAAAUAGAUUCCACCCGGCUUGACCACUGUCAUGCCUUCAGCCAAGAUGUUCGAGAUGGUGGAAUCGGUAUACUGUUUUUGUGCUUUUUGAUUCUUUGUCAUUCUGAUGUGUUUUUGUAGUGUGAUUGAUAACUUUGCUUCUCUUGUUUGUGUGUUUGUCUGCAGCUGGUGAGUGGUCUCCGCGGCAUGGCCCAACAACACGAUCUUUUCACUGACCUGCUGCGGACCACUGAUUACAUGAGGGCCUUCGCCGCUUGGCGCAAAGAUAGUGAAGACCAGUUGCGCCUGAGACUGGAGGAGGCCGAAGCCAGUUUAUCCACCGCUCGAGAGGACAAUGAAGCUCUCCGGGCGGAUUUGGCUGAGGCAAAGAGCCGGGAGGAGUCGACGGUUGUUCGCCUGCAUGAGGCAGAGGAUGAGGUGGCCCGGCUGAGAGGGGAGGUGAGGUAACUCCGGGCGGAGGCUUCGAUUGAAAAGAAGCAGAAGGAGGAUUUGCAGCUGCGCCUAGCCGCGCAAAAAGAGGAACUAGAGGGAGAGUUUGCUGCAGACAGGGAGGCGCUUGAAGCGGACUACCAAAAGCAAGUGGAUGACAUGUUCUUCUUCGGCUAUCGCUGCUGUAUGAAGAAGAAUGGCAUCAAGCGGGAUGUCCCUUCAAUUCCUCCGGAUGAAGAGAAGAAACUUUUAGACAAGCCUGCUCCCUGAUAGCUUUUCUCUUUUUGCAAUUUUUGCUGUAAUCUUCUUUCUGUACUUUCUGUGGUCCGGAGACCUCCUUGUACAUAUAUUUAUACAUAUGAAUAAAAGAUUUCUUUUUACUCAUUUGUAUUUCGACUUUCUUUUUAUUGAUAACACUGUUUUAAAUUAGACACAUUCCAUGGUCUAAGUAAUGGAGUUCCGUCUAACUUUUGUAGAUGAUAUGCUCCACUUUCACUUGCCUUGGACACUAUAUAGGGUCCUUCCCAGUUAGCUUGGAAUUUCCCUGCGCCUGUUUCAGCAGUGUUUUCAAAAACUUUUCUAAAGACUAGCGUACCAUUUUUGAAGCUUCUGGGCCUUAUUUUGCGAUUGUAAUGAGCGGAUGCUCUUUGUUGAUAGUCUGCCAUUCGGAUGGCUGGCUUUCCCUUACUUCAUCUGCCCAAUCCAAGUUUCUUCCCAAUUCUGUGUUUGCAUCAUCCUGUUUUGCUGCUUCAGUCCGGAUAAUGGGUAACCCAAUUUCGGUAGGAAUUACUGCGUCCAUACCGUAUGCAAGGGCGAAGGGGGUGUUUCCUGUUGGCCAUCCGGGUGUGGUUCGAUAGGCCCACAAGACGCCGGGCAACUCUUCCACCCACUUUCCUUUGGCUUGUUCGAGCCUUUUCUUUAAGGCAGUGAUCAGAGUUUUAUUUGUGGCUUCUGCUUGCCCGUUACUUUGAGGAUAACACGGUGUGGAGUAUGAAUUCCGGAUGUUCAGCUCUGAACUGAAAUUCCUGAAUGCGAUGCUGUCAAAUUGAGGACCAUUGUCAACUAUGAUGGUUUGUGGAAUUCCAAAACGGCAGACAAUGUUUUUCCAUACGAACUUGGUGACAUCUUUGUCUUUAAUGCUAGCAUAUGCUUCAGCUUCCACCCACUUACUGAAAUAAUCUGUGGCAACGAGCAAAAUUUCUUUUGGGCAGGUACAGCUGGGAGGGGUCCCACUAUGUCCAUGCCCCAUUGCGCAAAGGGCCAUGGGCCUGAGAUUGACUUCAAUGUUGCUGACGGCAUAUGUGGAAUGGGAGCAUACCUUUGACAUUUAUCACACUUCUUGACAUAGGCUGCCGCAUUUUGUUUCAUUGUUGGCCAAUAAUAUCCUUGCGAAUGGGCUCUAUGUGCCAGAGAUCGUCCUCCUGAAUGAUUUCCGCAUACUCCCUCAUGCAAUUCAGCUAACACAUACUGGGCCUCUGAAUGCCCUAGGCACUGAAGAUUCGGUCCUGUGAAGGAUCGUUUGUAUAAGUGCCCCCCAAUUAAGGUGAAACAGGCAGCUUGCACCCGGAUUUUGUGUGCCUGUUUGGGAUCCCGGGUAGAGUGCCUGUCCGGAAAUAUUCUGCAAUAUUGUCCGUCCACUCUUGGUCGUUUGCUUGGGUUGCUUCAAUGGUAUUGCAAGUGGAGCUCCCUACGACAGAGGGGUUGGUUUGCACAUGUAUAGGCAGUAGAAUAGCUUCUUUGAUGGGGAGGGAGGCAGCUAUACCGGCCAAGGCUUCAGCGCGCCCAUUUUCAGUUCGCCUGAUUUUUUCGAUUGUCCAUUCGGUGAAUUGCUGCAAGGUGUUCCUUACUUUCGUUAGAUAUCGCGUCAUGCAUGCAUCCUUGGCCUCAUAUUCCUUCUGGACGUGUCUUACCACGAGUUGCGAAUCACUGUAGAUCCGGAGCUUGGAGACGGAUAGGGCACAGGCGAGGUCCAAUCCGGACAAGAUGGCCUCAUAUUCUGCUUCAUUGUUAGAGGUAGGGAAUCCCAACCGGAUGGCUUGCUCGAGGUGCUCCCCGGUUGGGAAUUGUAGCAGAAGCCCGACUCCAGAUCCUGAUAAUCGUGAAGCUCCAUCAACUCGCAAAGUCCACCAUUCUUUUUCAUUUGAUUCCUGGUGUUGGUUAGGCCUUCGGGAAUAUUCUAGCACUAAGUCAGCCAUUACUUGGCCUUUCAUGGACAACCUGGGUUGGAAUUCGAUUCCAAAUUCGCUCAAUUCGAUAGCCCACUGCAGCAUUCUUUCGGUUAAAUCUGGUUUGUGCAGAAUGUUGCGGAGGGGUUGAUCGGUCAGCACAACCACCGGGUGGGCUUGGAAAUAGGGGCGGAGCUUUUGGGCAGCGCUUCAGAGGGCUAAGGCUGUUAGCUUCAUUUUUUAAUACCUGGUUUCUACGUCCGCCAAUGCUCUGCUGACGUAGUAGAUUGGUUUCUGCUCCUUGGGUAAGGGGCAGCGAAAUAGAACGGCGCUGAUUGCCCAUUCCGAUACAGCUAGAUACAUGUACAAUUUUUCUUUUGGAAUGGGACUGCUUAGGAUGGGUGGCUUCGUAAGACAAUGUUUAAUCUUUUCAAAAGCGUUUUGACAGCUGUCCGUCCAUCCGUUUGCUCUAGCCUUUCGAAUUGCCAAGAAGAAAGAUCGCAAUUCAUCAGUAAAGCGGGCUAUAAAAAGCCCUAGUGCGACGAGUUUGCCCGUGAGGCGCUGUAAUUCCUUCUUGCUCCUGGGGGGAGGUGUUUCCAUGACUGCCUUGACUUGGUCUGGGCUCACCUCUAUCCCUCUUUGGCUGACCAUAAAACCCAGAAAUUUGCCAGCACUUACGCCAAAGGCGCAUUUGGAAGGAUUUAGCUUCAUGUCAUACUUUCUUAAGAGGUGAAAAACUUCUUGUAAGUGAAGAACAUGCUCCUCUCGGGUUUUGCUUUUAACCACUAUAUCAUCAAUAUAUACCUCUACCGUGUGGCCUAUCAGCGGUUUGAAGAUCUUUGUCAUCAGUCUUUGAUAAGUGGCGCCAGCGUUUUUGAGUCCGAAUGGCAUGACUUUGUAGCAGUAGAGGCCGUAUGGUGUUAUGAAUGUUGUCUUUUCUUCGUCAGCUGGGGACAUGGGAAUUUGGUGAUAUUCGGAGAAGGCAUCCAAGAAAGAGAGCAUCCCUUGCCCGGCAGUGGAAUCCACAAUUUGAUCUAUUCGUGGCAAAGGGAAACUGUCUUUUAGGCAUGCAUUAUUAAGGUUGGUGUAAUCUACGCAAACCCGCCAUUUUCCUUAUUUUUUGGGUACCACUACCACGUUGGCUAACCAAUCCGGAUAAGCUACUUCUCUGAUGAAUCCGGCUUCCAGCAAUUUGUCAAUCUCAUUCCGGAUGACUUUUUGUCUAUCCGGGUGAAAGCGCCUAAUUUUCUGCCGGAUGGGUUUGGCAGUUGAAAAGACGUUAAGCCUGUGAGAUGCAAUAGAGGGAUGAAUUCCCCUCAUAUCAGAAUGUGCCCAUGCGAAGAUGUCAUGAUUCUGUCUGAGAAUAUUUUGCAUGCUCUGAGUUUCUUCGGUCGUCAUGAGGGAACUGAUGUUCGUGAGGUGAGUGUUUUCCUCCGAAAUUUGGAUCUUUUGUAAGGGAUCUACUGCCGGGGGAUCUUUGUCCGCCAGACCCAAUAAUUGUUAUUGGUCAUGUGUAUGGCUGGGUUCAGGGGGAGAUGCAUCCUCCUAGUUGGCUCCUGCUUCUCGUGCUAUCUAAUAGCAUUGGCGAGUGGCCAGCUGGCUGUCAUAUAAGUCAAUUUGCCCUUCGUUGGUGAGGAAACUCACCAUUUGAUGAUAUGUAGAGGGGAUGGCCCCAAGAUGAUAUUGAAGGGUGAUAACUCUUGUACCACCUAGAAUUGUACGUUGAGAGUGACUGGGCCAGCUUGGACCGGCAGUAUAAUGUCUCCCAAGGACGUAGUUGAUGAUCCGUUGAAUCCGGAUAAGAUUCGUCCGGGGUUUUCAAGGACUGCGAGACUGUGUCCCAUGUGGCUAACGACCGAUGCUUGCACAAGGUCGGCCGAGCUGCCUGGGUCAACCAAGAUACGCCGCACAUCGAAGUCUCCUAUUUCCAGGGACAAGAUGAGGGCGUCGCGAUAUGGUUGCAGUGUCCGGGUGGGAUCUACUAGUGGGAAAAUGAUUGUUCCAUCUAUGGGGCGAGGGUCUCCUCCAGUUAACCCAGGCCGGAUGGAAUUGAUGCGUUCGCGUAUUGAUGCGGCCCGCAACAAUUUUUGCCUCUUUCGCCUAGAGUCGUACUCCUCGUCAGAUGGACCUCCGUUAAUAUAGUUUAUAACGACCUUGGGGGCGGCUGGGGCCCUGGGGGCGGCUGGGGCCCUGGGGGCUCCAGGAUUGUGAUGUUGGGAAGUGACUUUUCCUUCAGUAUCUGAGCGGAGAUAUUGCUUUAGAUGUCCUGCCUUGAUAAGCUUCUCGACCAGAUACUGGAGGCUCCUGCAUGUUUCUGUCGUGUGACCGUGUUCCUUGUGGAAGGCACAUGUCUUGCUAUGAUCCCUUGUGGAUGGGUCUGUUCCUUGGGGUCUUGGCCACCUGAAGUCAGACAAGCCUUGGAUCAUUGGGAGAAGUUUUUCAUACGAUAUGGAAAGAGGUGUGAGAGGCGGCCUAUCCGGGCGACUUGGUCCCUCCUGCCUCCGAUCGGACGGCCUUGGUCGGUCCGGAGGUUUGGCAUUUCUCUCCACGUCACCUCUAGAUGGUCGUCCGGCAACCAAAACUUGCUGGGUGGCUGCACGCACGUCAUCUUCGAGCAUUGAAUAUUUGUUGGCACGCCUGAAUAAGUCAUCCAUCGUUGUAGGAGGCUUUUUGGCUAGUAAUUCGAAAAAUGGAGUGCCUGGACAGAUGCUUCGCUUGAAGAUCUGCAGGACAGCAUCCAUGCUGCAAGCCUCUACUUGAAGUACGGCUUGGCCAAACCGCUUCACAAAUUCCCUCAAGGAUUCGUUAUCUUGCAUUUUUAUGUUCUGCAGGGUGCUGAUAUUUUGCUUGUGUCGAGUGGAACACAAGUAUUGUCCCACGAAAGCUUCGGACAAGUCCUUGAAAUUGCCAACAGAGUUGGAAGGUAAGCGAUGAAACCAUGAGAGGGUCUGCCCUUGUAGGCUGGCGGGGAACACUUUGCACAGUAGCGCAUCGUUGCCAAUAUCGAGCGUCAUAAGCUGCCGAUAAAGCAUAAUGUGGUCGAAGGAAUCACUGGUCCCAUAGUAUGUGGAAAAUUUUGGUACGAGGAAUCCCCUUGGGGGCUCGUAAUGAAUGAUAUGAGAGCAGAAGGGCGUGGAGAGCAUGUCAUCCAGCCUUCUGCUGAUGGAGCCAAUGGGUGGCUCGUUUGGGAGGUUUCCCCCAGCUUGCUGUACCGCUGGGUGCGAAUGAACGUUCCGCGUCACGGGGGUGACCAUGGGGUCACGAUGCGGGUGAACGUUCUGCACCAUGGGGGUGACCAUGGGUUAGGGCGUGGUGCCCAGGUUGUGGCUCCUGGUGGCCUUGGUCUUCCAGGCUCUUGUGGGCCUAGUCUUGCGCGCAUUGAAUUUGACAACUGAGAUCUUCUAUCACGUUGUCUUUUUGCUGAAAAAUGAGUAGAGUCUGAGCUUUCCUCACGGGGAGCUCGGGGCAUAGGCGUGUGUGGCUCAUGAGGCCUCACGUUGCAUGCUCCUGGGAUAGCUCCUGUUGUCCCAGGAUAUAUUGAUUCUGGUUCUUGUUGAGGCCUUGAGUUUGCUACUUGGCUUCUUGAACGCUGACGUCGAGGAGGCCCUGAUGUUGAAGCUUGGAUGCGUAAUACAACGUUUUCUUCUCUCAAUCUUUCUGUUUCCUGGAGGAGAGCUUUCAGUUGUCGUUCGCUUGCCAACUGUCUUCUUUCGAUGGUUUGACGCCAUUCAAAAUUAUCAUCCUCUCCCCUACCAGAUGAACGGCUUCGGGAUGGUGUGGCCAUCUUUGCUAGUGACUGACUCAAAAUGAAAAGGUUCCCACAGACGACGCCAAUGUUGAUACCUCGCGUCCCUAACGAUCCACGUAGUUGCCAAAUGGAUGGAUGCGCGACCUCAACAAAAAUAGGUUCUUGAUUCAGUCGUUAUACCUGCAAAAAAGGUAUCCGGACAGGGUGUCCAGACGCACCCUCCGAUGGUUUUGUUAGCCAUGGUUUGGGAGAGAGAUAAAUCAGUUGGCUUUUUACUAGGUAUAGCAAGCUUACCUUCCUCUUUGUGUGAAGGUUGAUAUAUAUAGUAUCAGAAGCUUUGAUUCCCUCUUUAAUGGCAAGGAGAUAUUUUGUGUUGUUAUGAUGACAUUAGGAGGUGGCAGGGCUAUCAUCACCCUACGGGUGGCUGACAGAGAUCGUGGUAGGUGAUGCGGCUGUCAGAGAUCGUGGGAAGUGACCAUGUGGAAUGAUCGUAGGAAGUGACUUGUUGUCACUUCAUCUUGUCCUCUCACCCUGCAGGCGGCGGAACGUGGGCCAUGACAGGCUAUUGUGGUAACGUGUGAGACUUGCUUACUUCAGUCAAUGAUCCGGACCAUUGUAUCCGGAUGGCAUAUGUUGAUCAUCCGGAUAUAUUGUGUAAGCCGUUCAGAUGAUAUGUUUAUAAAUGUCGUUUGAUCUUCCUUGAGGUAGUCCGGAAAAGCGUGCCAUGUGUGCUUUAUAGGAAGAUCCGGAUGAGGGUGACUCGGAUGACAAUGCGUGCCAUGUGUCACUAUAAGAUGCGUGCCACGUGUUCUCGGAGGGAGGGGUCCCUACAAUGAUGACUUCCUUACUAUACUACUACAAGACCAGAUUGAAGUCCUCCAAGUUCUUCAUCAGCAUCAGGGGGUUUAUGUUGGUGAUCGUCUACAAGUAAACAUUUCUGUAUUAUGAGGCAGCUUUAAUCUAUGAAAAUAAUGCAUUCUUCAUAUUCGUUGCAUUGCAUUUCUGAUACUUGUAGAAAUGCUUACACUAGUGCAAACCAAAGUGAGAUACAGAUUAUGUACUCAUUAAUCAGUGACUAAAAAUAACUUUGUUUAUUGUUGUUCUCUUCAGUCUAUAACCAACGACAGGUUUAAGAGUACAGAACACAGAGUAUUGGCAAACCGACGGGGUUGAAGAGUCUCAGUAUUUGGGUAAAUAAAAAUUUAUCAGGAAAAUUGUCAUCUAUUUGCCAUAAAUAAAAAUUAUUUGGGAAAAAAAUUAUUUGUCAUAAAUAAAAAUUUAUGACAUGAUUUUCUAAUAACCAUUUACAUUAACUCAUAUUGUGAUUGAAUUUAUUUUUUUAUUAUGAACACAAGAUUCAUACUAAAAUAUUAUGAAAAUGUAUUAGCCUCAAAUGUAUUUUGUGGCUGAACAUAUUCCUUUGCCACAAAUAAAAAUUUCAUCCCUACAAGAACUUUUUUACCACUAAAAGAAAAUUCAUUGCAAAAAUCUUUUGUUUUUGUUUUUGUUUUUAUCUUUUGCCAUUAAAUACUGUUCAUAUAUAAAAAAAAAAGGAUUGUAGCAACAAGAGCUCUACUACAAUAAAUUCAUUUAGUUACAUGAAACAGUGAUCUACUUGCCUGAAAUUGUAUGUUGGCCAGUGCCGCCUCCUUCAUCUGAAAUCUAUGUUUAAAGACCCACCUUUAACUUAUUGAAAAACAUUUGAAUCUAUGCGGCUUUUCUAUCGUCAAGUCGGGGCCGAAUGUAAUCAAGCAAAGGGUAUUAUUGUUCAUGAUGGGUGUGUCCCUUACUCUUCAUUGUUGAUUUCUUCCACAGCUAUUACCCUACCUUGUUUUCUUUUGUUCAUGAGUCAAAUGUAUAAAUCUUAUAGCAGAGAUCGAGUUUCAGAUCACUGAUUCAAUGCUCUUUUGGAUUGAUCAAAAACUUGAGAUGAAUAAGCAGAAAUUUAUUAACAUGGUCCAGAUUGGCUCAAUUCUCUAGGAUUGUUUGCAAGAUUGUAGGAGAUGGGGAUGUGAUAGACGAGAAUCUUAUUUUUGGUGAGCCAUCAUGUUUGAGCAUAAUUUCCUUUAUGUUUUUAAGUACUAAAGGUAAUAAUGAUAUUUCAAGUUUGGAAAUACAUACAUCCACUUCUAGCUUAUAUAAACAUUAUUUUGUAAUUGAAACUUUUCAAUUAUUAUGUUGAAGUCAUAUAAAAUUAAUUAAUUGAAUGUUAAUAAAUUUAAUACAAAUUAAUAAAAUUAAAUAGAAUUAACAGAAAGGUAUCACCUGAAUACUCUUCUAUUUCUAUAAUUUUUCAAAACAAAAAAUAUAAAUGAUUUUUCAAUUAUAUUUUUAUUUUUUGUAAACAUAAAAUAUAUUUGGUGGUUAAAAUUUUUGUUUUAUUUUAAAAAGGAAAAAGUAAAAUAUGUUUGAUAAUUAAAUAAAAAGGGAAAUUAAUAUAAAUUUCUUUUAUUUUCUAUUUUUUGGAUGAAAAUUUUUAUUCCUAUAGGUGGAACUCAUACGUUGUUAGUUUAGUAUAUAAGAAUAUAAAACGAGGGUGAGUUGGGUGAUAAUUUUGUAUUUUAAUUUUUUUAAAUUUAGAAAAAAAAUGUUAUAUCUUUCUUUUAAAAUUUUGUUAUCAAAUUUAAAAAUUAAAAAGUAAAAAAUAGAUUAUCAAAUAUGAUUUGUAAAAUUAUUUUUAAAUAUUUAUUAUUUUUUAAAAAAAAUUAAGAAACAAAUUGUGUAAAGAUGUUUUAAUCAAUGUUUUUAAAACCAAUCAUUGAAUUGAAAAUUUUAACGAUUUACUUUUCAUUGGUCAAAUUUAUAGUGAAAUCACAAUCAAACUAGUGAUGUCAUAAAUAUUUAGUUUAUAUAUUACGAAAACUAAAAAUAUUUAUAAAAAUCUUAAAAUAUAUAAAUAAAUUUAAAAUCAAUAAUAUUUAUUUUUUAUCUUUGAUAUAUCAAAUUUAAUCAUACAUAAAUGUAAAUGUAUUAAUAUUUUAAAUUUUAUUAAAUAAAAUAUGUCUAAUAUUUAAAUAUGAAUAUAUUAAAAAUGGCAGAAAAUUCAAUUAUUUAAUUUUAACUAUAUAUUAAAAGCUAUAUAUAUUCUAUUUUUUAAAAUUUUUAAAAUAUUAAAUGUUUUCUUAUAUUAUUUAAAAUAUUAAUAUUACAAUUUUUUUAUUGUAAAAAAUAUAUUUUACUUUUGGUUGCAACCCUGAGAAAUAAAACACAAAGCAGUUGGGUGAUCCCUACGCCAUGCCUUGAGCUUGAAGUUCAAGUCACCUAGGUGUAUUUUGUUGGGUUUUUUCUCAUGUGGAAAACCCAAAUUAAGAGCCCAAAAUUUUAAGGCCUCUUAGGCCUUUGUAUAAAAGGGCUAGAAAAAGAAUCCUUUUUUUACUUCUUCUUCCAAUUUUUUGCAGCCACUGGAGGUAGGAGAAAAAAGAGAGAAAGGGGAGAACCACCAUUUUUGAAGUUAGAGAGAAAAAUUCAGUUUUUUCUUCACUGCCCAGAUUUCAUCAAAGGUUCGAUCCCACUUCGUUUGUGGGCCAAAUGAUCUAAAAUUUGGAGGAGAGGUUCGUGACUCAUUGAUCUUCAUUCUGAACGGUGAAGAUCGGAUUUGGAGAUCCGGAUGGUCGUCUUUCAGUCCGAGAAUAGAGCCUCCGUUUUGAUGAGUUUUCUAUCCGGACAGUUUUGAUCAUGAACUCCGAUCAAGGUUAAUCCGUGGUUCGAUUGAGCCAAUUUUUGGAGAGCACAUUCAGAACUCAUUGAUAUUCAUUCUAAACAGUGGAGAUUGGAUUUGGAGUUCUGAAAAGUUAUAUUUUAGUCCGAGAAUAGUGGUGUGUUUGGUGAGAUCUCUCCAUUGCUUUUAUGCAAAUUUGUUGAAAUUGCCAAGAUCAAUAUGUCUUGAGACAUGGUUGAUGUAUGCCUCUAGUUUUAUCUGGAGAGAAUUGUAUAACCCAUUAAUUAUAUUAGUGGAGUUUUUAAGUGGCCUAAGGCCUAAGGGUACCGUGGUUUUUACUUCUCAUAUUAAAGAAGGUUUUCCAUGCUAAAAUUAUUAGUGUUCAUAUACUUGUAGAUUGGGUGUCUUCUUGCUACUCUAUUUGAUUGAUUCCUAUUAGGUUCUCAUAAGAGGGGAUAAAACCUAGUUGUGCAUUAUUUGUAUUUAUCCCAUCAAAGUGGUAUCAGAGCAUUGGUUCAAGAUAAUCUGUGCCUUGUGUAGAACAAUGGAAAGCAAUACAAGUAGAAUGAUUACUUUGAAUGGCUCCAAUUAUCAUGUUUGGAAAGGAAAAAUGGAAGACUUAUUAUAUGUGAAGGAUUAUUAUUUGCCUGUGUUUGCUUCUGAAAAGCCAGAAAAUAAAACUGAUGCAGAAUGGAAUUUACUUGAUUAGCAGGUUUGUGGUUAUAUCAGACAGUGGGUAGAUGAUAAUGUUCUCAAUCAUGUUAGUGAAGAGAAAAAUGCACAAAGUCUAUGGAAUAAGCUCGAACAAUUAUAUGCUCAAAAGAUUGGUAAUAAUAAAUUGUUUUUGAUCAAGAAGAUGAUUAACUUGAAGUAUCAAGAUGGAACUCCUAUGACAGAUCACUUGAAUACAUUCCAAGGUAUUAUUCUGGAAUGAAUAUCAAGUUUGAGGAAGAGGUGCAAGGGUUGUGGCUUCUUGGUACAUUGUUGGACUCAUGGGAGACGUUUAGAACUUCUUUGUAUGGAUUUGGUUAAGAGUUAUGUUCUGAAUGAAGAGAUGAGAAGAAAGUCAUAGGGUUCUUCUUCACAGUCAGAUAUCCUAGUUACUGAAAAGAGGGGGGGAGUAAGAGUAGAGGUCCAAAGAACAGAGACAGAAGCAAAAGCAAGACUAACAAGUUUGCCAAUGUUGAGUGUCAUUAUUGCCAUUUGAAAGGGCAUAUAAGGAAGUAUUGUUGCCAAUUGAAGAGAGAUAUGAAACAAUGGAAAGUGAAAGACAAAAAGAAUGAAAUGAUGGUGAAGAUGAUUGAGUUGCCACUACCACUUCAGAUUUCCUUAUUGUUUAUGAUAGUGAUGUUGUUAAUUUUGCUUACCAGGAGACCAGUUGGGUGAUUGAUAGCGGUGCCUCAAUUCAUGUCACACCUUAGAAAGAUUUCUUUACAUCCUACACAUCUGGUGACUUUGGAAGUGUUAAAAUGGGUAAUGAUGGCUCAGCUAAAGCCAUUGGUAUAAGAUAUGUGCGUUUGGAGACCAGUAAUGGUAUUAUGUUGAUUUUGAAGAAUGUCAAACACAUUCUAGAUAUCCGCAUGAAUUUAAUCUCCACAGGUAAGCUUGAUGAUGAGGGGUUUUGCAACACCUUUCGUGAUAGUCAAUGGAAGCUCACCAAAGGUUCUAUGGUGGUAGCAAAAGGAAAGAAGUGUUACUCGUUGUAUUUGAUGCAGGCAAGGGUAAUUGAUUCCAGUAUCAAUGUAGUGGAUGAUGAUAGCACAGUUGAGCUUUGGCACAACAGACUUGAUCACAUGAGUGAGAAAGGCUUGAUGAUUUUGGCUAAGAAGAAUCUUCUUUCUAGUAUGAAGAAGGGAUUUUUGAAAAGGUGUGCUCAUUGUUUAGCAGGAAAGCAGACCAGAGUUGCAUUCAAAACACACCGCCAUACAAGGAAGCCAGGUAUGCUUGAUUUAGUGUAUUAUGAUGUGUGUGGUCCUAUGAAAACAAAAACACUUGGUGGAUCUCUAUAUUUUGUGACUUUUAUAUAUGAUCAUUCAAGAAAGAUUUGGGUGUAUACCUUGAAAACAAAAGACCAAGUGUUAGAAGUGUUUAAGCAAUUUCAUGCUUUUUUUUAGAGACAAUCUGGUGAAAAAUUGAAAUGCAUCCGGACUAAUAAUGGGGGUGAGUAUUAUGGUCCUUUUGAUGAGUAUUGUAGACAACAUGGUAUUCGACAUCAAAAGACACCUCCUAAGACUCCUCAGUUGAAUGAGUUGGCUGAGAGAAUGAAUAAGACACUGGUUGAAAGGGUGAGAUGUUUACUUUCACAGUCACAGUUGCCAAGAUCCUUUUGAGGUGAGGCUUUGAAUACUGUUGUACAUGUUCUCAAUCUUACACCAUGUGUUCCUUUAGAAUUUGAUGUUUUGGAUAGAAUUUGGUCAAAUAAUGAAAUAUUUUAUGAUCACUUGCGUGUCUUUGGAUACAAAGCUUUUGUGCACAUUCUGAAAGAUGAGAGGUUUAAGCUUGAUGCUAAGACAAGACUUUGUGUAUUCAUUGGUUAUGGUCAGAAUGAGCUUGGUUAUAGGUUUUAUGAUCCGGUGCAGAAAAAGCUUGUAAGAAGCCGAGAUGCUAUGUUUAUGGAAGAUCAUACCAUACAGGACAUUGAGAAGACUGAUGUAAUAGAGUUUUAGUAUAGUGAUAAUCUGAUUGACUUUGAUCCAGUUCCUUUGACACAUCUUCCUACACAAGUUGAAGAUGAAGCACAUAAUGACCAACCUGACAUUGGUGAUGUUGAAACCCCCAUACAAGUUGAGAUGGAUGAUUAUGUUCAUAAGCAGUCACCAGUAGUAGAGGCUCCACUAGAUAUUCCACUCAAGAGGUCUACCAGAGACUGACUGACAUCCUUCCACACGAUAUUCUGUUGAUGAUUAUGUAUUACUAACUGACGGGGGAGAACCUGAAAGUUAUGAGGAAGCCAUGGGAGAUGAGAAUAAGAUAAAGUGGGUUGAUGCUAUGCAAGAUGAGAUGAAGUCAUUGCAUGAGAAUAUUUCUUAUGAGUUUAUCAAGUUGCCAAAUGAAAAAAGAGCUUUGAAGAACAAGUGGGUCUACAGAGUGAAGCAAGAAGAACACGCUUCACAGCCAUGUUACAAAGCUAAAUUGGUUGUCAAAGGGUUCAUUCAAAAUAAAGGUAUUGAUUUUGAUGAGAUUUUUUCUCCUGUUGUUAAGAUGUCGUUUAUUCGUGUAGUUUUGGGCUUGGCAGCUAGUCUUGAUUUGGAGAUUGAGCAGAUGGAUGUUAAGACUACAUUUCUCCAUGGUGAUUUAGACAAAGAAAUUUAUAUGGAACAGCUAGAGGGUUUCAUAAUAAAAGGAAAAGAGGAUUAUGCGUGUAAGUUGAAGAAAAGUCUUUAUGGCUUAAAGCAGGCACCGAGGCAGUGGUAUAAGAAGUUUGAAUCAGUUAUGGGGGAGCAAGGCUACAAAAAAACUACUUCUAACCAUUGUGUAUUUGUGCAUAAAUUCUCUGAUGAUGAUUUUGUUAUAUUGUUGCUCUAUGUUGAUGAUAUCUUGAUUGUUGGCAGAAAUGUUUCAAGAAUUGAUAAGCUGAAGAAGCAAUUAAGCAAAUCCUUUUCCAUGAAGGAUUUAGGGCCAGUAAAGAAAAUUCUUGGUAUUAGAAUUGAGCGAGAUAGAGCAUCCAAGAAGCUGUAUAUGUCACAGGAGCAAUAUAUUGAAAAGGUGCUUGAAAGAUUUAACAUGAGCAAAGCUAAAGUGGUUAAUUCUCCUCUAGCUAGUCACUUUAAGCUAAGCAGAAGACAUAGCCCUUCUAUAGAUAAGGAGAAGGAAGACAUGAGAAGAGUUCCAUAUGCCUCAGCAGUAGGAAGUUUGAUGAAUCCCAUGGUAUGUACUAGACCAGACAUAGCUUAUGUAAUUGGUGUUGUUAGUCGCUUUCUAUCUAAUCCAGGAAGACUACAUUGGGAGGCAGUCAAGUGGAUUAUGAGAUAUUUGCAAGGCACUUCCAAGUUGAAACUCACUUUUGAAAGUGGGAAACCAGUACUUGUUAGCUACACUGAUUCAAAUAUGGCAGGGGAUGUAGAUAAUAGAAGGCCUACUUUAGGUUAUUUGAUGACAUUCUCAGGAGGUGCUGUGUUUUGGCAAUCAAGACUACAAAAAAGUGUUGCACUUUCUACAACAGAGGCAGAGUACAUUGCAGCAGCAGAAGCAUGUAAAGAGUUGUUGUGGAUGAAGCGUUUCAUACAUGAGCUCGGGUUUAAGCAGCAGCGCUAUGUGGUAUACUGUGAUAACCAGAGCGUCAUUCACCUUAGUAAGAAUUCUAUUUUUCAUGCAAGAUCGAAGCACAUUGAUGUGAGGUAUCAUUGGAUGAGAGAUGCUCUUAAUGAUAAUUUGUUUGAACUUGAGAAGAUACAUAUCGAUCACAAUGGCUCAGAUAUGUUAACGAAGUCCUUACCAAAGGAGAAGCUUGAAGUUUGUUGUUCAAUUGCCGAGAUGGCGAGUCCCUCCAAAUAAUCGAAAAGAGAGAGAUUUAUUAGGUUUUUCCUCAUAUGGAAGGCCCAAAUUAAGAGCCCAAAUUUUAAGGCCUCUUAAGCCUUUAUAUAAAAGGGCUAGAAAAAGAAUCCUUUUUUUACUUGUUCUUCUUCUUCCAAUUUUUUGCAGCCACCGGAGGUAGGCGAAAAGAGAGAGAAAGGGGAGAACCACCAUUUUUGAAGUUAGAGAGAAAAAUUCAAUUUUUUCUUCACUGCCCAGAUUUCAUCAAAGGUCUAAUCCCACUUUGUCUGUGGGCCGAUCGAUCUGAAAUUUGGAAGAGAGGUUCGUGACUUAUUGAUAUUCAUUCUAAACGGUGAAGAUCGGAUUUGGAGAUCCGGACGGUCGUCUUUCAGUCCAAGAACAGAGCCUCCAUUUUGAUGUGUUUUCUAUUCGGACAGUUUUGAUCAUUAACUCCAAUAAAGGUUAAUCCGUGGUUCGAUUGAACUGAUUUUUGGAGAGCACGUUCAGAACUCAUUGAUAUUCAUUCUGAACAGUGGAGAUUGGAUUUGGAGUUCUAAAAAGUUAUAUUUUAGUCCAAGAACAGUGGUGUGUUUGGUGAGAUCUCUUCAUUGCUUUUAUGCAAAGUUGUUGAAAUUGCCAAGAUCAAUUUGUCUUGAGACAUGGUUGAUGUAUGCCUCUAGUUUCAUCUAGAGAGAAUUUUGUAACUCAUUAAUUAUAUUAGUGGAGCUUUUAAGUGGCUUAAGGGUCUCGUGGUUUUUACUUCUCAUAUUGGAGAAGGUUUUCCAUGCUAAAAUUAUUAGUGUUCAUAUACUUGUUGAUUGAGUGUCUUCUUGCUACUCUAUUUGAUUGAUUCUUAUUAGAUUCUCAUAAGAGGGGAUAAAACUUGGUUGUGCAUUAUUUGUAUUUAUCUCAUCAUAUUUUUUGUAAACUCAAUAUCAUCCAUCCCACAACACGCAGAAGGGAAUAAAGAAGGGUUUUAAAUCCUUAAACAAUGUUGUAGUGGCAUUUGAACCAAAGUUGGAUCUCAACAAGUCACCUAUUGAGUUGGGCCAAAUCUUUUUUGCUUAAAAAAAAUUAAGGUUAUGUUUGGUCCCGAAAAGUACUAAGGAAAGAAAAAAAAAAUGUUAAGAAAAAUAAUUUUAUCAUGUUUGGUGUUUUAUAGAAAAUAAUAUAUAAAUAUGAUUAAUUAAAAAUUUAUAUAUUUUUAAAUUAUUUAAUCUUUACAUUGAAAAGUGAAAAUAAGUAAAAAUGAGUUUGAAGUAGCAUGUAAAAAUAAUUUAUUAAUUUUAAAUCCAUUUUUUAUUUUCCCUUAUUUUUUCUUUCCUUCCAUUUUUCCUUUUUAUUUUCUUUUCCUCACAUUUUCCCUUACAUUUUUCGAGAACCAACACAUAGCGUAAAGGAAAAACGACCACCAACCCAUAACUGGUUCAUCGGUUCAGUAUGUACUCCAGGAACCGAUUCAAUAUAUACUCUAGUCGAGGGUCUGAUCAAUCAAAUAGUCCAAUCUAGUUUUAAAACAUUGGUCUAAAUAAUAUUAACUAUAAGAGAAUUUCAUCUAGUUAUGCUAAUUAUAAGAGAGAAUUCAUAAUUUUUUACUAACAAAUCUCUAAGUGUAAUAUAUUUUUAUUUAAAAGAUUAAAAUUAGGAUGAGAUAUAUUUUUCAUUUCAAUUUUUUAUUUUUUAUUUCUUCAAUAAAUAAAGUAUUAACAUGACAAAAUUUCUUGAUAAGAAGUUUGCCUUUAGUGUUGGAUUUGGUGCACGUUUCAAUAAAAUAAGCAAUAUGCAACUUGGGAUUAUCUUUGCCAUCAAACUGUAGAAACUUGACAGAUUGAUACCCCAUAAACAAUCUUAAGUUGCCAAUUCUCCUAUUAUAAGGCUUUGAGUAUAUUAGUUUAUAGUAUGAUGAACCUUCAUGUUAUGCUUUAACAGCAUUUACAUUCAUGUCCUCGAGUUGUUCAACAGAGACAUGUAGACCUUGAUAAUGCACAUAUGCAUUCUUUCAAAUUUUAUUUUUUGUUUCUAAUUUUUAAUUUUCAUUUUAUAAAUAUUUCAAAUAUUUUAAACUUCUAGUCUUUUAAAAUUCUAUUUUUUUUUAAUUUUAAAAUUUUAGUACUUGUUUGAAUGUACUUUUUAUUUUUUAUUUUUAAAAAUAAAAAUAAGUAAUAACUUCUAUAUAACAUAUGGUAACUCUCAUAUAAAAAAUAUGCACUUAUUCAAUCUCCUUAAAAAUUACUUUAAAUUUUUUUAUAAAAAAAAUUGAGAUAAGUUAAUUUUUUUAAUACUUUAAUUUUUAAAUAAUUUUUAUAAAUUACUAUUUUUUAAAAAUAAAUCUUGAAGAGUUGUUGUAUUUUUUAUUGGAACUAUUAUCAUUCUCUGUUUUAUAACAGAAAACAAGGUGUGGAUCCAAAUGAUAUCUUAGUUUUAAUAUUUUAGGUGACAACUUUUUCCUUGUAAUUUUUAAUUCUCGAUUAAUCAUAAUAACAAUAAAAAUAAAACGAGAAAAAUACAGCAUUUAAUGUGGGAGGCGCUCAACAUUUGGCAUGCAUGGUACCUUUGAGUCUUGACAGUUCCUGAGAGAUCAAGUGAUUAGCCAUUAGUUUUUCUUUUUUGGUAUUAAUUUUUUUUAUUAAAAUUAUAAUUGAUGAAUAUAAUUUUAACCAUCAACUAUGAUUUUGAUAUAGAAAAUGGUUAGUAAUAAUAAUAUAUGAUCACUGUUGUAAUAACAAUGAAUUACUUUGAUAAAUAUUUUUACAAAAAAGUUAAAUUUUAAAAUAUUUAAAAAAAAAUUAAAAAGAUUAUUUUUAUAGCAUAUUCAUGUUCUGAUGGAUAGAUCGAGAAUCUUAUACAUCUGCAAAAUUAUCUUAUAUAUUUGCAAUAUCCAUUUUCUUUUCUACAUUCAAACUAUUCAUAAAAACUUGAGUUUUUAAUAAAAGUAAUCUUUUUAAAAAAUAUUCUAAAUUUAGAUUUUUUUUAAAAAAUAUAUUAACUAAUUUUUCUGGCAUUAUUAAUCUUAUAUCAUCUUUUAAUUUAUAUAUUAAAACCACAUUCAUCAUAAGUAAUUAAAAUUAUAGUAAAAAUUAGAAGCAUAAUUGGCGAAAAUGUGACUAUGGUUUUAACACGACAAUAUAAAAUAAAUAAAUAAAUAAGAGAUAGAUCUAGGUUUAGAAAUUUUUUUGUGAGACCUUACUUUUGUAGCAAUCGCUAAAAACUUUGCCCAUUUGAUUCGAAGCUUUUUGAAUCUCUCCACCCACGUGGCCAACAGUCUCCAGCCAUUUUUUUAAUGCCACAAAAGGCAAAACCACCUGACACCAUUUACUUGAAAAGUUUUAAAUGAUCUUUAGAAGAAAAGGAAAUUAAAUUAACCAUUCAACUCAUUCUUGGUUUAUAGAUUGUAGAGUAGAAUUUUUAAGGCCAUACAACUCAUUCUUGGUUUAUAGUUUGUAGAGUAGAAUUUUUAAGGCAAAUUAAAUUAAUGGUAUGACUUAUUAUUGUUUUAUGGUGUGUGGAGUGGAAUCUUGAAGGAAAAUUAAAUUAAUGAUGCAACUCAUUUUUGGUUUAUAGAAAUACAUUUUUACAAGUGAUUGAGUUAAUAUCAUCUCCAUUGAACCAUCAUGUGUAACAAAUUGAUGUUCUUCUUUAUAGUUCCCUAUAGGAUAGUUCACAUAUUUCCCUCAAAUAUGGAUAUUAUUGACUUUUCUUUUAAAAAAUAUUAACAUAUUUGUUUUCAUUAAUUAAACUUUUGGUCAGUUUGAUAAUGAUUUUAGUAAGUGUUUUUAGUUUAAAAAAUAUUUUUGAAAAAAAAAAGUUAGGUAUUUGACGAAUUUUAUAAAAUAUUUUAAAAAUCUUAAAAUUAUUUGUAAUAUUUUUUUCAAGAAACGCUCGUCAAGAGAUUUUCUUAAAAAUACUUGUCCUAUUGAGUUCCAAUCAUAACUAUUAUAAUAAAUAUUUUUAUGAUAAUUAUAUAAACAUUUUAAGAAUUGAGACAAGAAAUUAUAGGAUGUCGCAAAUCUUUAUACACAUUCAUAAUAUUUAUAAGAUCUAUCAAUAAAACUUAUUAUAAUAAAAUUUUAAUAGGCAAAGCUCUCCACUCCCAUAAUCAACCAACAUAACUAAAUUAAAUCUAUUAAUAACAAAUUUACUUUACUUAUAUCGAUUGAUAUCAAUGAAUUACUUUUACCCAAGUAAAAAAAGUUAAAUAUUUUAUUUUUUUUUAUUAAGUCAAAAAACCAAACACUACCUCAGUGAAAUCAAGGUUUAACCGGAUAAAUCUAUCUUACAUUCAUUGUAGUAAAUUCUAAUAACUAAUAUUAAUAAAGAAUAGAGAUUAGGCCACUUUGGCAUUAUAUUAAUUUUCGGUCAUUUUUGUAUUAAUGAAAUGUAGAUGGGCCCUGCUCCCUCUUUCUCGAUUAAUGCAAUACGCAUGGGACGGCCUUGGAAUCAUAUUUUCGAUUAAUGCAAUUCACAUGGGGCUUCGCUCUGAAGACUGAAUUAUAUUAAUUUUCAACUAUUUUUCUACUGGUGCAAUUCACUUGGGCCUUCUCCUUCUCGCUCUCUGAAUUAUGUUAAUUUUCAGGCAUUUUCUAUUAGUGCAAUGCAUAUGGGCUUGUCUCUCUACAAACUUAUUUUACACGGUUACAGUAAAUUCUAAUAACUAGUAUAUGUUAGUAUUAUAUAGGGUUUUGUUGCUAGAUAUUAAGGCGUGUGACUCUGAGUCUAGACUGAGUUGUGGGAGUGAGAUGCAGGUGAAUAAUGGCAGACAAUGGAAUCGGUUGUUGAGAUUUGACUCUUGGAAAAGGCAGCCCCACCCUCAUAUUAUAAGCCAUGGAGACCUGUUUUCCACUUACUUCUGUUUUUAUAUACAGACAGUAUGGUUUCCACUACUUUUCACAACAAUUAUAAUAAUCCAUGCUCCAUGCCAGGAAUCCAAGGCUGAAAAAUAUUUGUUUUUGUUAAAAAUGCCUAAAUACACUCAAAUCAUUCAUCAAUUUUGGUGGUGUAUUCUCAUUUCUCUCUGCUUGGAACCCUGCUGCUGCUGCUGCUGCUCUCUCUCAAAAGUCAUCUACUACUCUAAUCUCCUUUCAGUCUUCACAUUCAGCCUUACAUCAGGGAUCUGCUGCAUUUUUUUUAUUUUUUUGGCUUCCAAAACACCAUCUUUCCUUGUUCUCUUUUUGUCGCACUGAAUCAACUUACAAGCAAUCCUUGAGCUUUCUCCAUCUCUUCACUCUCUACACCUUUCCCUUUUUAUCAUCCAUUCCUAACUUCACUCAUUUCCAAUUUCCCCACUGUUUUUUCCCUUUUCCUAUUCACCAUCCCUCUGCUUGGAACAAAUACUCUUCUCCUUCCAUUUCUUGCGCUCUCUUCUUUUAGUUUGUUCUUUAUUGCUGCUUUCAUUUGUUUCUGCCUUUUCUCGCUUCCCAUUUGUUUUCCAAAAAAAAAAAAAACGAAAAAAAAAAAAAAAAACCGAACUGAAACGAAAUGGCAGAGAGCGUUAUUACCAUCGCUACUACCAUUGCUGAAAAAAUUGCAGGCUACUUGGUUGCUCCAAUUGGACGCCGGCUUAGUUAUCUGUUUUGCUACCGCAGCCACAUGGAUGAUCUCAACAAGAAGGUUCAAGAGUUGGGGAGUGUGAGGGGCGACCUUCAGAUUACUGUUGAUGAAGCUAUUAGAAGAGGGGAUGAAAUCAGACCUAUUGUUGAAGACUGGUUGACUCGGGAGGACAAGAAUACAGGGGAGGCAAAGACAUUCAUGGAAGAUGAAAAGAAAAGAACCAAGAGCUGUUUCUAUGGGUGGUGUCCUAAUCUCAAGUCACGUUACCAGCUAGGCAGAGAAGCAGACAAGAAGGCGCAGGUUAUUGUUGAAAUCCAACAACAAUGCAAUUUCCCAUAUGGCGUAUCAUAUCGUGUCCCUCUACGGAAUGUAACCUUUAAAAAUUAUGAACCUUUUAAGUCAAGAGCCUCGACUGUGAAUCAAGUUAUGGAUGCAUUAAGAGAUGAUGAGAUCGACAAGAUUGGGGUAUGGGGCAUGGGCGGUGUGGGCAAAACCACGCUGGUCAAACAAGUGGCUCAACUAGCUGAAGAUGAGAAGCUGUUCACCGCAGGAGUCUACAUAGAUGUAUCCUGGACUCGAGAUUCGGAAAAACUUCAAGAAGGAAUUGCUAAAAUUCAACAAAAAAUUGCAGACAUGUUGGGCUUGGAAUUUAAGGGGAAGGAUGAAUCCACGAGAGCAGUUGAACUGAAGCAGAGACUGCAGAAAGAGAAGAUCCUUAUCAUCUUAGAUGACAUUUGGAAGUUAGUUUGUUUGGAGGAAGUUGGCAUUCCUUCUAAAGAUGACCAGAAAGGAUGCAAAAUAGUGUUGGCUUCUAGAAAUGAGGACCUAUUACGCAAAGACAUGGGCGCAAGGGAAUGUUUUCCACUUCAACAUCUACCAAAAGAAGAAGCUUGGCAUUUAUUUAAGAAGACAGCAGGUGAUUCUGUGGAGGGGGAUAAACUGCGACCCAUAGCAAUUGAGGUAGUUAACGAAUGUGAGGGUCUACCAAUUGCAAUUGUAACAAUUGCAAAUGCAUUAAAAGAUGAAAGUGUGGCUGUAUGGGAGAAUGCUUUGGAAGAACUGAGGAGUGCUGCGCCAACAAACAUCAGCGGAGUGGAUGACAGGGUAUACGGAUGUCUGAAGUGGAGCUACAACCAUUUGAAAGGUGAUGAAGUCAAGUCAUUGUUCUUACUUUGUGGUUGGUUGAGUUAUGGCGAUAUUUCAAUGCAUCAAUUGUUGCAGUAUGCUAUGGGUUUGGAUUUGUUUGACCACCUCAAGUCAUUGGAGCAAGCAAUAAAUAAACUAGUUACAUUGGUGAGAAUCCUCAAAGCCUCAAGCUUGUUACUUGACGGUGAAGAUCAUGGAGACGAUUUUGAAGAAGAAGCCUCAAUGUUGCUUUUCAUGGAUGCUGAUAACAAGUAUGUCAGGAUGCAUGAUGUUGUUCGUGAUGUUGCCAGAAAUAUUGCAUCCAAGGAUCCUCAUCGAUUUGUAGUCAGAGAAGAUGUUGAAGAAUGGUCAGAGACUGAUGGAUCCAAAUACAUCUCUUUAAAUUGCAAAGAUGUGCAUGAGCUUCCUCACAGGUUGGUAUGUCCGAAACUUCAAUUUUUUCUAUUGCAGAAGGGUCCUUCCUUGAAAAUCCCACACACAUUUUUUGAAGGGAUGAACCUACUCAAAGUCUUAGACUUGUCUGAAAUGCAUUUCACAACACUACCUUCAACGCUUCAUUCCCUUCCAAAUCUUCGAACAUUAAGUCUAGACAGGUGCAAGUUGGGAGACAUAGCUCUAAUUGGAGAGCUAAAGAAACUACAAGUUCUUAGCUUGGUGGGUUCCGAUAUUCAACAAUUGCCUAGUGAAAUGGGGCAGUUGACGAAUCUAAGGUUGUUGGAUUUGAAUGAUUGUGAGAAGCUUGAAGUAAUUCCACGAAAUAUCUUAUCAAGUCUGUCUCGAUUAGAAUGUUUGUGCAUGAAAUCUAGCUUUACUCAAUGGGCAGCUGAAGGAGUUAGUGAUGGAGAAAGCAAUGCUUGUUUAUCGGAGCUGAAUAAUUUGCGUCAUUUGACAACUAUAGAGAUGCAAGUACCAGCUGUCAAGUUGCUACCAAAAGAAGACAUGUUCUUUGAGAACUUGACAAGAUAUGCGAUAUUUGUAGGCGAAAUUCAGCCGUGGGAAACAAAUUAUAAAACAUCAAAAACAUUAAGGCUCAGACAGGUUGAUAGAAGCUCACUUUUAAGGGAUGGAAUUGACAAGUUGUUGAAGAAAACUGAAGAACUAAGUUAGAGUAAAUUGGAAGAAGUAUGUCGUGGCCCAAUUCCCCUAAGGUCUUUGGAUAACCUUAAAACUUUAGAUGUGGAUAAAUGUCAUGGAUUGAAAUUUCUCUUUUUACUUUCCACAACCAGAGGCCUUUCCCAAUUAGAAGAAAUGACAAUAAAAGAUUGCAAUGCCAUGCAGCAAAUAAUCGCAUGUGAAGGGGAGUUCGAAAUAAAAGAAGUUGAUCAUGUUGGGACCAACUUGCAGCUGCUCCCUAAAUUACGAUUUUUAAAACUUGAGAAUCUACCGGAGCUCAUGAACUUCGAUUACUUCAGCUCUAAUUUGGAAACAACAUCACAAGGAAUGUGUUCCCAAGGCAAUCUUGAUAUCCACAUGCCAUUUUUCAGUUAUCAGGUAUGUUUAAGCUUAAUUAAUAGCUAAUUUCGAUAGUUUUUUAUUUUUUUCAUAUCACUUUUUUUAUAAAAAAAAUAAAUCAAAAGAAAAACUAGGUUAGGUCCACAUGAACUUUUUAAUUGCACCUUAUAAGUUUGUUUAAAGCAGAUAACAUAAGGAGGAGAAGAGAAUUUAGUAAAUUAUUUUACUUGAAGAUACACUCAAUAUUUGGAAAAAGUUUAGUUUGAAUAAAAAAAUCUUAAAAUAUUAGUAAUGUUUUAUAACUUUUAUAAAUAAAUUGAAAAUGAUUAAUAAGGAAAGAUAGGAAAAUGAAGAGAAAAAUGAAUCUUCAUUUUGUUUAUUUAUUUAUUUUUUAUUUUUACAAUUAUUUAUUAUAACAUAAUAAGAAAUAUUCUAUCUCUUUUUCUUAAUAAUUAACUUUGUUUUUUAAAAUCUAAUUGAACUAUAUAAUACAUUUUUUUAUAAAGAUAAAAAGCUUUAGUGAUUCUCUUUUAUUAAAAUAUUGGUAAAAAUAAACAAAAAUAGAAAAAAUUUAGAUAAAACAAAUAAAAUGAUAAAUAAUAUAUAAAGACACACAUGAUUGAAUUAAUGCUAUGAUUAAAUUAGUGUAGUUUGUCAAUAAUAUAGAUAUGUAUGAUCAAAUUAGUAUGAUUUGUAAAUGAUAUUGCAUUAGUAAUGAUAAGUAUGACUUUCAAGAAGAAUGCUAAAAUUAAAGAAUUAGAUAUGAAGGAAGAUGUGGGAAAGGUUAGGCCUUUGACCAACCCUCCUAUUUGUUUUUAUUUUUAUUUUUAUUUUUUUAACUUAUUGAAAGAGCAUCUUAUUUUGAUAAGUUUGUAAAUGCUACUUCUUCUUCUUCUUCUUCUUGUUUUUAUUUUUAUUUUUAUUUUUUUAAUUUAUUGAAAGAGCAUCUUAUUUUGAUAAGUUUGUAAAUGCUUCUUCUUCUUCUUCUUCUUCUUUAAGAAAGUGUUUCAACCACAACACCAAUGCACUCAUCAUCCCCCACUAUUUUUCACUAUUUUGUCACACCAACAUAGCAUUUCUAUGUUCUUUUAACAAAAAAUAUAGUAAAAAAAUCAUCAUUAAACAUCUAAUAUUAUGUGAGAACUUGCUAGAACCAAUAAAUUUUCUAUUUUUUUGGGACAAUUUUUGAAAAUUUUCACAUGAUUCUUUUUAGUUCUCCUUGAUUGUUUUAAAAUUUUAAAAUAUGACAAAGUGAAGAUGUGAAUAUUUGGAAGUUGAAGAAUAUUUAAGAAAUGUAAUAUGUUUGUGUUAAUCAUAACUUUCUAAUUGAUUGUGUCAUGUAUUAUAUUGCAGGUUUCAUUCCCUAAUUUGGAGAAGUUGGAAUUCACUCAUCUUCCCAAAUUGAAGGAGAUAUGGCAUCACCAACCUUCACUUGAGUCAUUCUACAAUUUGGAGAUCCUUGAAGUGUUCUGUUGUUCAUGUCUACUUAAUCUUAUCCCAUCUUAUUUGAUACAAAGGUUCAACAAUUUGAAAAAGAUACACGUCUAUGGCUGCAAAGUCCUAGAAUAUACGUUUGAUCUUCAAGGACUUGAUGAAAAUGUUGAAAUCCUCCCAAAGUUAGAAACCUUGAAGUUACAUAAACUACCUAGGCUAAGGUAUAUUAUAUGCAAUGAGGACAAGAAUGAUGGUAUGAGGUGUCUUUUCUCUUCUCAAACGCUCAUGGAUUUUCAAAACCUCAAAUGUCUAUCCAUCCAAGAUUGUGCAUACGA